AGGCCGGAGGUUACUGGGGAUCUAGUGGACAGGGGUCUGGUAGUGGCACUGGAUCUGGCUCUAGCUAUUCUAACAGGUAUUGGUACGGGCCCAGCUAUGCAGGUGCAAAUGCAAAUGGCAACGGUGGUGGCAACGGGAAUAGUCAGAACGGUGGAAGUGGUGGCGGUGCAGGUGGUGGGUCGGGGUACGGCAACGCCAAUCCUUGAUUUCCAUACCAAGUCAAUCUAAAGUUGGAGGCCAUUGUACUUUGUUGUUUCAUGUCGUGGGAUUAUUUUAAUUUCUUUGUAAUUGUGUUAUGUUUUUGCAAAUUAAUAAAGGCCCCAACUGUGCUAGUAAAUGUUGCAGCCUAUGGGAAGAUGUUCAUGCCAUGUCAGUUCAUGGAUAAAAUAAUAUUGCUGUUAUUUUGUCACUGUAUCUGGAGAAAUUUCAUGAGGAACUGCUUUGUCUUGGAAGUUAUUAAAGUUCACAUGCCUACACAUCAUGCUUAUUGUUCCAUCCGUUUUUUAAAUAUAUGGUUUUUAGGAUAAACUAAUUAGUGUAAAAUGAGCUAAUUAGCUUAACAUAUAUGUUAAAAACAGAGGGAUCGGAGUACAUAUAUUACCAAUUAAUUAAAGAUAUUAAAGACUCUAAGCGACUCGGUUAUUGUAAUCUGGUAUCAAGUACUAGAGUAGUUCAUGUCAUGUUUAUCGAUCCAGCCUAGUUAUAUAGUUGGCUAGAAGUGCUGUUACGUACAAGCCCAAUGAAGUUAGUGAUGACGUCAAAAAAGUGAUCCUGUGCAUAGGCCUUCACAAUUCCAUUGCUGAAUGAUUGGCAAUAUACGACCAUAUUGAGAAGCUUCACCAACGUCACUGAGAGCAUAAUAUCUACCACUCACUUUUCCUGCUCUGUUUUUGUCAAGCGGAAUUCAUCUCCAUGGAGCAAAAAUAAUCAAUAUUGGUGGUACUAGGAACCAAAACCACUUCAGAACAAACAGUUGCAUUUCAAUGUUAAUCUUUUGGUGUGACUCCCGGUGAUGAAAAUUUUUGGCAUUUCACAAUCUAGAAAAUGGAAAAAUGAGAAACAAAAAUCAUUAAAGAGGUAAAAUGUCAAGUAAAUCAAUGUGUCAACUAUGUAAGUGUCAAAUUUGCGAAGUCCGUCUUUGUAACUGUAGCAAACAUGGCUCAUUAGGUCAUAGUUUGUGAUUUUGGUAAUUGAGUGACAAUAUAGUCAUUGGGACUAAUGAUUUGUCUAGCAUGUAUCUUGUAGGUUUUCUAAGUCCCAAGAAUGUAAACAAAAUCAUGGCAAGGUCCAAAUCAUGGUAUUCUUGAUAUCCAAAUCACGGUAUUCAAGUAUCCAAGCUAUGAUAUUCAAGUGACCAAGCCAUGGUAUCUAGGAUUAUUCUAUGUUAUUGAAGCAUCCAAAUGAUAGAGAAAAUCUAGAGAAAUGGCACCAUCAGAUGUUCCGAUGCCCUAUCUGAGAAGUGUUGGAGCAACCAUCGGAUCAAUUGAUACAAUGGAAAAAUAGAAAAAAGAGUCAAGACCAUCGGAGUUCCGAUGGUAGGUUUUCUAGUAGCGUCGGAUGAAUUUUGGGGUGAAGAAAACAAAGACAAAGAAAACCCUAUAGCACCGGAUGAUCCGAUAGUGGGCCAAGGGGAGCGUCGGACGAACCAUAUUUACUUUGCGAAGUUCUAGAGUUUUUGUCAGAAACUCUUCAUCACCGAACAUCGGAUGAAGCAUCGGAUGAAUUUUUUGUGUGUCAGUAAAGAACUUGGGCGCAGGGAGGCCAACGGCUAUUUGCACCGGAUGUUCCGAUGCUACCAAAAUGAAACCAUCGCAGGGAGGCCAACAGCUAUUUGAACUUGGGCGCAGGAAGUGCUUGGAGAUCAAGACCCAUCAAGAACACAUCCAAGCCACCAAAAGUGCUUAAAUGAUUUGUCAAAGGCUUAGCACAAGUUUAGAAUAGUGAUUAGUGCUAGGAUAGACCUAGAGAAGAGUGAGUGUAAGGUGUGCCUACCUUGUGAUCGGUUCAAGGAGUGAACCACAGUUGUACAAGGUGUGCCGGCGCCUUGGAGCCUUGGUGGCUUGCCGGCAAGUCUUCGACCCUCCGGCUUGGUGUGGAGCGGCGUCGACGACUGUGUGCGGGGAUGUGGAGACACCCUUCCUUCAUGAAGAAGCUCCCUAGUAGAGAUGGUAUCAAGGUGACCGGGGAACUUGGUGUGAGCCUUAGCGGCCAAGCCUUUGUGGUAGGUUAAGAGGUAUCCCGAAAAAGACUUGGUGAUCAGGAAGCAAUACUCUUGUGUGAGUGUUUCAACGACGUGGACUAGUGGUGGCUUAGUGCCUACUGAUACCAUGGUAUAAAUCAUCGUGUCAAGACUUUGCUUCCCCUCAUCCCCUUCUCUUACGUUUCCACGUUACAUUCUUACAACUUGUGUGCCUUUACAUUCUUACCGUAGUAUCUUGCUAGGAUUGGCUCUAGGUCGCAAAACUUGUUUUGGGAUGAGAGUUUCACACUAGAUCAACUGUUGCACAUCUUGAUAGCAUGAUCUAGUUUAUGUUUUAUGCAAAAGUAGUGGAAGCCAUAGGUUAAGGUUUUUAGUUUGCCUAAUUCACCCCUCCCCUCUUAGGCUAUGAGCACCGAUUUCUUAUAGUAAUGUCAAAUUUGCGAAGCAUGUUUGGGGUGUUAAAAAUCUAAAUUUUUCCGGUUUAUCAUCUGGCUUCUAUAUAAAGCGCUAUAGGAAAAUCAACAGUCAAGUCUAAUGCACGGUACGAGCAGAAGUACGUCAAACAGGCAGGGGAAGAGGCUAGUACACAAAUUUGCAUACAGGCAGACGCAUCUAUUACGGUACUCUUCCCCAUUGAAGAACAUGGAAUUUUUCACCCUUUCAGAAGCACUCAGAAGUAUGAGAUCCAUCACAAAUAAUGAAGCUUUUUGUUACUUGCUCCUGGUGCUAAUCUCCCAGCGUGGCUGACUUGCUUUGAGUUGCUCUAGUCGUAACUUGUGACAGUCGAUGUCCCAGUGGAAUUAGGACCAGAUGUCGCAUUUCAAUGGAAAUAAGAGUAGGCAAUGCAAGUAUCAAGAAGACAUCUCAUGGGGGCAGGGAAGGACGAUUUCCACCUCCACGAAGUAGUGAGAACCGAACGCACCGUGUCGAUGUGCCUCGCGGCCUAAGCGGUGGUUCCGGCAGAGCUAGAGGUAGGUGAGCUUGUGGAGAAAUUCCGGUGCUGCCGACUGGGCUAGCAGGGAGUAGACGUGUUCCAGCACCGUCGUCGAUCACGUCCUGAACUCCUGAUCGUACAUGUAGACCGCGAGCUGAAAUAAAGCAAAUGAAAUAAAUUUAAGUUUUGAUCCACUAGCUAAUUUUAGCUGUUAUGAAUCCAAACAGAUCCCAACCAAAUUUUAGCUGGUUCAACCCAGUUAAACUUAGCUAAACUGAUAAAAGAUCGAAUUGCCUCUCCACCUUUCCUGGAAAAAUCAAGAAGAUUGAUAAGAGGUGUGGGAAUCUUUUCAACAAUCAUUUAGCUAAAAUUUAGCUAUCUGACCUUUAGCUAAAAGGAGAUACUAUCUCCAUCCUAGAAUAUAUCUAUUUCUAACAUUCAAAUUUUGUCUCAUAAUAUAGCUAUUUUUGAGUUUCCAAGUGGAUUAUUUGGCAUAAGAGUUCUAAAAUACCCUCCAUGCAUGCAAAUCAAUUAUGGCAUGCAGAUCUAUAUGCAAGCCUGCUACCAAUUAAAUAUGAUAGGUAUAAUUAUUCUAAUGAGGUGUAAUAUAGAUUUUUGAUCUACAUCCUUAAUCUGUCUGAAAAAUUCUAGAAGUAGCUAUAUUUUGGGACGGAGGAAGUACUAAAGUUUAAGUUUAACUAGCUGACAUUUAGCUAAAAAGAGAAAAUCAAGGAGGAGGUCCGCGCUUGGUGCGUAGCAGGUGCUAGAUGUUUCAGAAUUUUUUUGGGCUGGUGACUAGUUUUAUAUUCUCUUGGGCUUGUUGCCGAGCUUAGGUUCUCCUUUAUUUUGUUUGGACAUUGCUAUUCUCCUUUAUUAAUAUAUGAAUGGCAGAAUUCCUGCCAGUUCUUUUUCAAAAAAAAAGCUUUUAGCUAAAAAGAGGUACUAAACUGGUAGCUAAAUUUUAGAUGGGUGUAUCUAAACAAGGUCUCAGGCAUGUUGUAUUUUUCUCUUUCUUUUCUGGAGCACAAGAAAAACAGUAGGGAAACCCUGCUGUCCAGAAGUAUAAUGUAGGAAAGAAAAAGCAAAUUGUACAGGGGCUCAAAGCCACCUAAAAAAGAAGCUGUACGAAAAGGAGAGGAAAAUUAGCCAAGCGGAUUGAGCCAUUGCUAGGAACAAAAGAAUUGCGAGCCUGAAGUACAAUGACAUCAAUAAAUCCUUUCUUCCAAGGAGAGCAUCUGGGUCAAGUAUUUUCGUUCCUUCCGAACGACAUGUCAUCUUUUAAUUUGUUAUCAUACUCCCUCCAUUUCAAAUUGUACGUCGUUUUGGCUUUUCCAUCUAGACAUACACUAUAUAUAAGUGCAUAGUAAAAAUUAUACACCUAGAAAAGUCAAAACGAUCUACAAUUUUGAAUGGAGGAGCAGUUAUUAUUCUCAAUCCAGGUCCUGGUUUGUAACAUCUACCUUCAUUUACCAAUUCUAAAACCUACGAUUAAAUUGAUUCUGAAAUCAAUCUAUGGCGUGCGUUAUGCCAUUUGCAUCAAAGCAGGGCAACUAUGGGUCAUUGGGCAUUGGCCCAUGGACCUCACAUUGAUCAGCCCAAUGUGUUUAUGUUAAGUAGUUAUAUAACAUUGUUGUUGCAAUUGAUUUAGACUAAUGGAAUCAACUCGCCCAGCGUCAUUUCAUAGUUAUUAAGUAUUAAGCAGCCAACAAUACAUGCAUGAAAAUAGUGAAGUUUUGUUACACAAUAAUGGUGGUAUAAGCAUUUUCUUUCACAAUAAUAUCUGACGGCUAAGAGGGGACUGCAACACAUAACCCUCCGUUAAUGUUGUUGCUAUGGUAACCAGACGAUCUGCCUGCAUGCUUUCUGUCCACUUUGAUCCAACUACUGCAAGUGGAUACUUAGGGUUCAAAAUUUCGUUUGCUACUAAUAAUACAGCUUGCACUGUGCUAACUAACUAACCUUAUUAGCUUGUAAGCUGCCUACCUUAUCAUGAUUACCACAUGCAUUUAUUUCUUAAGUCCACAUCUGACUUUGUCAAAGUCGUUAUGAAAACCUCGAGGUCGCCUCUGCAAUGUCAACAACUGCAAGAGGAAUUAAUAGUAUUAUUUGGGUGAUCAGCGGAUGCCUGUGUCUGUGUGUAUCUUCAAACAUGCAGAGUUAAUAUACAUAGGUCGUCGUUUACUAGCUUUGCUGUUAGUAUAAUAGUAAUGCCUGGCCUGAUCACAAAAAAUAAGCCCUGGGUUUAAAUGCUGCGGGCGAUCUCAUUGCCUUUUGACUGUCGUGUCACCAGUUCACGUUUCACAGUGCUAGCUGGAGAGUAUGGUCAAAUGUAGAUCUUUAAGCAAUGCAAAGUCAUGACCAUUCAUAUAUGAAUCUAUUGUAGUAAACAUGAAUUUUGCAGGUAUUGCACCCAAAACAAUUUUUCUCAUGUAGAAGUCAAGAAAAAAUUCCAUGCUCCAAAGAGGGGCAUAUAAUCCUACAAAGUAAUAAGCCAUUUUGUUCUCAGGUCGGUUGAAAUUGAAGUAUUCGUUACAGAUUGGAAGUUACUAGUGCUACCUUUAUUUGUCAGUUCAGUAUAGUACUUGUCCAAGAACCCUAUAUACGCACACAUCAAGGAGACGACAUUUUUAGUAAAUUCCAAGCAAUUUAUGGACCUACAGCACCCAGCUUUCAACUAUAGACAAAGCAGUUCGGUCACUGAAACCUUUUACGUAUCCAGUAGCAGUGAAAAUUAUAUGGAUAACUUCGCCAUUGAGACGAAGAAUACAAGUAAACUGCCUACUUAGAACGGAGCAAACAGUUAGAUUUAGUUUCAAUGGGCCUUUUGGACACCGGUGAUCAUAUCAAAAACUAAAAUUUUGUGCCAAUGAUAAUCUAUAUGGAGAUGACUUUUAAGAAGCUAGGUAGACAGGAGAGCAUAAUUAACAAACUACUGGCGUGAAGACACAAGUUGUAAAUUACAACCACUUCGCUACUUGCAUUUGGCUAAGGUCAAGUCAAGAAGCUCCAUUGAUUCCAGUGGCUUUUAAAGACUCCACUUGGUCUCCAAUGGGAACACCAUUACCGUUAACGUGCAUGCUAUUAAGAUAAAGAACCACUACACGAUCUCAAGCACUAUAAAUACCCAUGCAGCCUUCACUUGGAACUCAUCGCAAACCAUACUCACUAGUAGUAUCUCACAAUGGCAGGCACCAAGCUAGUAGCACUUGGUUUCAUUGUCCUCAUGAGCAUGGGGUUAGCCAAUGCUGUGAGGGUGGCUAGAUACUCUAGUGCUGAUGGGACGGGCACUGGAGGGGGAGGGGGUGGCGGAUACGUGAAUGGUGCAGGAUCAGGAUCAGGGUCUGGCACUGGCGCAGGUGAGAGCGGUUCAAACGGUGUCCAUGCAGCUGCUGGAGGGGGUGGCGGAGGUGGUGGGACUAGCCAAUACGGUGGGUCUGGUUACGGUGGAGGGUCUGGGUCAGGUUCAGGGUCUGGUACAUACAGUCAAGGACCGUAUUCAGGCUAUGGAGAAUCUUCCAAUGCUGGUGGUUCCGGUGGCGGUGGUGGUGGUGGACAAGCUGGAGGCCAUUGGGGAUCUAGUGCACAAGGAUCUGGUAGCGGCACUGGAUCUGGCUCUAGCUAUUCUAAUAGGUAUUGGUACGGACCUAGUUAUGCAGGUGCAAAUGCUAAUGGCAAUGGUGGUGGCAGCGGGAGCAGUCAAAACGGUGGGGGUGGCGGUGGUCAAGGUGCUGGAUCUGGGUACGGCAAUGCCAAUCCCUGAUUUCUGUAUCGACUCAAUCUAAAGUUGGAGCCCAUCCUCCUUUCUUGUUUCAAGUCUGUACUUGUGUUAUGCUUUUGUUAGAAUCAAAUUAAUAAAGGGUGUCCAACUGGAGCAGUAUAAUCUAAGUUGUAACCAUGCAAGUUUAUCAAUAAAAUAAUUACUCCUUUUUUUUCAUUUGGUCACUGUAUCUUGAGAAAUUUCAUGAGGAACUGUUUUGUACUGGGAGUUGUUAGAUUUGGAUGCCUACACCCAGAACAGCAGAAGGUUGUGUUCUACUCCAUCAGUUGUUUUUUUUAAAAAAAUGAUGUUUAGGACAUGGCAAAUUGGUAAAAAAAAAUUACUAGUUAGCUUAUCCUAAACAUCAUAUUUUUAAAAACAGAGGGAUGCCUCUAAUACUAAUUGAAGACAUUAAAGGCUCCAAGUGACUCGAUUAUCAAUGGAGAGUAGUCCAUGUUAUAUUUCAAUGGUACCACCAACUAAUUGGAUUCAUCCAGCCUUGGACAUAGUUGGCAACAAGUGCUGCCACAAGCCCCAAAACGUUAGUGAUGACAUCAAAAAAGUGAUCCGGUGCGUAGGCCUUCACAAUUUCAUUGUUGAAUAAACGGCAAUAUAUGACCAGAAGCUUCACCAAUGUCACUGACAGCAUAAUAUCCAUAGCCCACAUUUCCUGCUUUUUUUUGUCACGCGGAAUUCAUAACCCUGGAGUGUAUUAGGAACCAAAAACAUUUCACAAUGAACAGUUGCAAUUCCAAUGUCAACUUUUCAUGUUUAUAUGAUAUGUUAGUUCUUUUGGUGUGACACACAGUUCAUCUGGCUUCUAUAAAGCGCUAUAGAAAAAUCAAUAGUCAAGUCUGAUGCAGGUAUGAACAAGUACACCAAACAGGUAGGGGAAGGUUUAGUACAAUUUUGCAUACAGACGACUCGUCCGUUACGGUAAUCUUGCCCAACGAAGAGCAUCAGAAUUUUCACCCAUGCAGAAGUGAGACAGGAUGUCCGGAUAAUGUCUAUCACAAAUUACUGAAGCUUUGUUACUUGCUCCCGGUGCGGCUGAUUUGCUUUGACCUGCUCUAGUUGUAAUUGUAACUUGUGUCAGUCAAUCUCCUAGUGGAGUUACUACCAGAUCUCACAUUUCAAAGGGGAAUACGAGUGACAAGUGUCAAUCUGAAUGGCCUGGUUGAGUGUAGGCUUCACUGGAAUGAUGACAGAAGCAGCGGCGUACACACUAACACGAAUCUAAAAUUGCAAGCACAUAAGAGGCAGUAAUGAUAACUUAAGGCACAAGAUUCAUAUACGUAGACAAAGCCUAUCGACUCUCUGUAGUAGACUUAUACCCACCAUUAGUAACUUCCUGCUAAAGCUCAGCAGGCAAUCAUGCACAACAUAAUUCCAGCCUGCUGUCAGGUACUCACGCUUCGAUCUGCCUCGGCACCCAAAACACGUUACUCCCAGGAUUCUCAUGCUGUGCUGAUCCCGCUAGUCUCAGAUCGCUCUGAAGUUCUGCAAACCGCAUGGAGGUGUGCUCAGGCUGGUGUACAGGGGCUUAAAGCCACCUAAAAGGGAAGCUGCACAAGGAAAGGAAAAUUAACCAAGCAGAUUGAGCCAUUGCUAAGAAAAACUCCUAGCUGGUGCCUUUACUCUAUGACACUGAAGUAGAAUGACAUCGAUCAGUAAAUCCUUUUCCUCCAAUGAGAGCAGCUGGGUCAACUAUUUUCGUUACUUCCAAAUGAAACAUCUCGUCUUUUAUUUGUUACAGUUGUUCCCAAUGUAGGUAGCCCCUGUUUCUACUAUCUACCUUCAUUUACCAAUCCUAGAUUCUAAAUCCAGAAAAGAGAACCUACGGUUAAAUUGAUCCUGAAAUCAAUCUAUGGUGUGUGCUAUGCCAUUUGCAUCAAAGCAGGCAAACUAUGGGUAAUGGGCCCAUGGCCUCACAUUGAUCAGCCCAAUGUUUUAUGUUAAGUUAUCAAUGCUGUGUGUUGCAAUUGAUUUAGACCAAUGAAAUCAACUCACCCAGUGUCAUUUCAUAGUAAUUAAGCAACCAGCAAUGCAUGUACGCAAAAAAAAAAAACUAUAAGCAGGAUCCCAGCAUUCCAAGAUUAUAUCAAUUUCGGAAGGGAGGUGGUAGUAAAGUUUCGUUACAUUAGCAAGGACGUGGUAUAAGCAUUUUCUUUUACAAUACUAUCUGACAGCUACGAAGUGACUGCAAGACAUAACACUCUGUUAAAUGUUGUUGCUAUGGUAAACCAGACGAUCUGCCUGCCUUGGGUCGACUUUGAUCCAACUACUGCAAGUGGAUACUUAGGUUCAAAAUCUAUUUUGCUACUAAUACAGCUUGCACUGUAUUAAUUAACCUUGUAAGGUGCCUACCUUAUCAUGAUCACCACAUGCAUAUAGUUCUUAAGGCCACAUCUGAUUUUGUCAAAGUCGUUAUGAAAACCUUGAGGUCGCCUCUGCAAUGUCAACCACUGCAAGAGGAAUAGAAUUGUUCGAGUGAUCAGUGGAUGCCUGAGCUGCGUUGAUCUUCAAACAUGCAGUUAAGAAUUAAUACAGGUCAUCGUUUACUAGCUUUGCUGUUAUUAUAAUACUAAAGCCUGAUCAAUAAUAAAAUAGACCCUAAGUUUAAUUACAGCGGGUGAUCUCAUUAUCUUUGGAUUGUUGUGUCACCAGUUGUUCACGUUUUACAGCUUUGGAGUCUGGUCAAAUGUACAUGUAAGCCAUGCAGAGUCAUAUGCAUUCAUAUAUGGAAUCUAUCUAUUGUAGAACACAUGAAUUUGCAGGUAUUUCACCCAAAACAAUUUAUCUCAUGCAGAAGUCAAUAAAAUUGUUCAUGUUCCAAAGAGGGCAUAUAAUCCUUAAAAGUAAGACACUUUGUUCUCAGGCCGGAUGAAAUUGGAGUAUUUGUCACAGAUUGGAAGUUACUAGUACUAUCCUUGUCAGUUCAGUCAUACUUGUACAAGAACCCUAUAGAUUUAUGCACACAUCAAGGAGAGAGAGCAUUUAAAGCGACAGGUUAUGGACCCGAAACCGCUCUCAACAAUUAGACAAAGCAGUUCAGUCACCAAAGCCUUUCACAUAUUUAGUAGCAGCGGCAAGUACAAAAAACAGUAGUAUGCAUAACUUCACCUUUGAGACGAAGAAUACAAAUUAACUGCCUACUUAGAACAGAGCAAACAGUUAGGUUUGGUUUCAAUGGGCCUUCUAGACACAAAUGAUCAUAUCAAAUGCUAAACUCUUGCCGCAGUGAUAAUCUAUGGAGUCAUGGAGAUGACUUUUCAGAAGCUAGGAGCCUAGGACUUAGCAGACCAUCCAGACAGGAGAGCAUACCAAGCACUAGCGUGAAGACAAGUUGUAAAUUGCAACCACUUCGCUACUUGCAUGUGGCUAAUGGUCAAGUCAAGAAGCUCCAUUAAUUCCAUUCGCUUUAAAAGCCUCCACUUGGUCUCCUAUGGGAACACACUGCCGUUAACUUGCAUGAUAUUAAGAUAAAGAACCACUACGUGGCCUCCAGCACUAUAAGUACCCAUGCAGCCUUCACUUGGAACUCAUCACAACCCAUACUCACCAGUAGUAACUCGCAAUGGCAGGCACAAAGCUAAUAUCACUGGGGUUCAUUGUCCUCAUGAGCAUGGGAUUAGCCAAUGCUGUGAGGGUAGCUAGAUACUCUAGUGCUGAUGGGACGGGCACUGGAGGGGGAGGGGGUGGUGGAUAUGUGAAUGGUGCAGGAUCAGGGUCAGGGUCCGGCACUGGCGCAGGUGAGAGCGGUUCAAACGGUGUCCAUGCAACUGCUGGAGGGGGUGGUGGAGGUGGUGGGACUAGCCAAUACGGUGGGUCUGGUUACGGUGGAGGGUCUGGGUCAGGUUCAGGAUCUGGUACAUACAGUCAAGGACCGUAUUCAGGCUAUGGAGAAUCUUCCAAUGCUGGUGGUUCCGGUGGCGGUGGUGGUGGUGGACAAGCUGGAGGUCAUUGGGGAUCUAGUGCACAGGGGUCUGGCAGUGGCACUGGAUCUGGCUCUAGCUAUUCUAACAGGUAUUGGUACGGACCUAGUUAUGCAGGUGCAAAUGCUAAUGGCAAUGGUGGUGGCACCGGGAGCAGUCAAAAUGGUGGGGGUGGCGGCGGUUCAGGUGCUGGAUCCGGAUACGGCAAUGCCAACCCCUAAUUUCUGCAUCAACUCAAUCUAAGUUGGUGCCCAUCAUCCUUUGUUGUUAGAAGUCUUCGGAUUAUUUUGGUUUCUUUGUACUUGUGUUAUGCUUUUGUUAGAAUCAAAUUAAUAAAGGGCCCAACUAUUCUAGUAAAUGCAGCAGCCUGAUUUAAGGUGCAGCUUAUGAGAAAUAUACUGACCAUGUCAGUUUAUCGAUAAAAUAAUACUCCUGUCAUUUUGUCACUAUAUCUGGAGAAAUUUCAUUAGAAACUGUUUUGUCUUGGGAGUUAUUAAGUUCAGAUGCCUACACGGUGCUUAUCACAUGGUUGUGUUCUACCAACAGUACUAAUUAAAGACAUUAAUUAAAGGUUCUAAGCAACUCGGUUAUUGUAAUCUAACAUCAAUGGAAGUACUAGAGUGGUUCAUGGGCUCAUGGCAUAUUACAGAAGUAAACAGAGAUCGGAUUAUUUUUACUUACAAUGAUAGCACCAACUGGAUCGAUCAAGCCUUGGACUUGGACCUAGUUGGCAAAAAGUGCUGCCACAAGCCCAAUAACAUUAGUGAUGGUGUCAAAACAGUUCCUGUGCAUAGGCCUUCACAAUUUCAUUGGUGAAUGAGCGGCAAUAUAUGACCAGGAGAAGCUUCACCAUGUCACAGAGCAUAAUGUCCACAACCCACAUUUCCUGCUCUUUUUGUCAAGCAGAAUUCAUCUCCCUGGAGCAAAAAUUAUCCAUAAUGGUGGUGUACUAUGAACCAAAAAUAAAUAAUCAAUAUCGGUAGUGUACUAGGAACCAAAAAUAUUUCAAAAGAAACAGUUCCAAUUCCAAUGUCAACAUUUCAUAAAUAUAUGCCAUGUUAGCUUUUUUGGUGUGACCCACAGUUCAUCUGGCUUCUAUAAAGCACUAUAGAAAAAUCAAGUCAAGUUUAAUGCAGGUACGAACAGAAGUACGUCCAAGAGUGACAAAUAUCAAGCAGAAUGGCCAUUGUUGAUCGCUGUGGCCUGUAGGCUUCUGUGGAAUGACGAUAGAGCAAGGCUCAGAGGAUCUGGCAGCAUACAUGAAUCUAAAAUUGUAAGCACUGAAGAUGCAGAAUAAUAACUUAAGGCACAAGAUUCAUAUACGUAUACAACAGCUAUCUAUUCUUUAGAAGAUUACCCACCAGUAGUAACUGCCUGCUACAGUUCAGCAGGCAAUCAAAUAAAAUAUGCACAACAUAAUCACAGCCUGCUGUCACGUACUCACAUGCAAUCUGCUUUGGCACCCAAAACAGGAUUCUCUGAUCCCAUUAGUUUCAGAUCAUUCUGAACCGUGUUGGAUUUCAGUCAGCUAUGUGUCAUGCGACCGAGCAUGCUCGGGCUGGUGGGUGAACUCAUAGUCGAGGUGGACGAAGGCCCGCUCAAUCUCAGGCAGGCGCUCCAGCUUCUCCUGCAGGGCCUCGCCGAUGUCAUGGGCCUCUCGCAGGGGCAUGGCGCAGGGAAGGACGAUAUCCACCUCCACGAAGUAGUGGGAACCAAAUGUGUACGCCCGCACCGUGUCAAUGUGCCUCACGGCCUUGUGGUGGUUCCAGCAUAGGUAGGUGAGCUUCUGGAGAAAUGCUGGUGGUGCCGACUGGCCGACCAGAGAGUGGACAUUGUCCAGCACCGUGAUCGACCACAUCCUGAUUGUGUAGAUCGCGAGCUGCAAAGGAACAAGGGAGAUAACUUCAAACAUGUCAUCUUUUCCUUCUUUUUUUAGCAAGAACAGUAGGGGAAACCCUACUGCGGUAAAGAAAGUUGUCCAAAAGGGAGAGGAAAAAAUUAACGAAGGGCAUGAAGGCAUGCUAAGGAAAAAUAAAUUUCUAGUAGAUAGUUCCUUUACUGAGCCUGAAGUAAAAUGUCAUUGGUAAAUCCUUUCUGCCAAGAAGAGAAGCUCGGUCUAUUGCUUUUGCUACUAAUACAGCUUGCAUUGUACUAAUUAAUUAACCUUGUGAUCUGUCUCCCUUAUCAUGAUCACCACGUGCACAUAGUGAUUAGUCCAUGCCCGAAUUUGUCAAAGUCUUUACGAAAAUCUCGAGGUCGCCUCUGCAAUGUCAACCACUGCAAGAGGAAUAAGAAUUGUUUGGGUGCUCAGCGUAUGCCUGUGCUGAUCUUCAAACAAGCAGUUCAGACUUAAUGCAGGUUGUCAUUUACUAGCUUCACUGUUAGUAUAAUGCUAGUAUCUGACAACAAAAGAUAAACCCUGGGUUUAAUUACUAUGGGCGAUCUCAUUAUCUUUUGAUUGUUGUCUCACCAGCUGUACAUGUUUCACAGUGCUGGAGAGAAUGGUCAAAUGCAUACAGUGUAAGGAAUGAAAUGGCAUGAGCAUGCAUAUUUAAGCGUAUUGUCAUAUGCAUAAAUUUUGCAGGUUUUUCAACCAAACAAUUUAUUCCAAGAGAAAGCCAAGACAAAAUCUCAUGUUCCAAAGGGAGCACAAAAUCCUUGCGAAAGUAAGACACUUGCUUUUGUUCUCAGGUCGGGUAAAAUAGAGUAUGUGUUAAGAGUUUGGAAGUUUCUAGUAUAUACUUUACAGAUCUGUAUGGUUUAUCUUUGGAGCUCUGCUGGCGCCAAGCACUUGUGUCUGCUUGGAUGGCCAAUGGCAGGAAGCCUGCUACACGUUUAGUCUCUCUGGUCUCUCCUCCUUCCUAUCUGGUUGUUGUUGUUUCUUACUAGGAACAGUCUUGUGAGCCUUUGAUCCGUAUACGUGCGCCCGGUUGGCCCGCGUUGUAACUAAACGUUCUUCGUUAUAUCUUCUUAAUACAAAGAUACGCAGCUCUCCUGCGUAUUCUCGAAAAAAAAAUAAAGAUCUGUAUGGUCCUUAUCCAAGAACCCUAUAAAUGCACAGAUCAAGGAGAGACACAACAUGUAAGUAAAUUUCAAGCGAUAGUUUAUGGAACGGGACCUAGCUUCACCUAUUAGACAAAUCAGUCUGGUGCCAAAAUCUUUUGCUGAUUUAGUAGCAGUGACAAGUACAAAAAACUGAAAAAACUUGAUAAAUAACUUCACUAUUAACACUUAGAAUGGAGCAAGCAGCUAGGUUUAGUUUGAAUGGGUCUUCCAAACACCAAUGACCAUGUCAAAUGCUAAAACUUUGUGCCAUCAAUAAUAUAUGGAGAUGACUUUAAGAAGCUAGCACUUAGGAGAUCAUCUAGAGAGGAGAGCAUAGCGAGUACUAGUGAGAAGAAAAUUCGUAAAUUGUGGCCACUUCUCUUCUUGCAUGUACUCAAUGGUCAAGUCAAGAAGCUCCAUUAACUCCAAUGGCUUUUAAAAGCCUCCACUUGGUCUCAUAUCGAAACACCACUACCGUUAACAUGCAUGCUAUUAAGAUAAAGAACCACUGCAUGGCCUCAAGCACUAUAAGUCUAUAAAUACCCAUGCAGCAUUCACUGAGAACUCAUCUCAACUAAAAUACUCCCUAGUAGUAGCUCACAAUGGCAGGCACAAAGCUAAUAUCACUGGGGUUCAUUGUCCUCAUGAGCAUGGGAUUAGCCAAUGCUGUGAGGGUAGCUAGAUACUCUAGUGCUGAUGGGACGGGCACUGGAGGGGGAGGGGGUGUGGAUAUGUGAAUGGUGCAGGAUCAGGGUCAGGGUCCGGCACUGGCGCAGGUGAGAGCGGUUCAAACGGUGUCCAUGCAACUGCUGGAGGGGGUGGUGGAGGUGGUGGGACUAGCCAAUACGGUGGGUCUGGUUACGGUGGAGGGUCUGGGUCAGGUUCAGGGUCUGGUACAUACAGUCAAGGACCGUAUUCAGGCUAUGGAGAAUCUUCCAAUGCUGGUGGUUCCGGUGGCGGUGGUGGUGGUGGACAAGCUGGAGGCCAUUGGGGAUCUAGUGCACAGGGAUCUGGUAGCGGCACUGGAUCUGGCUCUAGCUAUUCUAAUAGGUAUUGGUACGGACCUAGUUAUGCAGGUGCAAAUGCUAAUGGCAAUGGUGGUGGCAGCGGGAGCAGUCAAAACGGUGGGGGUGGCGGCGGUCAAGGUGCUGGAUCUGGGUACGGCAAUGCCAACCCCUGAUUUCUGUAUCAACUCAAUCCAAAGUUGGAGCCCACCUUCCUUUCUUGUUUGAUGUCAGUAGGAUUAUUUUGGUUUCUCUGUACUUGUGUUAUGCUUUUGUUAGAAUCAAAUUAAUAAAGGGUCCACCUGUUCUGGUAACAGUAGCAGUCUAGUGUAAGGUGCAGCUAAUGAAAAGAUGUUGUAACCAUGUCAGUUUACAAAAUAAAUACUCCUUUGUCAUUUGGUCACUGUCUGAAGAAAUUUCAUAAGGAACUGUUUUGUCUUUGGAAUUAUUUAGUUUAGAUACCUACACCAUGUACAUUCACAUAUCUAAGUUACUAACUAAAACAUAUUAAAGUCUCUAAGCAACUUGGUUAUUAUGAUAUAUAUAUCAAUGAAAUUACAAGAGUAGUUUACGUCAUAUUAUACAGAAGUAAAUAGAGAUUGGAUUAGUGUUACUUACAAUGAUAGCUCCAACUGGGUCAAUCCAGCCUUGAACAUAAUUAGCAAGAAGUGCAGCCACAAGCCCAAUAACAUUGGUGAUGACAUCAAAAAAGUGAUCCUGUGCACAGGCCUUCACUAUUUCAUUGGUGAAUGUUCGGCAAUAUAUAACCAGGAGAAGCUUCACCAGUGUCACUGAGAGCAUAAUAUCGACAACCCACUUUUCCUGCUCUUUUGUCAAGCGGAAUUCAUCGCCCUGAUAAAGCAAAAGUAUUCAAUAUCGGCAGUACAAGUUACAGAAAAUAUUCAGAAGUAGAAGUUGCUUUUACAAAAUCACUUUUCAUGAAACUGAUUGCUUGAUCCAUUCGCUAUGUCAACUGUGCCAGAUAGGCAGGGAGGAUAAGUUUGCGUCAAGCAGAAGUGCACCAAUAGGAUAAACAUGAGAAGUGAACUUACAUCGGAUACCAGUGAGUGUGUAGAUUCUAUGAUAAUUUGAAGACCAAGCGUAGCCAUGACAGAAGCGAAAACUAGUAUUCCCUGCAUCACAGAUUGUGGUAAACUAGUCAAAAAGAUAAAUUGGAAACUAAGGACAAUUAAAAAAUCAUUUGUACACUUAAUCUGAAAAAAAAGCGAAAAGGUAAAAAAAAAUUCAUGAAACAGAGUUAAACUGUGAUUUUGGUUACAAGGCUCAAGGCCUCAAACUGUCAGAUGAGCUUUCAUGCUGAAAUUCUGGUAUUGUCCGCGAUCGUUCAAUGUGUAGUUUUGCAAAAUUUUGCUAGAGGUGUCAAUUUCGGUUUUAAAACUUGCAGCUUUGCAAGUAAUAGGACCUAUUGUAAUUCUAGUUUGCAUAAAUAACAUCACAUGUGAGCAUAAUUGUGCCCUAACAUCCAGUCUCUCAAGAACAGUUAAAGACCAGAAAGAGGAACAGAAGGCCAUUUCUUCUAUCCUUUUUUUCCUUUUACGUUUUGUGCUAAUUUGCUUUGCUGAAUUAAUAUCUAGGAGGCAACACAUCAUUUCUAGUAACAAUACACAAGGACUAUUGAAGAAAGAAAUGUAAAAUGAAAAUGCUUCGAUCAUUCUAUUCAAACUGAAUCGAAUGCAAGAAAUAAAAGUAAAUAACAAGCAUAUUCUAAUUGAUGUGGAACUCACCAGAGGUUGCAUGCGCCUUUUACCAAUUGGGUAUCUGUAUGGGUUUGGUGUUUGCAUAGAAAAGGCAGUAAACCACAAUAUAAAACCAGAUAACAAGUCGAGUAGAGAAUCCAAGGUGGAAGCAACAAUAGCUAGGGAGUCACUCCUUACUGAGGCAUAAACUUUUGCCGCAAAAAGAACCAUGUUUGCAAUGUUAGAUAAUCGGAUGGCCCAUGUCUCUUUUUGGGCAACCAUCUCUCGCUCUUCCUGCAAGUAUAAAGUAGGAUAAUCUACAGGUAAAAAAGAAUUGCUUCAUAUUGGAAAGAAAAAAAUGCUGGACAUUUUAUCUGCAAGGAAGUGUUUUCUCUUUCCCUUUUUUCAUGACUCAGAGGAAGAGUACACAACAAACCUUAGACAUUCCAGGAAGGAAACCACGAUCUGCCAGUGUAUCCAUUUCAUUAAAACCUUCCAGCAUUUCCAACUGUUGUUGGUAGUAUUCUGCAACAUCAUCAGCAGAGCCUUGAGCUGCAGAUAUAGUUAAAAAUGGUGCAUUAGGAGACUGAACUAUAUCAACAGGAUCCAAACAAUUGUAUGCAUUACUCUCAGAGGAACUCAAUCCACAAGAAUAAUAUUUGUGGAGCAGAUAGAAAUAUAUGCAACUAUAUCAAAGGAUCCAAUUUGUUGGAUUUCGUUUCAUCGUUUGUGUGUCAGACAUCUUGCAUGCACAAAAUGUGAACUUCCACCAUCCAUACAGAAUCUUUAUCCUUAUGUAAACAAUGAGAACUUUGAAGUUCUGAUUAAUGGUUUCCAGAUUUCAUCUCUGCAUGGAAUGUAUAGUUUUUUAGAAAAUACAAGUUCCCAAACCUUCUACAUCAGGAAAUCCUCAAAGAGACAAACAAUAGACAGGUGAAAAGAAAACAUAUAAUCAAAUGGAACAAAGAUAAAUCUAGUGGACAGAUUCAAAUGCAAAAUGGAAAAAGUGGCAGUAGGAUCUUCAGUUCAAUAGUUCAUAAUAAAACCUUUGACUUAUUGAACCAAUUACAAAAAGGUAAAGCAAUUUCAACAGAAAAUAGAACCAUGAUGUUUUUCAACUAGAAGUCAAUGCGCAAAAGAAUACGAUUAAAGAAAAAUCAGCAUGCAGUGGUUCCGAGAUUUGAUGGAUCUCUCUUACUGAUUUCCAAAUAAAAAUGAAACUCAAUUUUGAAUCUGGAACACAACCACGGACUAAUAAAAUUCACCAACAUUUUCAAACAGGUUCAUGGCAUCUGAACAUGAGAAAAAAACACACACUAAGAUACCAAGUUACCAACUCCAACGAGCAUACAUCAUCCCAUAAUUACUCUCCUGACCAAAUCUAAUGGCUCUUAUCAGUGAACUACUCGAUGAAAAUUCUACCAUUUCAACGGAAAAACACGUGGAGUGCGCUGCUGCACGGACAAAGUAAAAAACACCGCUGCAAACCAUCUAUUCGUACACUAUCUCCUCGAUUACUUUAAUAAAUCGCCGUGCCAAAUAUGACAAAUUGACAGUGACUAGUGAGCUGUUAGUCAAACACAACUCCAGAUCAACAAACAAACAAAAGUCCUACUCCAAACACACGUGCAUACAAAACCGUGACAGAACUAGUAGCCAUCGCUAGCGAGAGCGUUCAUCGGAGAGGCAAGACAGACCUAGCACGCCGAGGCAGUCGUGGAGCCCGCGCGCCGGCUUCUCCUGCUCCGCCUCCGGGCGGCGGAACCGGUCGAAGUUGAGCCGCCAGGGCCUCUCCCCCAAGCACAAGCCGCCGCUCACGUCGUCCCCGGCAUCCACGGCACGGAGGAGCAGCUCCUCGCCCUCUUCGCCACCCCUCGCUCCAGCCGCCGCCAUUCCCUCCGCGCCUGCCCCUCUCUCCCGAACCCUCGUGGUCGACGACACGGGCCUCCCGCAAGCCGCGACAAGGAAGAGCGAUGAGGAGUAGAGCUAGAGGAGCAGCCGCGAUGAUGGAAAUGGGCGCUGGGCGGCGGGCCUUUGCAUCUUCGCCUCGUCUUCCUCCGCCGCCGCCGCCGUAAGAAUAGAGGAAGGAGGGGUGCGAACAUUCGCGGUGAGCCGGGGGCGGCUGCGGCGUCGGGAUCGCGGUGGACGCGCGGGAUGGCGCGGGCGUCGCUGGACUCGGUGCAGCGAGCGGUGCGGGGAGCCGGUGCACCGUGCACCGGUUCCCUAGACGGUGCAGCGAGCGGCGCGGGGAGCCGGGGGGCCUGGGAAUCGAGACGGAUUUGAUCCUGCGCAGGAGGGCGCGCAGCCAAGGCGAGGCGCCGAGCGUGGCGUGGGCAUUGUUGACUAGCUGAAGAAUGGUGUGCUCUGCAUCUAAUCCCAGGUGUGUGAAGUCGACGUGCGUGCCCAUCCGAAUCUGGUGCUCGCCUGCUUUUCGGCAACACUACCAAAAAGAUGAACCGAGCAUACUGUGGUAAAGUUCUAAAAGGAAGAGUACUGGUGCGUCACGUGGGUGACAGUUCAGGUGACAAAAUUAAGGUCCUGUUUGGCACGACUCCACUCUUAAACUCCAGCAACUCCAUCAAAAAAUUUAGCCAAACACCCUAACUCCAAAACUCUAUGGAGUUGCCAACUUCAUGGAGCUGUAGUGCAAAUGGAGGUGGAGUUUUGGAGCACCUCUUUUGCUGCUCCAGAAACAUCUCUUUUGAACCUCCUCGUGGAGUUGGUGGGUAAUUACCCACCAAUGCUACUGGUUAUAAAAAAAACGUUUCAUUCUAUUCUCCCUUCUAUUAUCUCGAGCCCCACUCGCCGCCCGUCGCCGCCCCCGUGGCCGGCCGGCCUCGCCGCUCGCCGCCGCCCGUCGCCACGCCCGUCGCCGCUCGCCGCGGCCCGUAGCCGCCCCCGUCGCCCGUCACCGCCCGCCACCCGCCGCCCGUCGCCGCCUGUCGUCGCACAUCGUCGCCCGUCACCGCUCGUCGCCCGUCGCCGCCCGCCGCCUGUCCUCGCACGUUGUCGCCCGUCGCCGCCCGUCGUCGCCCGUCGCCGCCCGCCGCCCUGCACCGCCCCCGUCGCCGCCCACCCCGCUGCCCAGCCCGCCGCCCGUCGCCGCCUCCCGUCGCCGCACCCGUCACCCGUCGCCGCCCGUUGCCGCACCCGUCUCCCGUCGCCGCACCCGUCGCCCGUCGCCGCCCGCCGCCCGUCAUUGCCCGUCGCCGCCCACCCCGCCGCCCGUCGCCGCCUAGCCCGCCACCCACCCCGCCGCCCGUGGAGGGUCUCCCGUGUGCAGCACAUUGCAGUGGAAAAAGGGGAAGAAGAAGAUGGGAUAGAGAGGAUGACAAGUGGGGCCUUAAUUAGGGGGCAACAAUGGUAAUCCACACUGAAAUCGAUCUUUUUUGGAGCUGAGAGCACCCAUCUAGCCAAACACCUCAUUUUUGUUCUGGAGUUUUGGAGCGGAGCUGGCUCCAUGUGGAGUUCAGGAGUGGAGCAGCUCCACCCGGAGUUGGAGCCAUGCCAAACAGGGCCUAAAUAUUGUUCGUAGUAAACAAAUAGAAACGGUUGUAAUCCUAGGGAAUCUUCUUCCUGGAUUCAUUAGAAGAAUGUAGACCUUUAUACAGUAUAGAAUGGAAUUUCAGGAUGGUUAUAAAAAUAAAUUAAUUGAAUUGCUGAAAUAUAAGAAUCACUGCUGGAGGAAAAGGCUUACUGCAAAUAGGAUCAAGCUAGGAGAUGAAUGUACAAAAAAUUUUCAUGCUAUGGCCACUGUUUCCUAUAGAAAGAACAUUCACCAAUGCCACAAAUCUAAGAGAGAAAUCAUCAUACUCAAAUUAGACUUUACUAAGGCCUUUGAUACAGUAGAGCAUUCUUUGAUAAUUGAUGUCAUGAUUCAAAUGUGUUUUUCCGAAAAAUAGAUUACCUAGAUAAAGUUAUUGUUUAACUCCGUUUUUUCCUCGGUUCUCCUAAGUGGAGUUCCUGGGAAACAGCAGUUCAAGUGCAAGCGUGGAGUACAACAAAGGGAUCCUUUAUCACCACUUUAUUUGUCUUGGCUGCUGAACUCCUACAAGUGGUAGUAAACAAGGCAUUCCAUGAUAACCAUCUUGAAGCACCCCUCCCUUAGGAUAGCACUGAUUUUCCUAUAGUACAAUAUGUUGAUGACACGAUUCUGAUUAUGCAAGCAGACAGUACUCAACUGCUCUUCCUCAAAGAAUUACUCCAAGUUUUCUCUCAGUCAACUGGCCUAAAGGUUAAUUACAACAAAUCGUCAAUGAUUCCCAAUCAAUGUCUCUCAAGUGACAAAAUGGAAGCACUGGCUGCAGAUUUCGGAUGCCAAAUUGGAUCCAUGCCCUUUACCUAUCUUGGUCUGCCUAUGGGUACAAUAAAGCCAAAGAUUGAGGACUUCUCUCCUAUUAUGGACAGAGUAGAAAGUCGACUCACAGCAUGCUCAUCACUUUUAUCCUUCUCGAAUCGACUUGAAAUGGUAAACUCAGUUAUCACACCCUCAGCCUUUUAUGCCAUGUGCACUUUUAAACUUCAUAAGGGAGUGAUUGAAAAUAUAGAUAGAGCAAGAAAGCAGUGUCUUUGGAGAGGAAAUGAUCUAACUAAGAAAGGUGGAAACAUUGCUGCUUGGACAAUGGUCUCCCUCCCCAAAAGAAAAGGUGGCUUGGGAGUCUUAAAUUUAAGAUUGCAAAAUGAUGCCCUACUCCUGAAACAUUUGCAUAAGUUCUACAAUAAGCAAGAUAUUCCCUGGGUAAACUUGAUUUGGUCAACAUACUACAGGGAUAAGGUCCCCCAUGCCUAUAGGGAAAUUGGCUUAAUAAUAGAAAUCUAUGAACGAGUUAGCCUUAAUUUUCCACAAGCAUUAGAAAAAAACAAGAUAAGGAAAAAAAAAGGCGCAAAAACAUAGUUCAUCAUGAAUUACAACCAAGUUCUAAUGCCAAACAAGUUAAACCAACCAAAGUUCAUGCAAGUCUCAAAUGAAAAGCCAAAGUUCAUGCACUCACUCACAAAUGCAAACCAACAUACAAAGUUCUAAGAUGCAAUCCAUCAUGAUCUGCUCCUGCAAUCCUGCAAGUGUGCAUCUUAACAAUCACUCCUCCAAACUUCUACAAUUCUUCUCCCCCUUUGGCAUCAAGUACCAAAAGAGGCUAAUCAUCCUGAAGCGCCAGUGGAGGAGGAUAAAAUGGCUGAUGAGGAUAGAACUGAGGAGGAGGUGCCGGAGCUGGAAAGAUGAUGUAGAAGUAAUCACUGAAACCCGAGAAGCUGGAUGACGAAACACUGACAUCAUUCUCAAGUUUCUGUUGUUGCUCCACAACCCGCUGAUGCUGCUCAGUCAUGCUCAAGUUAUUGAAUCUAGCAUCCAAAGCCUCAAUGUCAGUAUGAAGGCCCUCCUGAACGUGUUGCAGCCUAGCCAUGAUGGGCUCAUACAUGGUGGAGUGGAUGUGCUGCCCAAAAGCCUGAAAGCGGUUAUCUAUCUGCUGUUGAACACCCUGCUGCAUAUUCUAAAAAUUAGUAAUCAUCUGCUGCCCAAAUGCCUCAAGGUGUAACCUAAACCCCUGCUGCAUAUUUUGGAAGUUUUCAUUCAUAUUCUGCUGCAUAGUGGCAAAGUAGGGAUCAAAGUAUCCUGCAGGAGGUGCCCACUAUGACUGCAUAGGUGGUGGAGGAGGAGGCAUAGCAUGUGCAUCAUCAUCUUGGGCUUGAGCCCCUCCCACAUCUCCCUCAUCUUGAACUCCUCCAUCAUCGGGAAAUGGAGUCAAUGCCCUUUCAAGAAAUGCUUUAUCAUUUUUAUAUGGCUUAAAGAAAGUGUGAACCACCUCACAAGGACCUCUGAACCUUGUCUUUGCCUUAAUAAGAGACAUAAUGUAGGGAGCAAAGUAGAUAUUGAUCUCAAGAUUCACCUUUUUAGCAACAAUCUGAUCCAUGAUCAAUCGAACCACAUCAUAUUUUUGUCCAAACAUAACAUGAUGAACAAAAUUUCUAUGAUAGCACAAAAAAGCAUCCUUAUAUCCACUCUUGGAAAGCAUAGUGACUCGAGAAACCUUAUUGAUGACAGCCGGAUAAUGCAUAAGACCAUUGAUCUUGCCAUAGAUUCUAAAGAUACCCAUCCUAUCCAGCUCAUAAAACUGAGUAAUUUCAUCAAGCUCUAGUGGAUUCUCAUCAACCAUAUUAUAGCUUUGAUCAUCAGUGAGAAAAUCAUAAUUCAAUUUAUUGACGUCAGCAAAUUUAGCAAAAGUAGCCUUAUACUUUCUCUUGCCCGUUAUCCACUCUAUUUUCUCUUUCUCAAAAUCAAUUUCUACGGUAGCAUAGAACUGAUGAAUAAUUGUUUCAUUCCAAUCACACCUAUGCUCAAGAAAUGCUUUCAAACCUAUGACUUCAAAUUUCUGAACUAGAUCACACAUCACAGACUGCUGAAUAAUAUAGAGGAAGUCUAUAGUUUAAUGCUUGUAUACGGUUUUAUUCACUAGAUGACCAAAGAAAGCAUCCUCUUGUACCUGAGUAUGGAAGAAUAGGUUUGAAGUGCUGCGAGGAAGACCAUAUUGGUAAGGAGUUAUUUCCUUUGAAUAUGUAUUCAUAGUCCACUUCUUUCUUGGAGCAGUGUGAGAUAGCACGUCAAUGAUCUCAUCCACAUUAUCCCCUUGGUUCAACUCAUCACUCUCAUCAUUAUUUGAAAGAGCCACUGAAGAUUCAAUCUCACUAGGCUCAUAAUCAUCAUCUCCUGAGUCAUCCUCAUCAUCAACCCUCAGCCUUUUAGAUAAAUUUCCCUUUUUUCAUCUUGCUAGCCAAGGCCUUAGUAAUGCGGCGAACUCAAUCACUAUCAAGAACAUGCAUUACAAGCAUAAGUUUGAUUGAUAUGAAUAAAAGAAUAAACAAUAAUCCUUUUAGAUGCCAUAGUCCCUGGUGCAGUCACUGAUGACCUACGAACGGUCCGCCUGGGAGGGGCGGACGAUCCACAGUUCAUCGUGGCUACGACCGGGAACCGUGGGUUCCAAGAUUCCAAUCCAUGGAUAUUCAAUUUUAGACCAAAUCGAUCAACCAAACUUUGAACAUAUCUUCUCCUUGUCAUUAGAAAUCAAUCCCCCAAACCAAAAGCACGAAUCCAUGCACCAAUUUCAGAUCAUCCAUCAAAACCCUAACCAUCUUCAUCCUUGAAAUCCAAAGAAACCAAAAGGGGAUUUGAAAUAAUACCGUCUGGUUAUGCUGGAGGAUCACGCGGAGAGUCCGGAGAUGUGAGCAGAUGGUCCGGGGAACCCUCCAAAUUCUUUCCCUAGGUGAGAGUCCCUUUCUUGACAAAGGAGAUGAAAAAGAGAGAGGAGGGCUGAUAUGGUUAGGUGAAGAAGAAAGGGGGUCACCUCCUUUAGAUAAAGACCCGUUGGACUGGGUCCACCUCCUGCCCGACAGGCGCGGGCGGUCCGCCAGGGGGGCGGACGGUCCGCCAUAUAAAACUGCCCACUUUCGAAAUCCCGAAAAAUUUCUGCAUAAAACUGACCCAAACGCGAACGGUCCGCCUCUCACCCGCGGACGGUCCGUCGGUGCCGAACUGUCCGCCUAUGAGGGCACGGACGGUCCGCAUUAUACUGUCCAAAAACCCUUUGAAUGCCACUUUGAGAUGAUUUUUUAGACUUAACUUGGGAUCAUUGCUCAUGAACAUUCUCUUCUCAUCCACUAGCAUCAAUGAAUCAUCCAAAAAUAUGAUGGGAGCGAUUUGAACCAAAAUUUCUUUAAAAGAUGCAUGACCAAGGAUACAAAAAUAAAUAGUAUAAAAAGCACCUAAAAAUCUAGUUAAAUAUGCAAGAAACAAUAAGAUGCAAAGGCAAACAUAUGUACUUAGUUUCAAGACACAUUUGUGAAGUCAAUGACGUUUAGAUCAUUUCUCAAUUUGCAAAACCGUUGCUCAUCCAAAGGUUUGGUGAAUAUAUCCGCCAAUUGAUCAUUUGUACUAAUUCCAUCAAUCUUGAUAUCCCCCUUGUUUACAUGAUCCCUAAUAAAACGAUGUCAAAUAUCAAUAUGCUUGGUUCUAGAAUGUUGAACUGGAUUGUUGGCAAUCUUCACGGCACUUUCAUUAUCACAGAAGAGGGGAAUUUCCUUGAAAUCCAAUCCAAAAUCAAGAAAGUUUGUUUCAGCCAUAACAAUUGAGCACAACAACUCCCGAUCGAGAUAUAUUCCACUUCGGCGGUAGAAAGGGCCACAGAGUUUUGCUCCUUUGAAGACCACGAAACAAGGGAUCGAUCAAGCAGUUGACAACCACCAGAAGUACUUUUUCUAUCAACCUUGCAACCGGCAUAGUCCGAAUCCGAAUAUCCAACCAAUUCAAAUGAGCACCCUUUGGAUACCAAAGACCAGUAUUUGGAGAAUAUCUUAGAUAUCUCAUUAUGCGCUUAACGGUUGUCAAAUGACAUUCUUUAGGUGAGGCUUGAAACCUUACACACAUGCAUACACUAAACAUGAUAUCGGGCCUAGAUGCGGUAAGAGAAAGCAAACUACCAAUCAUAGAUCUAUAAAGCUUUAAGUCUACCGGUUUACCUCCCUCAUCGAGAUCAAGAUGUCCAUUAGUGGCCAUAGGAGUCUUGAUUGGUUUUGCAUCUUCCAUACCAAACUUCUUCAAUAGAUCUUUCACAUAUUUAGAUUGGCAAACAAAUGUGUAUUCCUUUAAUUGCUUGAUUUGAAGACCAAGGAAGAAGCUCAAUUCACCAAUCAUAGACAUUUCAAAUUUUCUAGACAUCAUCUCACCAAAUUCCUCACAAAAACUUUCAUUAGUAGACCCAAAAAUGAUAUCAUCAACAUAAAUUUGACAAAUAAAAAUAUCCUUGCCAAUUUUCUUAGUGAACAAUGUAGUGUCAACCUUUCCAAUUUUGAAGCCCUUAGAAAUAAGAAAGUCUCUAAGCCUCUCAUACCAAGCACGGGGAGAUUGCUUUAGACCAUAGAGAGCUUUAGAGAGUUUAUACACAUGAUUUGGCUUCUUAGGAUCCUCAAAAUCGGGAGGUUGCUCAACAUACACUAGUUCACUAAUUUUACCAUUUAAGAAAGCACUUUUAACAUCCAUCUGGUAUAGUUUUAUAUUAUGUGAGUAUGCAUAGACUAACAAAAUUCUUAUAGCUUCUAGUUUAGCAACGGGAGCAAAAGUUUCACCGAAAUUCAAACCUUCAACUUGAGUGUAGCCUUGAGCAACUAGUCUUGCUUUGUUUCUCACAACAAUACCAUCUUCAUUUUGCUUGUUGCAAAAGACCCAUUUUGUACCAAUAAUAUUAUAGUUCUUGGGCCUCUCAAUCAAUUUCCAAACUUGAUUCCGGGUGAAAUAAUUUAAUUCUUCAUGCAUAGCAUUCACCCAAUCCGGAUCUUGAAGUGCUUCAUCUACAUGGUUAGGUUCAAGAGAAGAAACAAAAGAGUAAUAUUGACAAAAAGAAGCAACACGAGAUCGAGUUUGAACACCCUUACUAAUGCCACCCACAAUUUGAUCAAUGGGGUGAUCUUUGGCAACAUAAUGAUGAAUUUUUUGUUGAACAACCGGCUCUUGUGUUGAUGUAGAAGGAGGAGUAGUGGAGGCCAAUUGCUCAUUGUCUUAAGGAAUGUCAUCAUUUCUUACUUCAUCAUUUUGUUGAUCUUGAUCAUUUAUAGUAGAAGUAGAUGGAUUCACUCUAAUAGAAAUUGAUGGACCAUCAUCCUCAUCUUCUUCUCUAGGCUUAAUAUCCCCAAUAGACAUAGUUUUCAUUGCAUUGCUCAAGCCUUCAUUUCUCACAUCAUCCAAGUUUUCUUUUUCAUCUUGAGAGCCAUUUGUCUCAUCAAAUUCAACAUCAUAUGCUUCCUCAAAAAAACCUUUUGAUUUGUUGUAUACUCUAUAAGCCUUGCUACAAGAUGAAUAUCCAAGAAGAAAUCCUUCAUCACAUUUACUUUGGAACUUGGAUAGCCGGGUACCCUUUCUUAGAAUAUAGCAUUUGCAACCAAAGACCCGAAAAUAGGAAAUAUUUGGUUUCCUUCCAAUAAGAAGCUCAUAAGGUGUCUUGUUGAAAAAUCUAUGAUAAUAGAGCCUAUUUGAUACAUGACGAGCGGUGUUGAUUGCUUCGGCCCAAAAAGAAUCCGAAACAUUAUAUUCCGAGAGCAUUGAUCUUGCCAUGUCAAUCAAAGUUCUAUUUUUCCUCUCAACUAGACCAUUUUGUUCCGGUCUAUAUUUAGUUGAGAAUUCAUGUUUGAUGCCCCUCUCAUCACAAAAUUCCUCAACUCUUGUGUUGUUAAAUUUACUACCAUUGUCACUUCUUACUUUCUUCAAUUUAAGAUCAAACUCAUUUUCAGCCCUUGUAACAAACUUCUUGAAAAUAUCACAAGUAUCGAUCUUGUCAUGAAGAAAGCAUACCCAUGUGUAUCUUGAAUAGUCAUCAACAAUCACAAGAUAAUAACAAUGUCCACCAAUGCUUCUAUAUGUAGUUGGACCAAAUAAAUCCAUGUGCAAUAAUUCCAAAGGUCUUGUGGUUGACAUAAUACCCUUAGAUCGAUGAGAAUUAGCCACUUGUUUUCCGGCUUGACAAGCACUACAUAAUUUGUCCUUCUGAAAUUUCACAUCUUUCAAGCUAACAACUAGAUCAUGUUUUAAUAACCGAUUUAAUUAUUUCAUUCCAACAUGAGCUAGCCUUCUAUGCCAUAACCAACCCAUAGAUGAUUUUGAGAAUAAGCAUGUUGUCAACAUGGCAUGACUAGAAGAGAAAUCCACAAGAUAUAAACUUUCAUGCAUAAAACCCUUGAAUAUACAAACUUUUUCAUCUCUACUAGUAACCUCAAAACCAUCGCUAGUGAAAAUGCAUUUGUAACCAAGAUCACAAAGUUGAGCGACCGAUAAUAAAUUGAAUUUAAGUGAAUUAACCAAUAGCAUAUUUGUGAGUGAAUGAUCAUUGAGAUAGUAAUUUUAUCCAAUCUUUUGACUUCACCCUUGCCAUUAUCACCAAAAGUGAUGUUAUCAUAUCUGGAUGCUUCAUCAUCAAUAGAGGAAACAUUUUUGCUUCACCGGUCAUAUGUUGAGAACAACCACUAUCAACCACCCAAUAUUUUCCUCUGGCCUUAUAAUCCACCUACAAAAGAAAAUUAAGUUCGUUUAGGUACCUAAACUUGUUUGGAUCCUUGGAUGCUAGUGACCAAGACCUUUGGCAGCCAAAUAGCAUUCUUUUUAGCACCAAAGGUAGGUAACUCAACAUAUUUUGCAACAACAUUUCCAUUUGUAUUUUUCUUAAGAAUAUAGCUAGAAUUAAAUGUUACGACUUGCUUCUUUCUACACUCAUUUACAACAUGACCAACACUUUUGCAUUUUUCACAAUAUUUGCCUUCAUUCUUAACAAAAGUGGUCUUCUUAGGAACAAAAGGUUUCUUCCCUUUCUUAUGAAUGUAGCCAAGACCUUCACAGUUCAAGGUAAAUUUUUGGCUUGACCAGAUAUGUUUGAAUUGAGCUCUACUAUCAUAACAUUUUUUCAAGUCUUUGACCAAACAAUCCACUUCCUUCUUUAACUUCUCGAUUUCUAUGAUAAGAGAAGAAUCAUAUGAAGAGCCAUCACUCAUGCAAGAUACGUCACUUGAGCUACAAUGAGUGUUAGAUGAACUAGGCAUGCAAGAUUUAUUACUAAGCAUAUCACAAUCAACAUUCAUGCUCAUUUUUCCUUUGGCUUCAUGCGCAAGAAGAGAAUUUUAAGCUUCCUCAAGCUUCUCAUGAAUUUCUUUUAUAUUCUCAUGAGAAAUCUUUACCUCCUCAUAGGAUUCUUGAAGUGAUUGGCAUUUCAUUUCUUUUCGCAUGUAGUUAUCAGUUUCACUGAGCAUGUUCACAAGAUCCUCAUAAGUAAGCUCACUAUCAUCAUCAUUAUCAUUAUCAUCUAGUGAUAUCUUUGUUUCGCCUUUUGCCAUAAGACAAAAAGGUGAAGAGAAGAGUGAUGGAGCUUUCUUGAUGGCGAUGCCAGCAAUUCCCUUUGAUGGCUUCUCAUCAUCAUCGUCAUCCGAAUCGAAGCUAGUAUCAGAAUCCGACUCAACAUAGUAGGCUUGAUCAUUCCUUUUCUUCUUAUAGAAUUUCUUCUUCUUCUUAUCAUCACUUUUCUUGCUCCUAUUCUUCUUGUUUGGAUAAUUUGCGGCAAUGUGUCCAAAUUCACCACACUCAAAACAUUUCUUGUCUUCAAAUGGAUUUUUCUUUGAUGAUUGACCCUUCUUCAAGUUUUUGUUCCUCAUGAUUCUUUUGAGCCUUCUCACAAAGAGAGCGAUUUCUUCCACGGAAUUAUCAUCAUUAUCACUUUCAUCAUUGUUCUUCUCCUUUAAAGAUUGAGCCUUGAGAGCAAUGCUUUUAUUUUCUUCUUCCUUUGCUACACCAUGUGCUUCAUUUUGUGAUUGCUUGAAGAUGUCAUAAGUGAGCACUUCUUCUAGCACUUGUGUAGGUGUCAUGAUCUUCAAGUUUGAUCUCACUAGCAAUGUCACAAUUGUAUCAUACUUUUUCAGGAGACACCUAAGGAACUUGUGAGAGAAAUCUUCAUCGGGAAUAUUGAAGCCAAGAUACUUGAGUUCAUUCCCUGUAUCAUUCCACCAGUUGAACAUCCAAAAAAAAUUUUCUNNNNNNNNNNNNNNNNNNNNNNNNNNNNNNNNNNNNNNNNNNNNNNNNNNNNNNNNNNNNNNNNNNNNNNNNNNNNNNNNNNNNNNNNNNNNNNNNNNNNNNNNNNNNNNNNNNNNNNNNNNNNNNNNNNNNNNNNNNNNNNNNNNNNNNNNNNNNNNNNNNNNNNNNNNNNNNNNNNNNNNNNNNNNNNNNNNNNNNNNNNNNNNNNNNNNNNNNNNNNNNNNNNNNNNNNNNNNNNNNNNNNNNNNNNNNNNNNNNNNNNNNNNNNNNNNNNNNNNNNNNNNNNNNNNNNNNNNNNNNNNNNNNNNNNNNNNNNNNNNNNNNNNNNNNNNNNNNNNNNNNNNNNNNNNNNNNNNNNNNNNNNNNNNNNNNNNNNNNNNNNNNNNNNNNNNNNNNNNNNNNNNNNNNNNNNNNNNNNNNNNNNNNNNNNNNNNNNNNNNNNNNNNNNNNNNNNNNNNNNNNNNNNNNNNNNNNNNNNNNNNNNNNNNNNNNNNNNNNNNNNNNNNNNNNNNNNNNNNNNNNNNNNNNNNNNNNNNNNNNNNNNNNNNNNNNNNNNNNNNNNNNNNNNNNNNNNNNNNNNNNNNNNNNNNNNNNNNNNNNNNNNNNNNNNNNNNNNNNNNNNNNNNNNNNNNNNNNNNNNNNNNNNNNNNNNNNNNNNNNNNNNNNNNNNNNNNNNNNNNNNNNNNNNNNNNNNNNNNNNNNNNNNNNNNNNNNNNNNNNNNNNNNNNNNNNNNNNNNNNNNNNNNNNNNNNNNNNNNNNNNNNNNNNNNNNNNNNNNNNNNNNNNNNNNNNNNNNNNNNNNNNNNNNNNNNNNNNNNNNNNNNNNNNNNNNNNNNNNNNNNNNNNNNNNNNNNNNNNNNNNNNNNNNNNNNNNNNNNNNNNNNNNNNNNNNNNNNNNNNNNNNNNNNNNNNNNNNNNNNNNNNNNNNNNNNNNNNNNNNNNNNNNNNNNNNNNNNNNNNNNNNNNNNNNNNNNNNNNNNNNNNNNNNNNNNNNNNNNNNNNNNNNNNNNNNNNNNNNNNNNNNNNNNNNNNNNNNNNNNNNNNNNNNNNNNNNNNNNNNNNNNNNNNNNNNNNNNNNNNNNNNNNNNNNNNNNNNNNNNNNNNNNNNNNNNNNNNNNNNNNNNNNNNNNNNNNNNNNNNNNNNNNNNNNNNNNNNNNNNNNNNNNNNNNNNNNNNNNNNNNNNNNNNNNNNNNNNNNNNNNNNNNNNNNNNNNNNNNNNNNNNNNNNNNNNNNNNNNNNNNNNNNNNNNNNNNNNNNNNNNNNNNNNNNNNNNNNNNNNNNNNNNNNNNNNNNNNNNNNNNNNNNNNNNNNNNNNNNNNNNNNNNNNNNNNNNNNNNNNNNNNNNNNNNNNNNNNNNNNNNNNNNNNNNNNNNNNNNNNNNNNNNNNNNNNNNNNNNNNNNNNNNNNNNNNNNNNNNNNNNNNNNNNNNNNNNNNNNNNNNNNNNNNNNNNNNNNNNNNNNNNNNNNNNNNNNNNNNNNNNNNNNNNNNNNNNNNNNNNNNNNNNNNNNNNNNNNNNNNNNNNNNNNNNNNNNNNNNNNNNNNNNNNNNNNNNNNNNNNNNNNNNNNNNNNNNNNNNNNNNNNNNNNNNNNNNNNNNNNNNNNNNNNNNNNNNNNNNNNNNNNNNNNNNNNNNNNNNNNNNNNNNNNNNNNNNNNNNNNNNNNNNNNNNNNNNNCUACUGGGACAAGGCCCGCCGGAUCCGAGUCUCCCAGGUCUCUUGGGUGUGCGCUGAUGCUUCAGGAGGGUGCGUACGUGUGUUCUGUUGGUUUGGGGGCGUUAUGAUGCCUUGAGUUGUGCGUGGAGCCUCCUGCCUCCUCUGUCUCAGACCCCCGAUUCUCCUUUUAUAGCGUAAGGAGAUCACCGGGGUUACAGGUGAGACUGAUUGUGGGGAGCAGUAAAGAGAUAAACAUGGCUAGGUAAAAAUACAACACGAAGGGGGAAGCAAGUUCCCAGGUCGCCGGCCUUCGGCUUCCACCGGCGUGUUUGCCGGAAGAAGGUGGCCGUCGUUACGUCCUGUCGAUGGCUUCCUCGGCGACUGUAGCCGCCGAGCGCGAUGAUGGCAUUCCGUCGUGACCCCCAUGUCCGCUGGGGGAGGCGGCGGAUCCCUCCAUCCUGCUGACGGCCCGCGGAUAGCGGACGUCGCAUCUCUGCCGCCGGGCGCGCGGGGCACGAGAGCGGGCGAGGCUUCCUCCUGCUCCGGACGGUGCAGGCCAUGAGUGCCCUGUGGCCAAUCGGAGGGGGUCGCAGCUACUGUAGCAAGUACUGCGCGGCCGCGCAUGGGUACUUGUGGUGGGUUGCGUGGGUGCGCGGAUAUCCUUCUCCCUGACAGCUCUGCGGCGCAUUUAUGGCGAGAUCGACAGGGGGACCCAUGGGAUCUGCGCCCGAGGCGGAUUCUGGUCUGGAGAGCCCGGGCUAGCCCAACCCCCUAAGCCUGGAGUCGGGCGAGGCAGAGACCCGUGGCGGGGGGUCGGAUGCUCCCGACCCCAGGCCCGCAGUCGGGCGGGACGGAGCUUGGUCCUCCGGGAGUCGGGGGAGCCCAACCCCGGGGCAUGAGGUCGGGCGAGGCGGAGCGUGGCUCUCGCCUCCCAUGUUGGGCCGACGGCAGUCGUUGUUCCCUUAGGUAGGCCUGGGCCUUUGUGUCUUGUUGUUUCCAUGGGCUUCGAAAGGUCAUUAAUAUUUUCCCCCGACACCCUCAUUCACAAUCCCCCAUAUCUUCUUGCCCAUUGCCUUAAGAUGAACCAUCAUUCUUAUCUUCCAAUAAUCAUAAUUGUUCCCAUCAAAGAAUGGUGGUUUCCCACAUAAACAUUCUUAUCAUUAGCCAUUUAUCCUACUCCGGGAUGGUUAAAUCCUUGAAAUAUGGAGACCACGGCUCUAAUACCACUUGUAGGAUCUAGGAUACCAACUAGACGGGGGUGAAUAGGCGGUUUCAACUAAAAUCACAGCACUAAAUAAAUUUAAUUAGUAACACAAGAUGAAAACUAUUUCUAGCUACUUUACAACUAUGUGAGGGUUUGCAACCUAGGGUGACAAGGAAUAAGUCAAUCUCUAAGAAUGUAAUUGCUCAAAGUAAAUUGCAAUAAUGAAAUUGAGCAAAGAAAUAACCGAACACAAGAGACGAAUUUUUCCCGUGGUAUUGUUGACUUGCCGGUCACCCCUAAUCCACGUUGAGGUGGAUUCAAUGCUUCAACCGCUCCUCUAUCAAGAUACCACUUGAUGUUUGAGCCAGCUUGAAACAAAGAACCUCUCCAAACCUCGAUUCCACUAGUGUUCCAAACAUGUUUCUGUCUAAGUUAGACUGACCGUCCGCCCAUAUAGGGCUGGACUGUCCGCCUUUAUGCAGUCAGCACUCUUUUAGAACAUGUUUUUCUUCUUAUUUCUUUCACUUUCUCAAACUAUGUUAGUCCAUAUGCAUGCAAUGCAAUUAUUUGAGAAAAGUGGCACUAUAGAACCGUCAAGUAAAUGAAAUUGACCCCAAUUGAUAGUAUGGCUAUCUAGCCUAUUAAUCUGGUCAAUUUACAUCCGCUAAGCACCUCUUGACCGGUAAAAUAGAAAACCCUAUCGUAUACCUUUGCCUUGAGCUUUCCAACGUACAAACCAUCCAAGUUAUCACCAUAGCAUCCUUUGACGCUCACUUCAACUUAACCGAUAUUCAUAUUCUUAAAGAAAUUGUUAGUCCACUAAGACCGUCAUUAAUUACCAAAACACAAGUAUGGGGCCUAGAUGCUUUCAUACUCAAUGCUGGUCCAAACCUCAAAUCGAUUGGUCAAAUGAGGCUGGCAUACACAAUAGGUAAUCUAUGACGAGAGGACACUCAGCCCAGCGUAACAUUUUCAUUGAAGUCUUCAUUAUAGCAUCCUGGGAAUUACGGAAGAUGCGCAAUGCAGUCAUUUUUGAGCAAGCAAGGCCCAGCAUCAGAAUAUGGGCAAUGAAGUUUAGGGAGCAAUGCCUUCUCCGAGUCUUGCGCUUUCGUGAAGACCGUAGAUUGCUAUUUAUACAAUGGCUAUACUCAAUUUUUGUAAUUUCUCCCUGAUCCCCCAUCUCUAUCAUCUGUUAUCAUCUGUGAGUAUGUCCAUUUUUUACUCUUUUUUAUAUAAAAUCGAAGUGUUGUGGGGAACUCCCCCACAGUUUGCCUUAAAAAAAGUACGAGAGGCAGCGUAUAAAAAAAAGUCAUGGAUCGUGAGAAUUUCCGAUUUCUUUAGAUGCAGUUUUAUUGAAAACCAAAAUUACAAAGAAAUGUUCAGCUUUUUCUGAAAAAAGGAGCAUAUCUUGUGGGUGGCAAAGAUGGCAAGAACAAUCCUCGGGUCUCAAAAGUCAAAAACUUGAGCAACUUAACAGAAGGUAUCGAAAACUAUGGUAAGGUACUCAUUCAGUUUCGUAGGCUUCGGAUUGACUGAACCCAAACCAAACAGUACAAGAUUGAUUGAAACAAUUAUCCGAUUGCAUGAAAAAGAUUUUAUAUUGUUUUAUGUCAUCGAACCAAGAGCACGGGCAUGAAAGGAAUAUGUAGAGUGGUAGGCGAAGAAACUCAGGGAGUGUUUGAUUAUUUAGUCUGGACUAAAGUUCCUGUCAUAUCGAAUAUUUAUAUGGAGUAUUAAAUAUAAACUAAUUACAAAACCAAUUGCACAGAUGGAGGCUAAUUUGUGAGAUGAAUCUAUUAAGCCUAAUUAAUCCAUAAUUUGACAAUGUGAUGCUAUAGUAAACAUGUGCUAAUCAUGAAUUAAUUAGGCUUAAUAAAUUCAUCUUGCAAAUUAGCUUCCAUCUAUAUAAUUAGUUUUAUAAUUAACUCAUGUUUAGUCCUCCUAAUUAGUCUCCAAAGAUUCAAUAUAACAUGGACUAGACUUUACCUCAAGGAUCAAACACCCCUCGGAACUCCAGUGCUGCAGCCAGGUUUUCCAGGUUCCAGGCUUAAUCUGUGACCUACCGGGCUAUUUUUGCUUAAGCGUGGUUUGCAAGUUGUUGGACUGGGCCAAUUGGAGAUUGCAGUCGCUGGAUGGGCUGGCCAAACGGCCAACAUGGACCCCGUUUAAGGCCCACGAAGGAAGCGAAAGCCUGUACGAAGAAAGGAGCAAAUAAGGAGGCCCAUGUGCAUUCCAAGCUCAUUGUUAGGAGGCCCAUUUCAGUUCUUUUAAAGCCCCCAUUUGAGUUGGUUUCUAAACUUGCAGAGCCCACACUCCACACAGCUGUUCAGCAGCAACCUAGUAUCCUCCUCCAAGAUGCUACGCGUGACCAGUCGCCACCACGGCAUCAAAGCGGUUUGCCACCGUACCGUACAGGCGUCCGGCGGAGCGCGGACACGACACACGAGCGUCGAUCCAAGGCCGUGCUGUCAAAUCAGGAUGGUUAGCUUAGCUAUCAAGCCGUCGCUGCGUGCAUGCUCCGUCAUGUGGAGGUGCUCCUGCUCCAGUACAGAUCGAGAUCUGGGCGCCCAGAUACGGCAGGAAAACCACCCGAAAUCGACAGCGAGACACGAGAAGCAAUAAUUUCCGAGGGCGCAGCGCAAUUAUAGGAUUCAUAUGGCCUGUUACAAUAAUCGAUCGUACGUGCAGCCCCGAGUGCAGGUACGUACGUACAGACGAUCCGUCCGGUUAGGUACUUGCCCCUGUGGUACUAGCGAUAUUCAAUAUUCCGUAGCCACAAUGCGUCCGUCGCGAACAACAUACGUACUGUACCCAACAACGCUUGCAGUUUACUAACUUUAGCUGUAUAAUUGUGAUGAGGAGAAGCUGGAACGACAUGCACGGCAUGGGCGAGAGGAAAGAGCCAAAAUGCCACGAACGUGCCCCUGUUUCUCGAGGGAGGGACAGGGCACGCUACUUUAGGGGGUGUUUGGGAAACCCCUGUUAAAGUUUAACACCUGUCACAUCGGAUGUUUGGAUGCUAAUUAGGAGUACUAAACAUAAGCUAAUUACAAAACUAAUUGCACAGAUGGAGUAUAAUUCGCGAGACGAAUCUAUUAAGCCUAAUUAGUCCAUGAUUUGACAAUGUGGUGCUACAGUAACCAUUUGCUAAUGAUGGAUUAAUUAGGCUUAAUAGAUUCGUCUCGCGAAUUAGCACAAGGUUCUGCAAUUAGUUUUAUAAUUAGCUCAUAUUUAGUCCUCCUAAUUAGCAUCCGAACAUCCGAUGUGACACUGUUAAAGUUUAGCACCUCAUAUCCAAACAGCCCCUUAAUCUUUCUUUGCUCUUGCUCGUACGUAUCGAUAUGGGAUAAUGGGAGAGUAGCACGGCCGAGGAGAUUGCUCCGAGAAGGCGAGAACCUCUCGAGAUUUCGAUGCGGUUGCAGACGCCGCUGUCCAAGUAUACAACGACAUGCACUGGCCGCUUUUACAAAGCGACACGAGUGUGCUCGAGGUACGGAGCUUAUGCCGAGCGUGUUGCCAGCUCUCGUCAUCAGAAAAAAGAGUAACACAAAAAUUAAUCUCAAAAAAAAGGAGUACCAGAAAUAACACAAGCUUCAGCUAGCAGAUUUUGAAGAACUGACACGAGUUUUAGCAAGCAGGACAGGAUCGAUUACUGCAUCUAAAAUCUGAAGCCCAUUUGCAACUCAACGCAGAUACCAUCUCUUUUUAUGCGAAAAAUGAUAGCUGGUGAUCAUCGCGGCCGUUCCGGCUAUCAAACUACAAUCUACAAGGAAGACAAGUUCUCCUGCAGUCCUGCUGUCACGGAGCAGAGGCACCGAUCUCCGUACGCGAUUAAAAGUUCAAAUACUUUCUUCUUCGUGAUGAAAAGUUACACAGUAGUAAUAUUUUACAUGCGUGAGCGGGAAAAAAAAAGAGCGCAACUGAGACGACCUUAAACUUGAGCCUCUAUUAAGCGUCGAUCAAAGCCAGCUUCGGGUACGGUUAACCCACAGGGCUAUAUACACAUGACGCAACGAGAACCCACACCCAUGACCCAUGGCAUGCUCAUCAAGCGCCGAGCUUGUAGCUGCCGAGGUCCUCCUUGAUCAGCUCAAGGUCCCUGGACGCCACGGCCACCGACAUCGCCCUGCGGUGGCGCCCCGCCGGCGGCCUCGCUGCCUGCUGCUCGGCACCGGCGCCGUCGGAACCGGCCUUCCCGCCGGCCUCGGCCGCCGCGUCGACGUCUAGGGUGGCGAGGUUCUCCGGGAGCACGAACACGCUCUGCGACGCCCGGCGCUGGUGCCGGCCCGGCCGCUGCGACGACAUCGGCCUUUGCUCGGGGGGUCGCGGGCAGACGGGGUGGGUACGGAGUGACGAGUGAGUGAGCAGAGGCUGGUCACUUGGGCUUCGGUGGUGUGUGUCUGGUUUGAGAAGAGAGCUGGAAGAGUCACGGCUUUAUAUAGGACGGGUCUUAUGCUCUGCUGUGCUGUGGCCAGCCGGCCUGCAUUACUUUUCAAUAUCUUUUCAAGUUAAGGAUCAUUUUUAACACCAGUUAAAUGGAUCUGUGCUGCAACGCGCAACGGCACAAUUUACGGCAUGCAUUGAUGUGAAAAAUGGACGGAAUGGCGCCGGUUUCACGCUUAUGUUAGGAUAAGAUCCGUGGGUAGAAUUUAUGUUGACUUCGGCGUCAUCUGUUUUACGUAAAACGAAACAUAAUAGCGUGAAAUUAUUUUUAAACAUAUGCUAAAAUAAAAUAGAAGUCAUUAUUUUUAGUUUCACCGAGUGAAGCUAUUUUGAAAGAAGCUCUUCCAAACGGAAUCUAAGUUGUGGAAGAGGUUACAGUGUUGUAAACAUAGCAAAGCUUAGAAGUAGAUAGAGUUGCGGUGAUGACACACACCAUUACCACCAACUCAAAUUAGAGAUAACGUUCCAGUCCACUCUAGUGAGAAACUGAUCGAGAAUCACUAGCAUGAAAGCUAAACCUACGGUUCACAAAAGUAGCCCGAAAAACAUGAAGAAUUAUCACAACGAAGAGAAAAAGGAGGAAUUUGGUGCGCAAAGAGAUAGGGGGCGUUUUCUUCCCGUGUCUUAUUUUUAGCACGUGUCACAUCGAAUGUUUAGAUACUAAUUAGGGAGUAGUAAACGUAGACUAUUUACCAAACCAAUUACACAAGUGGAAUCUAAACGGCGAGACGAAUCUAUUAAGCCUAAUUAAUCCCAUCAUCAGCUAAAUAUUUACUGUAGCAACACAUUGUCAAAUCAUGGACUAAUUAGGCUUAAUAGAUUCGUCUCGCCGUUUAGAUUCGUCUUAUGUAAUGGGUUUUGUAAAUAAUCUACGUUUAAUACUCCUAAUUAGUAUCUAAACAUUCGAUGUGACGGGUGCUAAAGUUUAGCAAGUGGAAGAAAACAGGCCUAUAUUGCUGCAGGAAUCGAACAAAUGCCAGUAUCUUUAAUUUCGUGCAUGGACUGACAGACGUGUGCAGGGGAGAUGAAGCAUGUCCCACCCCUCGGGUCUCUGCGAUGCGGGAACAUUUAAUAAAGAUUUUGGAUCGCCUGUGACAUUACACGCAUGCGGUUGGGGGACGCGAUCUAUCGCGAUCUAUCCUUAUCCUUUCGAGCCUCGUCUCGUUCCUCGCCAAUACUAAGCCCGUCUGGUUCUACAGAGUAAAAAUUAUCGGUACUAAUCAGAAUUAUUAAACAUAGAUUAGGGGGUGUUUGGUUCCACCUUGCUAAACUUUAGCAUCCGAAGAUUCAAUGUGAUAAGAAUUGAAUUUUAGCUCAUGUUAGUCUUUCUAAUUAGCAUCCGAAAAUUUAAUGUGACAAGAACUGAAUUUUAGUUUUAGUUUAAGGAUCAAACACCCCUAAAAACGAGAGGGAGAUUUUGAUCGCAUCUCGGUUCUCUCUCUUCUUACGCUUACCGUCCAUUUUAUUCGCUGUCCCUCGGUAAUCGGCAUGAAUCCUUUUGCUACACCUGAGUGACGCCUCUUUGCAUUCCAAACUUUGUGAAAGUUCGCACUGUGUCCUUUGCAUUCAUUGCAGAUUUCGUUGAGCUUCUGGAAAUCAUGGAGCUUACGGACCAUUACGCAGGGCGAAACGAAACUGCGACGCGGCGUUCAUUUCGGUUUCUGACAGUAAUCUGAUCUGACCGAUCGAGCAUGUGCGGUGCGGAGGCCUUGCAUGAUCUGCAGGACUCGCACACAAACUCAUCGGGAUCAGGAGAUGGAGCCUGCCAGCCGGUACACGUACCGGCGCACGCGUUCGGCGCUCGCCGAGUCGGUCCCGUGCGCGCCGAGCAAAGAGACGGACGAUGGUCACACCGCGGACGGCGGCGCGUGGGAGCACCGCGCGCCACAUGUGUGGGCACUGUGUUCCGUCCGUCCGCGAGCUUUAUUUCGGGGUCGGGGCGACCGGCACACAUGGCAAUCAUCGCGGCCAUCACAGGACAGCGGCGCCUGGUGGAAGCACCGGGACCGUGACCGACCGUUGCAGCCGUGCCGUGCGUGCGGGCGCGCGGGGCACCCCAUGCGAAAAGGAUCGAGCGGCCAUGUGCCCGGGGAGCCGCCCCACGUUGGCUGGUCCCGGGCCCGAGCCCGCGCGCACAUGGGCGGCACCGCCGCACCGGGCGGGCGGCAGCGCGCACGGGGGCGCACACACCUGUGAGUUGAGGAGGCCGUGAGCCCGUGACUAGCGCGCGAACGCGAUCGCCGCCGCGUGGUUGUCUGCGCGGGCUACGACGGCGGCGGGAAUGGAGGGAGCGCGCCGGCGCUGCUGCGGGCCGAGGUGUGUGGUGUGGUCGAUGCGUGGUUAAGCCCAGCAGCAGCAAAGGUUGUGGAACCGCCGGGAGAAGCGCUUCCAAAAUAAGCUGCAAAUGGAGGAGGUGGGGAGAAACGCGGUCAAAAAAAUUGCAAAAAAGUACGCUGUUUGGUUUCUAGUUUUAACUUAUUUUGGUCACUAGGAUCGUACCCUGCGUUGCUACGGAUAAAAAAAAUGCUAUCGUGAGCAUAGAUAGUUUAGAAUGGUACAUAAUGCAUAUAAUAAAAAUCAGUUUAGAAUGGUACAUAAUGUCACACAACAGUUUACAAUUUGAUUUUCUAAAUAGAGUUUGCGUGCUACACAUAAUUCAAGAACUACAAUGAUAUUUUCAGCAGGUUCACAGUUCUCGAAUAUCUCAACCGUACAGUCUUCCAGGCAGUAUCACGAUUCACCAUUAACGUAACCUAAAAUGCAACUAAAGUCCUGACUUUGCCGGUUCCCAUGCCAUACAUGGAUCUGCAAAACAAAGCAUAUGCAAAAAGGUCGUUGAAUUGACUUUUGGCGAUGACGAGCCUACUUUUGCUGAAGUAGUCACGAUUGCCAAAGAUGCAGCUGCAAGUGUCGCGGCCGUUGAAGCGCCGCCCGUGGAGGAGGCACCGUUAAACUUAGGGUCAGCAGCCCCCGGAUAGGCUGCUAACCCAGCAGGUGAUGAGGCCAUGGCUUCUGUGGUGGCGGAUGCUGUGAAGACACCGGAAGUAGCUGUUGACGCCUCGUUGCCUGAGGAUGUUACUGGUGGUGAGUACGCUAUCUGUUCUAGUAGUCGUGCGUACGUAGUCUUAACCUUGGUUCUUUCAUGGCUUGGCGAAAAAGUGAAGAACUUUCUUCCCGUGGCCCCCGUGGAGCCAGUGCCGAGUAUGCAGCCGGUGGUAGUCAAAAAAAGGCGUGUUCGUCUGCCACCGCGAUCAGCCCGGUAAGGACUUGUGUAGUCUCAUCUUUUGUUUGAUGAUUUUGGUACUCUGUAGCCGGAUGAUGAUCUUGUGACCUGAUUGAUCCAGGGAUGCCGAAGGCAUUAUUCCCGUCGAGGUGGAGGCGGAGGUUGAGGCUGUUCCGUCGACUACCAUUUCUGGGCCCAUAGUCGACUUGACUAUGGAGGAUGCACCUGAGAUCGAAGACGCAAGUCUCAUAGGUGCUAUUAUAUCUAUGCUGCAGGAGGUCAUCCGCUCGGUAAAGGACCCUACAGUCCCUGAGAGUUCUGGAGGUGUGCUGCCUACAACGGCUGAAGUUGUGUCGACUGGGAGUGCGACUAGUGCUGAUGCCUUGGCACUGGUUGUUGCGACAGGAAUAGGCGAAGUCAGCACAACAGGUAUGUUACUGGAGUAGAGACUCUUUUGAAGGGGAGCUCCCUUAUACCCAGUAGUUAACCAUGAUUUUUUCUUGUCAGUAUCUGUUGUGAGUAAAGAGCCGGAGCCUCAAGUCGCCAAGAGCACUGGGGGUUCGGUACUCGAGUUGCCACCGGAGCUGGAGAUCAAGAGAGCUAUCCAGAGUUUCAAGUGCGUAUAACACAUUUCCUUUGAGUAAUUAUAUUUUGACAAGUCUUGAUGCUUGUGUUGUGUUUUUGUAGGAUUUGUAUGAUAAGGCCCAGAGAAAUACUCGGGCUCUUCAAGAACACAGUGAAGCAGCACAGCGGGUAAUGCAACUGGAGCAAGAGUGUCGCUGCCUUACGGAUUCCUUGAGAGUUCAUGAGAAGGCCGCAGAAUCUUUUGCGAUUGAGAGGAGUGACCAUGAAGUCCUCCAGGAGCGACUGGAGAGUCACUAUAAAUCUUUGAAUCAGAGAUAUCAGGGUGAGUACUCGUGGUUGUUGAGUAUGUUUAAUCGUAGUCAUAGACUCUUCUCUUAUCUGUGUGUUGCUUGACACAGAGCUCAAAGCCAGGAAGGCCGUUGCGAGUAGCCAGCUGCUUGACUGGAGAAAUGCUCACGACCGGGUAGCCGAUGAGGCUGCUCUCCUUAGGGCAUCACUGGCUGCAACUUGGGCAGCUUACAAGCGCGAGAAGGAGAGAAAAGAUCAGAUAGGAGUGAUGCUGGCAUUGGCUAUGGUGUCCUGUAGAGGCCAUGCUAGAACUGUGGAGAAGCUGGAAGGUGAUCUCCAAGAGUUGACUAAUGUUGCUCAGGACGCAGUCAACGCUAUUGCUCCUCCCGAAGAUGAUGCUGAGCCUCGCUCGCUAGUCGAGAGACUAAGAGCUACCUCGGGUAGAGUCGCUGGACUGUGCAAGACUGUCUGCUAGCAAGUCCUUGCAGUGGUCAAGUCAUAUUACCUGAGGGCAAACUUGUCGGCGGCUGAAGAUGGAAUUGCCCGAAACUGCACGGAGGAUGCCUAUGCGAAGUAUCUUGAGGAGGCUGAGCCCAUUGCGGCAAGGAUGACCGAGUUCAUAUCUUUGGAAGAACCCUAGUUAUUUGAACUCGUGUUGUAUUUUUUGCCGAUCAUUUGUGGCUGUACUCGAACAGUUGUCUUGUAAAUCUUGACAUGAUCGAUGAUCUUUCCUGGAGAAUUGUCAGUUUGACCUCGUAGUCGGGAAAACGAAUCCAAGUAACCGAGUAGUUGUAGUAUUCGGUGUGGUCUUCAAUUAUUGGAGUUGCUGAUGAGGGUAUUGUAGCUAUUAUUGCCUUGUACUUGAGAGGGUGCACGGGUACACUUGUUCACUUUUGUCCGUUAUGCUCAGUGUGGUCACAUGCAUGGAGUUAAGUCGUCUGUUUGACCCUUGUCGGUGUCUUAGGUUGUUCGUCAUGAGCGAGCAGUAACUGCGAGUAGUUGGCAGUUGCAGCCCUUUGGCUAUAAAUGGCCCCCUGGAUACUCGAUCAGGAUCAUGCCGUUCAGUAUAGCGAUGGCUUGCUUCAUGUUGUUGUUGUUUGAUAGUGGAGAGCUUCCAAUGAGCGCCCCGGUGCUAGAAGAUUCCUCGUAGAUUAGAACCACCUUCCCUCCACAGACUCUUACGCUUGUAGGGAUAGCCGCGAUGCUAGAAGAAUCCUUGUAGGAGGGUUUGUCACGUGCCUCAUCUUGCAAUUCGCGAUCCAGCUCAGUUCGUGCUGGAACUCGUAAGUGAAUGAUGAUGAGGUCCACGGUCUUUAUCCGGCUCCUUGAUCAGAGGUGGAGGUGUGGCAUAUGGUAAGGACUUGUGCGCUGAAGAUGUCCAGAGAGCAGCUUCGAGGAGUGCACUUCAUCUUCGUGGUGCUUUUCUUCCGGAUUCUGCGUCGGGUAUUCAUCAUGUUGCGUCGAGGGAGCGGCGGUGAAGGAGUACCUGGUGUUCAGGUUGUCAGGGGGAGGGACCAGGGUACAACUGCCUAUUGUGCAGCUUCCUCGUGUGCAGGUCCUGCCUUUUGACACUGCUUGCACCUUGGUAGUCGAGCAGUCGCCAGGCUCGUGUAUCCUUGUGAUAUAGUAAAAGCCUGGGACUUCUGUUCUAAUUGCCAGUAGUUGCUUGCAGUCGUUGUUGUGCUAUUGUGUUGUAUUUUGUAUACCCUGGCUUCAUUGGGUAGUCGAUUGUAAUCCUGUGGAGUUUCGUUAAUGCAAAAAAUGCAAGUAUGAAGUGAGUUUGAGUACUCCUUGUCUGAUGGUUGCGACAAUCUUGUGCCUUUGAAGAACAAAUGACUAGCAUCGUAGUCGUGGCUUUGUGAAGCCGCUUAGACUUGUAGAGACGAGUCGGCGAGAGAAUGUUGAAAUUCGUAGAGCUGGAGAGCUUGAGUGGCUGUGAAUAGCCGAGGAGUUGUGAUAACUUGAAGACUUGAUAAAAACAAGUCAAGGGCGGUGCACUGGGGCUCGCAGAGCUGAAGAGCUCGAGUGGCUGUGAAUAGCCGACGAGUUGUGAUAACUCAAAAAGACUUGAUGAAUCAAGUCGAAAGCGGAGCGCUAGGGCUCGUAGAGCUGAAGAGCUCGAGUGGUUGUGAAUAACCAACGAGUUGUGAUAACUCAAAGACACUUGAUGAAUCAAGUCGAAAGCAGAGCGCUAGGGCUCGUAGAGCUGAAGAGCUUGAGUGGCUGUGGAUAGCCGAGCGGAGGCAAAGGUAGGUAGUGUUUCCAAAGAACUUUGUUGUCUAAUAAACUGUGGGUGAGGACCCGAGUAUAUAUCUUGUAGUCUGCUACGGGUAGUAGCGACACAGAUGCUCUAUAUUGUAAGAGUUUGGUACUUUUUCACCUAAGAGUUCCUGUAGUUGAUACGAUCCAGGCCCUGUGAUCUUGGAAAUGAUGUAGGGACCUUCCCAUGGCGAGUUGAGUUUGUGCAGCCCUGAUGUGUCUUGAAUGCGUUUGAAGACCAUGUCACCCACAUUAAAGGAACGUUCCUUGACAUUACGAUCGUGAUAACGUCGUAGCCCAUCGAGAUAUCUGGCUGACUGAACCAGUGCUGCACAUCUUGUUUCUUCCAGACUGUCUAGGUCUAGGCCCCUUGUUUCCUAUGAUACUCCCUCGUCAUAUUGCACAAUUGCGGGAGAUUGCCACAUGACGUCUAAAGGGAGGAUGGCCUCUGACCCAUAUACGAGGAAGUAGGGAGAGUGCCCAGUAGGCUUGCAUGGUUGAGUGCGUAGUCCCUAAAGAAUAUUGGGUAGUUCUUUGAGCUAUUUGCCUCCUUUUGUGUUGCCGAUGUCAUGCAGGCUUUUCUUGGGAGCUUCGAGUAACAUGCCGUUGGCACGCUCGACUUGGCUGUUGGCCCUUGGGCGAGUCGCCGUAUACCAGUAAUCGUUUGAUACCGAGUGAUAUUGCGAGACGAAGGCCAUGUAGAAGUGCUUCAUACUCGGCUUCAUUGUUUGAGAUUUCCCUAAAUAUUUUGAGAACGUAUUUGAGUUGUUCACCUUUUGGAGAAAUCAAGAGUACUCCUGCGUUGGCGCCUUCAAGCUUGAGAAAACCGUCGAAGUACAUAACCCAAUGUUCUGGCCUUUCAACUGGUGUUGGUACUUGGUUUUCCCUCCACUCCGCCAUGAAGUCGACCAGAGCUUGGGAUUUGAUAGCUAUUCUGGGUUUGAAGUCUAGAGACAGAGCUCCGAGUUCUACUGCCCACUUGGAGAUUCUACCCGUUGCAUCCCUGUUAUGAAGGAUUUCACCGAGCAGGAAGUCAGUGAUGACGGAUAUGGUGUGUUCUUGAAAGUAGUGUCGCAGCUUUCAUGAGGUAAGGAAGAUUGCGUAGAGUAGCUUCUGCACCGGUGGAUACCGAGUUUUGAAGUCCGAGAGUUUUUCACUAACGAAGUAGAUGGGUCUCUCAACUUUGUAGAUGUGGCCUGGUUCAGACCUUUCGACUACUACUGUUGUGCUGACAAUAUGAGUAGUAGCGGCUAUAUAUAGGAGCAAGUCCUCGUUUGGAGAUGGAGCCGUGAGGAUUGGUGGUUUUGACAGGAAGUCCUUGAGCUGUGUCAAGGCUUUAUCUGCCUCAUCUGUCCAUUGAAACUUGUCUUGUCGUCUGAGUAGCUUGAAGAAGGGUAAUCCGCGUUCUCCAAGUCUUGAGAUAAAUCGAUUGAGGGCAGCCAUGCAGCCUCUAAGCUUCUGCACAUCCUUGAUGCCGUUUGGAGCUUGCAUAUUUGUGAUGGCAGAGAUUUUUUCCGGGUUGGCCUCAAUGCCACGGUGGCUAAUGAUGAAUUCGAGUAAUUUUCCCGAGGGUAUAACGAAAACGCAUUUUGUAGGGUUGAGUUUCCACCGGAACGCUCGUAGGUUUGCAAAAGUUUCUUCCAAGUCUGCGACUAGAUUGUCUGGAUUUCUUGUUUUGACGACUACAUCGUCUACGUAAGCUUCUACGUUGCGGUGUAGUUGCUUCACGAAACACAUCUGGAUGGCACGUUGAUAGGUCGCACCAGCAUUUUUUAGCCCGAAAGACAUUGUUAUGUAGCAAAAUGCUCCAAACGGGGUGAUAAAAGCUGUUUUGGAUUGAUCUUCUUCUUUGAGGGCUAUUUGAUGAUAGCCUGAGUAGCAGUCGAGAAAGUAGAGCAAUGCACACCCAGCUGUGGAGUCGACUACUUGGUCGAUCCUAGGAAGUCCAAAGGGGUCCUUUGGGCAAUGCUUGUUGAGGUCUGUGUAGUCGACGCAUAUCCUCCACUAAUUGUUGUUCUUGCGAACGAGUAUAGGGUUGGCUAGCCAAUCAAGGUGGAAAACUUAUUUGAUAAACCCUGCUGCGAGUAGUUUGGCCAGCUCUUUUUUGAUUGCAUCUAUUCUGUCUUGGGCGAACCUUUGUAGUCAUUGUCUUUUUGGGUAGCUUUGGGAUCGACGUUUAAUGAAUGUCAAUCAGCUCCUUGGGCACACCAGGCAUGUCAGCUAGCUUCCAAGCGAAGAUGUCGUGGUUAGCCCGAACAAAACUAAUGAGCGCGCUUUCCUAUUUAGGGUCUAGCUCUGUUCCAAUCAGGGCUGUUUUGGAUGAGUCGCCAGUCUGGAGAUCGACGGGUUUGAAGUCCUUCUCGCUUGCUGGUUUCACCUUAGUCGAUCCCGACUUUUUUUUCUGGGAUCUCGAGUUCUGUGGGGCUGAGUUUCUUUGAUGCUGUGAAGACUUGUUGCAUGGGAUUGGGUGCUUGAGAAGUCACUGCGAUUUCGACAGCUUUCGUGUCGCACUCGUACGAUCACCUCAAGUCUCCACGUAGUGUCAACUCACCUUUACGUCCUGGCAUCUUGAGUACCAGGUACACGUAGUGUGGUAUAGCCAUAAACUUGGCCAGGGCUGGUCUUCCGAGUAUGGCGUGGUAAGAAGUUUCGAAAUCGGCGACCUCAAACCUGAUGUACUCGGUUCGGUAAUGUUCCUUGGUGCCAAAAGUGACUGGUAGGACAACUUGUCCUAGAGGUAUGGCAGCAUUUCCUGGGACAAUUCCGUAGAAGGGUGAGUCUAUUGGAGUAAGCAUGUCUGUGAUGUCGAGGCACAUUUUCCUUAGCGUCUUGGUGAAAAUGAUGUUGAGUCCGCUUCCGCCAUCGAUGAGUACUUUGGUAAGUCUUGAGCCUGCUGAGAAACUUGUCCAUUGGUCCUUUUUGCUGAAAGUUAUGGGUACCUUAGACAAUUUGAGGGUUGUAGGAGCUGCUGGCAUGAUAGCCAUAAUCUCUCUAAGUACUAGCUUAUUGGAACCCUUGGACGUGGUACCCGGGAUUCCACCAAAAAUGAUGUUGACCGUCUUAGAGGCAGUUUGGAACUCACCUUCACCUUCGUCAGCUUUGUCAACCUUGCCUUUAUCCUUAUCCUUGUUCUGACCAAUGUUCUCGGGAGGGGGUGGUGCGGGUAAUUCUUGCAUUACUCGGUGCAUGUUGUAGCAAUCGAUCGGCGAGUGUUUGCUGUUUGGAUGCCAUGGCAUUGUUUUUUUGAGUAACUCGGUGAAGGAGGGCCUGUCAUUGCGUUUGUGUGAUCCUUUCUUGCCUGAGUUGGACAUAGCCGCGAUAGUGUUUUCAGGUUUGCGCUUGCGGUUCUGAUUACCUAAAUAGUUGUUUCGAGUAUCAUUGUUGCGGUUUCUGUCUUGUUCAUGAUUGUUGUUAUUGUUGUCGCGACCGUGGUUGCGAUCAGAGCCGAAUCUCUCACGCUCCUUGUCUUCUUCAUCUUCACAUUGUUGCACCAUGAUUUUGAGAUCUUUGACAGUGGCUGGUCGACUUCUGCCAAAGUCUUGAUAUGUUCGACGAUCAUAGAGGCCAUUUUGAAAGCACUCGAUGACAUCCCCUUCGGAAAUGUCGACUAUUGUAACCUUCUUUUCAAAGAAACGGCGUAGGUAGUCGCGAAGUGUCUCGCUUUCUUUCUGUUUGACUUAGCUUAGGUCAAUUUUAUUGCCUCGGUGGGACAUGGAGCCCACGUAAUUAUUAGUGAAAGCCUUCAUCAAGUGUUCCUAGGAAUCUAUUGACUUGGGCUUGCAUGACUCGAGCCAUAUUAACGGCGCGGGUUCCAUGCAUCUGGGGAAGUGAAUGACCUUUGUGUCGUCAUUACCCCCAGCUGCUUCAACUGCUAGUGAGUAGCAUCGUAGCCAUUGGACUGGAUCUUGCUUGCCAUCAUACUUGGUGAUCCCCGUCGGCUUGAACUUCUCGAGUAGUUUAGUCUUCAUUACCCGUGUGGUGAAGACGGGGAAGUGAUCAUAGUCAUUGGCUUCGCGUUCGCAUUCGCAUUUGUGGCGACGGUUGUUAUUGAUUGCCUCUCUUAGGUCGCUGAAGAUUGAGGCUUCGCGAUCAGCUCUACGGUGGUGAGAGCUCUUUGCAGAAUUGGUGCAGCUAGCCUCCCCUGCAUCCCUGUUUUGCCUUGGGGCCUCGCGUUUAUCUCUAUUUUGCCUUUGGCUGUGUUGCCUCGGCUGGUUGACUACUUCGUUACUGUUUCUUGGAGCUUCGCGAUUGCCACUGUAGACUGUAACGUCUCUACUACCAUCCUGGUGGGCCGAGUUGCGAGGGAUAGAUGGGAUUGGUUAUUCCUUGUCGAGUAGUUUGUAAGCUUGUUCUGCGAGUUGUGCUAUUAGCUCAUUGCCCGUUUUCAUGAGUUGUGCUGUUAACUUGUUGUUUCGGUUAUGAGGUAUGAGAGUUGAUAUGAGAUUGAUCGAGGCAAUUGUUGCGAGUGGAGUGUUCUGCUCUCAAGCUUGCACUGUGUCGAAUGCUCUUUCGAGAUUCACGAUAGGAAUGUUUGUAGCUAGUAGUCGGCGACGAUCUGCUUGGGCAGCAUUGCGUGCCCUUCUUUGAUUUCUCUGUUCAGAGGUUUCAUCUUGCGGGGCGUUAGCUGAUGAUUCAUCUUGUGAGACGUCAUCGAGUUGUCCAAACCGUCGAGGAUUUUUUUGGUGACUGGUACCCGCGUCGUUGUUUGGUGACGUGAUGACGAAGAUUUCUCUGUCCGGGUAGUAGCUUCCAGAGCUUGAUGUUGCAAUCUCCGUAGUGCUUCCUUUUUUGUGGGUUGAAGUAAGCGGGAUACCCUCUUGAUACGGGAGGUUGUCUAUGUGAGCGACAAGGUGUGACUCGUAAUCUUGGCUAUGGAAUGAUGGCUCCAUCCCAGGCCAAUAAACGAAUCUGCCUUACGGAGUUGAAGUAUUACCAAGCCUUGAGCUGGGCCUGAUAAAAGGAUCUCUUUGACAAAGUCCGAGUCGUAGUCGCAGUCCUUAACUGUCUCUAGUCCGGAUUGGACUCAAGUAAGGAAUUCUUGGCGGACCAUGGCUACAUUGCGGAGUCCGAGCAGGUAUCGGCUUCGAGUUGAAGUCGACUUGCGAGAUGACUUGGACGUCAGCCUGUGCGUGCUAGUCUGAAUCGAGGUCAAGUCCGAGCCGUAGUUGAACUCAAUGUUGCUAACAUUGAAAUCUUGGAUUUUCUCGACGAGAUUCUCUGCUUCUUGAUGAAGAAAGUUUUCGUCGAGAUGCUUCUUUUCCUGGUUGCCGACGAUGCAGCAUUGAAAGGAUCCAGCGCCGUCAGUGAUGCAAUGCCAGGAACGAAGACGAAAGUUUCGCCCGCCUCAAAGGUGAACGCAGGCUUGAUGAUGACUGGUGCCAUCGAUCUCGCUCGGAAAAACUCAGUGACUCCACCUACCUAGCGCGCCAGCUGUCGGUGUUUUAGACCGGGAACCCGCCUAGGGAGUACCCAAGGUGGUCUUUUGUGUGGUGGGUGUUGUCGACAAUCAAGGAGCUGAUGGUGACGCAAGGAACACGAUUUAGACAAGUUCGGGCUGCUAGAUCACGUAAUACCCUGUGUCCUGUGUGUUGGUUGUAUUGAACUUGUGUCGAGUUGCACUUGUUGUUUUAAGGGGGUCCCUGCCCGCCCUUAUAUAGUCGGGGGAGCAGGGUUACAAGAAGGAUUAUGUAUGAGUCCUAAUCGAGUACAUUUACAGAGUCCUACUCUAACUCGGUAGAGUGGUUUCCUUUUGACCCGACUAGUCUUCGGGGAGUUCAUGAAGCCUACGCGCCCUGCAGAGUAGUCUUUAUGUCCGAGUAGGUUCUGGGUACGUUCCCUUGAGUGGGUCCGUACAAGUCUUCUGGUGGGCCCGAGGGUGUCUAGCCGACAGUCCUGACCUCCUGGGUUUGAUUACAGCUCUUGUGCUCCAUUUUUAGUAUUUCUCGGUCAAUGACAGAUAGAUGCAGGAAGUUGCUAAUAGGGUGAACAACAGUCCCCUUUACCAUGCACGCACAGCUGCAGACGCUUUCUAGGAGUGCAUAUUUAGUCAUUUCAGGGAAUAUGUUAGGAGGAGUAUGAUACCAUGGGCAAGCAACAAGGUUAACAUGGAUAAGAUGCAGCAUGAUGAAAUGCCUGCUACUUUGAGAUGACCUGCAUAACCCUGCAGAAAAGGUGAAGGACAAAAGGCAAUGUAAAAGUCAUUCUAUGUUGGGCAUCUCUAUUUUCUCAGAAAAAGAGAAAGAGGGAAAGCCGAGGUCACCAGCAGCAACAAUGGUGUUGGCACAUCAGCGUCCCCAUCCAUCUGUUGAUCAGGAAACUCCCUGCAUCAGCAGAAAAAACAAAUGAAUAAUGGACUCGGCAUUGCUCGACAACGUGAACCAAUAAUGUGCACGAACCUAUUUUCGAACCAAUAACAUGGACUGGGCUUCACAAUAUAUACUCACUCACGAACACUGAAGAGGAAUGUGUUUCUCGAUUAAUCAACAGAGAUCGAAUGGAACAAGAAUGUAGCAAAAUUAAUUAGCUUUUCACUAUGAUAUGGACCUCUAAUUUUAGAUGGGAAUCGCUCUUCCCCGCCACGCUCGGUGGGAGCGUGUUGAUGGCAGUGGCCUCCGUGACACAGCCCGUCGAGCACUAUCUCGCUCGUGCCGCCCCAGAGCUCGUCAAUGGCGGCGACCCGGCCACGACCGUCGAGAAAAUAAUUGGAGGUGAGGCCGUUCCUAUGAUAGUGCUUGGUGGUUGGCGUCAGCGGGCGGAGUUAAUAAAGCUUCAGUAUGUAUUAGAUUGAACUGGAAACCUGGAGCAGAUACACAAAAGAGCAUGAACUUAUUUCUAUUGAUGCAAGGUAGAAUGGGAUCUUGCCUUAAAGGUCAUAGGGGUCCAUCCCUUCUUGCUUUUCCUAAAAGCUGCUACUAAUACAAAUAGUAAACAAGCUAAUCAUCAUAUUAAGUAAGAAUAUUUGUGCAAAUCUAGCAGAGUUACUGAUAAUCUGCUCUUGAUAAGCUCGGUACUCUGGGGUAGUUGCCUGAAUUAUAAUCAACCAUUGAGAGCCUUAGACAAAGGAAAACAAUAUGAAUUAAAGAUAAUAUGAAACAACAUAACUUGCACAAACCUGCUUAAGCACAACAACCAAGCCAGUAAUGGUACAGUCAUGAGGCCUGCCUUGCAGACCUGGAAACACAGCAGCGUUGAUCUUGUCCUUAAAAUCAUACAUAACCUGCAUAGUGAUAUACCUUAGUCCUUCCUUUUUCUUAUGUACUACAACCACAAAGAUUAAACCAUCUGCAGGGCUACCAAGGAAAAUAAGCAACAAAGGACACAUUCAUGCUUGUAUGCUACCUCUAAAUAAAAACAGUAAGGAGAUAAAAGUAAAAUCCAGAUCCAUGUACCUGGUAACCAUGAGAAAGAUGUCCACCGUGAGGAAGAUCCAAAGCCAUGAUCCUUUCAUGUGGCUUUAAUAGGGCAGUUGGCCGGUGAACCCGAUAGAGGUUGCACAUUCACUGCAGAGGCAAACAUUGGUUAUUACAAGCUGACCAAGCGGAAGCCUCCAAAGCACGUUUCCGACCCAAGGAUUCAGCCAUAUCAAUAUAUCUGCAACCAAGAGAAACCAGAACAACAACCAAUGCAGGUUGUCCUGGAUUCACGUAGACAACAAUUCGAUUUCUCUUGCAAACAUGCGUGUUUCCACUGAAACAAUCCCAACAAUGACAACUGAUAGAACAUGGCCUUACUCAUUCCUACUGUAGUAUCUUGCAUCGGUGUACCCCUUGCUGUACUUGUUGGUCAUGAAAGAACCCACCGCUUGCAUCACUGACACCGACGUGAAAUUCUCCGACGGGAUGAGCUCCAACCUCUACAUCAAACAUUUUGACACAGACACAAUUCAAUGAGAACAAAGAAUAUAAUAUAAUCCAACAUUGCAACAAUUGCAUAUGACUGAAGAAGUAGGUCUAGAAAACAUGACUGAAGGAAAUAGACACCACAGCGAAUAACCCUCACUGGGAUAGCAGCUUCACCCAUGGCGCUACAGGCUGCUGUUGCUCCGGCUCCUUCCUCCUCUUCGAACUCUCAGCCACCGCAGCAACUGGCUUAUUUGCUCCUUGAUUUGCACCAAAGCGUCAAAACCCCAUGAACUCGAUUCCAAACCCAUCGCACCAAACCCUAGCACCCGAAACGCUCGCAAAGACUGCACCUUUCUACGUUGCUACCCCCACCGCGUCCUCCACCAAACCGGCGCUGCUCGUCGGGGCCGCAGCCGUAGAAUCCUCCUCGGUCCUCCCGGGCGCGGACGCCGUCGACGACGCCGGGGCCUCCGCUUGGUUAGGGUCACGGUUCAGAUCGGUUAGCUGGUAGGUCAAAUCGGGAGGCGGCGACGCGGGAUUCUUCGAUCCGCGGUGGGCCGGUGCUUUCACCUUGGGCCUCUUUGGGGGAGGCACGGAUGAGGAGGACGGCGAUGGGGACGGGCGCUUCCUGGCGGCCGCGGCGGUGGAGCUCCAGCAAGUCUCCACCGUGGUGUGCGCCGGAGGCGAGAGUUUCCUCUACUGCGGCGCGCAGGCGUGAGAGGCGUUGCCCCGCAUGAGGAGGAAGAGCGGCAGGCCUGAUGUGGAGGAUGACGAGCUACUCCAUGGACGGAGCGGAGAGGUGAAUGUGGAGAGGAUGGAGGACAGAGGUGCGAGUGGCGUACAUCGGGAGGAGGAGGACCCGUGUUAGGGUUUCGGUGGAGAAGGGGAGGCGGCAAGGGUGGAGCUGCGGGGUGGUGGGGAAGGAGGCAGGAGCGGAGGGAUCGCAGGAGGAGGAAGCGGACGGCGGAGGGUAGGAGGAGGGAUCGGAGGGCUGAUGAUCGAUUUUCGGCGGACGAAACCACGUAGGAGCGAACAGUGGAGGAGAGAUCCGCGGAGCGGACGACGCAAAUCAUCUAGAGCAAGGGCCACAGAGGGGAGCGGAAGGAGACGUAUGAAAAAAAAAGUCCCCUUUUCACUUUUUUAAGUAGUAGAGAUAAGCUAAAUUUAAACUGUUCCAAACGGGACUAAAGGCAUCUCUCUCUACAGAAUUGGGACUUUCGAGACUUUUACUUUGACAAAUAUCGAUCCUAACUUCUUACGUUAUUUUUUGGUUCAAGAAGUGGAAUAUUUAGAUCCGCUACCACUUUAAACCCUUAAUUAACUGAAUUAUAAAUAACAUGAUUAUUUUCCCAAAAUUUAUAUUAUGAUUUCCGCGAAAGGUCACUGACUUUUUUGUUUUUUUGCCCUUUUUGCGAAAAAUUCUCACAAAUACGUCCCUGGCGGAACUGUUGGAGGUAUGCCCUAGAGGCAAUCAUAGAGAUGAUGAUAUUCCAUUUGUAUCCAUGAUUUGUAUAUUGUGUUCAUUGAAUAUCCAUUAAAGGCUACUUGAAUUGAUUUGCAAUUAUGUGAAUUGUAUGUGAAACUCUUUACUUGUAUGGUUAUUCUAAAGUUGUCCCUAGUCGGAGUUCAUGUGAGGACACACAUGAAUAUUAGACUAGCACAUGUAUUAGUUGAUGACUAUGUUUCACAAGUCAUCGACAUGGAGAUGUUGAACUAAUAAUGUGGACACAUGUGGAGACAUGUGCUAGGACUGACCCAACACGAGAAAUAGUUCUCUCUUUAAACAACAUAUACGCUUUGUCCUUAGACCUGAGAUUGUCGCAUGUAUUCUAGAUGUGGAUCGACCUACUUAGGGGCUAUCAAACACUACACCGUAACAGGGUAGUUAUAAAGGUAGCUUUCGGGUUUGUCAAGAAGCAUGCUAUGAGACAUGGUCAAUCAAGAUGGGAUUUGCCCCUCUCUGAUUGAGAGUGAUAUCUCUGGGCCCCUCGAGUGAUCGGAUCCGAAAAUGCAUGGCCAUGCUACGUACGGUUAAGAGUUAACCUACAAAGGGAUUCUGAAUCACAGGAUCGAGAAAGAGCGGUCGGCUUGAAGCUAGACCAAAUAUCAUGAGGCAAAGGGAAUAGCAUGUAUAUUAUGUUGUGAUGGUUCGUCUGAUAUGAUCUUCGUGUGCGUAUAGGAGUUGGCACGUCUUGCUAGAGGCCGCUACCGACUAUUGGGCCGAGUAGGAGUACUCGGGCCAUGUCUAUACGUAUCCGAACCCAUAGGGUCACACACUUAAGGGGCUGGAAGCCCAAUUCGGAUCUGAUCCGAGUUGGAUUAGGUUUAGAAGUACUAAUAGGCCUCGGACCCAGAGGCCUGUCAGGAACCUCUAUAAAUAGAGGGGUGGGGGCGCCCUAGGGUUUACACCUUUUUGGCGAAACACAUCUGCCGCGCCUCCCACACCCUCGCCUGUUGCAACUCUCGGAUCUAGCAGUCCGGCUUGCGACGCUUCCUCCCUGCACGUGUGGAUACCUUGGAGGUGUUGCGCCUGCGGCACUUGGACGAGCCGCCAACAAGCCGCCGACGAGCCACGACGAGCCGACGACGAGCCGCGGCACCGGGGGCGAUGUUGCUGCACGUGGACGAGCUGCUGAGGAGCUGCUGGCGUUGAUGUGAUCGACUACGUACGACUACGUUGAUCGACUACGUACGACUACGUGAUCGUCUUCACUGCAUCGACGCAUAUCUACAUCUUCCGCACCAGUAGUGCGUCGAGUGGUAAUCCCGUGAUCCUCAUACGGCAGUUCUUCCUGGUUUUACGCGGUAGAAAUUUUGAUUUACGCUAGCGUAGCCUACCUCGUAUCCCAACAGGAACCCUUUCAAAAUCUGGACCCUUAGUUUGGUGCCAUCCACGCUGGCGCAAGCUUACAUGUCUUGGCGCCAGUCAUCCUAGCGCCAAGGUCCAUGCGCAGCUGCUGACGCGGAUGUCGAUGUGGCGGGGGCUUGGCGCCAGCCAUCCUGGCGCCAAGCUUGACGUCGUGGAUCUUCAUGCCAAGCUUGGCGCCGAGCAGUUACCCUAUACCGGCGGUGUUUCGAAUGAAAUAAGUAUAAUUAUUCCAAGAAGCAUGCAACAAAUCACAUUGUGGUUCAGUUGGCUAGGACAAUCGANNNNNNNNNNNNNNNNNNNNNNNNNNNNNNNNNNNNNNNNNNNNNNNNNNNNNNNNNNNNNNNNNNNNNNNNNNNNNNNNNNNNNNNNNNNNNNNNNNNNNNNNNNNNNNNNNNNNNNNNNNNNNNNNNNNNNNNNNNNNNNNNNNNNNNNNNNNNNNNNNNNNNNNNNNNNNNNNNNNNNNNNNNNNNNNNNNNNNNNNNNNNNNNNNNNNNNNNNNNNNNNNNNNNNNNNNNNNNNNNNNNNNNNNNNNNNNNNNNNNNNNNNNNNNNNNNNNNNNNNNNNNNNNNNNNNNNNNNNNNNNNNNNNNNNNNNNNNNNNNNNNNNNNNNNNNNNNNNNNNNNNNNNNNNNNNNNNNNNNNNNNNNNNNNNNNNNNNNNNNNNNNNNNNNNNNNNNNNNNNNNNNNNNNNNNNNNNNNNNNNNNNNNNNNNNNNNNNNNNNNNNNNNNNNNNNNNNNNNNNNNNNNNNNNNNNNNNNNNNNNNNNNNNNNNNNNNNNNNNNNNNNNNNNNNNNNNNNNNNNNNNNNNNNNNNNNNNNNNNNNNNNNNNNNNNNNNNNNNNNNNNNNNNNNNNNNNNNNNNNNNNNNNNNNNNNNNNNNNNNNNNNNNNNNNNNNNNNNNNNNNNNNNNNNNNNNNNNNNNNNNNNNNNNNNNNNNNNNNNNNNNNNNNNNNNNNNNNNNNNNNNNNNNNNNNNNNNNNNNNNNNNNNNNNNNNNNNNNNNNNNNNNNNNNNNNNNNNNNNNNNNNNNNNNNNNNNNNNNNNNNNNNNNNNNNNNNNNNNNNNNNNNNNNNNNNNNNNNNNNNNNNNNNNNNNNNNNNNNNNNNNNNNNNNNNNNNNNNNNNNNNNNNNNNNNNNNNNNNNNNNNNNNNNNNNNNNNNNNNNNNNNNNNNNNNNNNNNNNNNNNNNNNNNNNNNNNNNNNNNNNNNNNNNNNNNNNNNNNNNNNNNNNNNNNNNNNNNNNNNNNNNNNNNNNNNNNNNNNNNNNNNNNNNNNNNNNNNNNNNNNNNNNNNNNNNNNNNNNNNNNNNNNNNNNNNNNNNNNNNNNNNNNNNNNNNNNNNNNNNNNNNNNUCCUAGCCCAGCUGAACCACAAUGUGGUUUUGUCGCAUGCUUCUUCGAAUAAUUAUACUUAUUUCAUUCGAAACGUCGCCGAUAUAGGGUAACUGCUCGGUGCCAAGCUUGGCGCCAAGAUCCACGAUGGCUGGCGCCAUGCCCCCGCUAUGUCAACAUCCGCGUCAGCAGCUGCGUAUGGACCUUGGCUCCAGGAUGGCUGGCGUCGAGACGUGUAAGCUUGGCGCCAGCGUGGAUGGCGCCAAGCUAAAGGUUCAGAUUUUGAAAUGGUUCCACCAGGAGUGUAUUUGUGAGAAUCUUUUCUAAAAAGGAAAAAAAAGUCGGAAAAUGUCAUAGAUGGGAGCGAAGCCAGCCCAAAAAGGAUCAGCUGAAACAACGACAAAUAGUGACUUAGUGAACGAAUUUCUGAUUUCCAUCGAGUCAGCUGACCCACACAACAAGGCGGGCUCCGUCCCUAUAUGAUGACACUACGAUGGACCUUCUAUUCCGGUAGAUAAUUAAGGGCCUGUUUGGCAGAGCUCCAGCUCUGAAAAAACAGCUUCAGAUCCAUAGAUCCAGCUAGCUCCACUAUAGAGCUGGUCCACCGUGGAUCUAAGAUCUCAAAAAGCGUUUGGUACAGCUUCACUCUUGUCUUUGUCUCACUGGCAAUUUGGACCCAUGCAUUAGAAUAAAAAAAAGAAAACCUCAUCGCCGUGAGUGUGACCCGUGCCGGCGGACCCACCGCCCUCCUCCUCGCCUUCGGCCACCACCACGGGCCGCGACACCCGCCGCGGCCACGAUGACGCCUCCCGCAUAAGAUCUCCGGCGGGCGGGACGGUGCUUCGGCGGCAGGGGCGGGCAAGGGCAAGCAGGGGCGGGCGGGGCUCCAGCGGGCAGAGCGAGCGAGGCGGGCGAGGUGAGCAGAGGUGAGUAGGGGCGGCGCUCCGGCGGCAGGGGCAGGCGGGGCGCCGGCUGGCGGAGCGAGCGGGACGGGCAGGGGGAGCAGAGGCGAGCAGGGGUGGCGCUCCGGUGGCAGGGGCAGGCGGGGCUCCGGCGGGCGGAGCGAGCGGGGCGGGCGGGGUGAGCAGGGGCGGAGCUCCGACGGUAGGGGCAAGCAAGGGCGGGCGACGCUCGGGCGUGCAGGGGCAAACGGCGGCGUAGCAAAGGAAGAGGAAGGACAUUAGCGUUUUGCACGGAGAAGAAGAAAAAGAAAUAGAACGAACCGGUCAUUUUCCACUAAUGAGUGGCAGUGGUGGAUAAUUUUCUUCAACUCCACCAAAUUUGAUUUCGUGGAGCACCCCCUGAGGAGCUCCACCAAAUCCAUGGAUCUGGGGGUAGAUCCACCAUUUUCGUGAAGCAGAUCUGCGGUGGAGUUGCUGGAGCUAAAACCGUUUAGCUGGAAAAAUUGGGAGCGGAGCUGUUUUUGGAGAUCUCUAACCUGAGUUGAGAGCUGCUCUAUCUGGACUACAUUCCAACAUUUUUGAGAAUCAUAUAGUCUAAGUCGUGUACUCUACUCCUACCUAGUUUUACCCAGACACUUCUACACUAUGUUACAUAGAUGAUGCAGAUGAUUACUAGAAAUCAGACCGUUGGCCAGCUGAGAGAGCUUACACACAUAAGACUUAGGUUACAUGAUAGAUGCUUCAACUUCUNNNNNNNNNNNNNNNNNNNNNNNNNNNNNNNNNNNNNNNNNNNNNNNNNNNNNNNNNNNNNNNNNNNNNNNNNNNNNNNNNNNNNNNNNNNNNNNNNNNNACAGGCCCUAAAUCCAUAAAACUAAACACCUUAUUUAUUUGUCUAGUCGUCCUCACGAAGCAUCUCAAAUUUUCGAGACGAACUUCUCAAUUCAUCUUCUAAUUAACGGGAGUGUAGGGCCUGUUUGGCAGAGCUCCACGCAGCUCCAGAUCCUUAAAAACAGCUCCGCUCCUAUUUUUUCCAGCCAAACGGUGCAGCUUCAUUAAAUCCAGAUCCGCAAAAAAAUUGGAUCCAGCUCCCAGAUCCACCAAUUCCACGGAGCACCCAAGGGGGUGCUCUCAAAACGCUGGUUUUGUAACCCCUCAUGGAGUUGGUGGAAAUUACCCACCAAUACCAUCGAUUACACACAUCUCGUACCGGUUCGCCCUCUAUUAUUUUCUCCGUGCCGCCCCUCUAUUUUUUCAUCCGAAGCUUUCUUCCUUCCUCCUUCCCCGCCGCAUCCAGCGCCGACCGCCGCCUCCAGCGUUCAUCUCCGUCGGUGACCGGACCGCCGCCGGGAAUGAGGAGAUCAGCUCCUCCUCCACCUCCUCCGCCCCCUUCAUCUUCCAAUCCGGCCCCUAGGGUUGGACUUUCCCGUCCCGGCCCCGUCACUGGCGCGCCCGGUGGCGUCACUGGCGCGCCCGGCGGCGGGAGCCUGGCCGCCGCGGGCCUGGGCGGCGCGCCCGGCGGCGGGACCCUGGCCGUCGCGGGCCUGGGCGGCGCCAGCCUGGCCGCGGCUGGCCUGGGCGGCGCGGCCGGCCUGGACGGUGCAAGCCGGGCCGCGGGUGGCCUGGGCGACGCGGAUGGCUUGGUACGAUUUUGGCAUUCUCGCAUAACUUGUCCGAUUUCUGUACUUUGUUGCAUUAUUGUCAUAGAUGAGUUGGUUGCAAGAUAAUUUAGAAAUGCAAUGGUGAACAAUGUAAGGAGUGAUCUUUAGAGCCUGAUUGCAGAAUCCAUACCCAGCUACACAUGGGUUUGUGACCUGCAACUCUCCAGGGAUUAAAAUUAUAAUCAAUGUUUCUGUAGAUUUUAAAUGGUAGCGUCGUGUUGAGAAAUCACAUUUACAAAAUAGCACGCCAAGCAUAUGGAGUACCUUGUACAUAGUACCAAAGUCGUUUGAUCCAAUCUUGUUUUUCUCUGAAAAAUUCUGUGUAGCGUUCUUCAACUCAGUCAAACUGAACUUUGUUAAGCCUGUCAUAGAAUCAAGGCACAACUUAUGUCGCUUAGAUUUAUCCGAGUAUGAAAGUGUAUUAUUAGAACCAAUAGUUCUUAGUACAAUGUAGUAAGAAUAACAAUUUGAAUGAGUUUCAACUGCCAAGUGCUAAAAUUGAUAAACAUAAAAUACCAUUAUGUUGGUAUUUGAAUUAUUUCUGUUCAAAACCAGCAUUUUUCAUGAAUGGUGACGAAAUUAAACUUCAAGCACGCUGAUGCAAAAGCUCAAUGGAGGAAUAAACAGAUACCAAUAAUUACAUAAUUGUUCAGUUUCUUAUCUAUAACCACUAUCAAUCUCACUGAAUACUUGCAGUUUGAACUAAAUGAAAGCUACACUUAAAUUAUUUGCUUCUUAUAAAACAAUGUAUCUGCCUUGCUCCUUGUCUCCCUUGUAUUUUGCUGGUAGUUCAACACUUCAACAGACGCGUAAGAGCAUAUCAUAAGGACUUGAGUUCAGAGGUGUUGGAAAACUAUGAUAGUGUCCAUGAUUAGAAGAGGUACUAUGAUAACACUGACAGUAGACAUUUAUGGAGUCCAUGCAACAGCAGGAAGCUUUCAACCUAUCUAUGUCUGUCGCAGCUGCCAAUUAUUGCGAUUCAUGAAUGUGACGUACACUUGUUGGUAGGACAGUGCACUUGUUGAGGAAGUCUAAGCUUAACCGAACACAUACAUUCUUAUCUGCUAGUGCUUUUCCAGUGCUACAAAUUGUAAUGUAGGGCAAUUAAUUUUUUUAUUCUUUUGAAUGCAAACAUUCUCUACUUUAAUUCAGUUGGCUUGGUGCCACUUGUAGUUCUCCAAUUAGUAUUUGACAUUAUAUUUCUUUAUCUCUAGUAUUAUGAUUUGUUUAUCCAUUGAUUUAUGGUUUCUGAUCUAUCAUCUUGUAGCAACCAUGCUUGAUGGGAAACCAAUCAUAUCCUUACCACCGAAAACCGUUUCACUUAAGAUUAAUCUACUGUUUUGUGAUAGUUCUGAACCAAAAAUCAUAUCCAUUGAUUACUCAUAUCCUUAACGAUGCAACCGGUUUUCAUAUGCUGAACUUCUGAAAUUGUGACUAGGAGUGUGUAUUGCAGUAUUACUACACAUUACCAUCACCCCAAAAGAACUCCAUUUUAAUCUACUGUUUGUGAUAGUUGACUUUGGGCUAAUUAAUCUGGAAUCUUGGCCGGUCGGUUGCGGCCAGAGGCAGGUAGUAGUGGUGUGGUGCAGCAGUGAGAUCUCAUCUGAUUUUACUAGUAACUUGACAUGCGGUAAAAUGAGGUGUUUAUAAAAUAUAUGCUAAUGUUAGUUAUCGUUCAGGAUUACUCAUAUCCUUACCAGAUUAUUUUGCACCAGGAGCCAAUUGGGAUUAUUGGAUUAUUGGAAAUAUAUACUAAUUGGAUAAUUGGCAAAUGGCAUGUAGGACGCAGUGAUCGGCGAUGAGUUCCUGAUGGCAUCGCAGGCAUCUUCUACGCCGGUUGCGCAAGCUAGGAGGCGUGCUGCAUCAGCUAACAAAAGGGCAAGGGAUGAUGAGGUAUAUUUUUCUUCCAUUGUAGUGGAGCUGUUGUAUAAUAGAGUUGGAAUUUGAACAAUAUUUUGGGGAAAUCAUUAAUAGGGUGAUCAUAUGGAUUGGAAUGAUGGCUAUACCACCAUUGUUUGCAAGUUGUUUGCUGAACAAGUUAGAAAAGGAAAUCGACCAAACACUCAUUUGAACAAUGUGGGAUAUUCCGAGGUGAAAGAAAGGUUUUUUUCAGAGUACCGGUAUCAUGUUGAAAAAAAGUCAACUUAAGAACAAGUGGGAUAAGUUGAGGGGUGAUUUGUCUGCAUGGAAAAAAUUAAUGAGAAAGCAAACUGGUACUGGUUGGAACUGGGAGAAGGGAACUAUCAAUAUGGACGCCGAGUGGUGGAAAAAAACAAAAAAAGUGAGCACUUCUCGCAUGGUAUUUUGUUCAUAUAUAGAUUAUAUUAGUCUUGUAUAAUUUCAAUUUAAUACCUUUGUCAAACACUUUUAGGACAUUCCUGGCGUGGGGAAAUUUAAGAAUAGGCCUCUCCAAAACGAAGAUGAGUUGAAGGUGAUGUUUGGAAAUAUCAUUAAUGAAGAGCAAGAUCAUUGGAAUCCUAUGAGUUCCAACCCCAUCAUACCCCCAAGCCAAGAAGCACCCAAUCCUAUGAGUUCCAACUUCAUUGAUGCCGAGGAUGGGUGGUAACAAUGAUUUAGACAAUGGCGAUGAGGUACAGGAGGUUUCUCCUUCCGUUGCCAAUGCUAAGAAAAAAGUACAUGUGAUCCUUGAUAAACCUAACAAGAAAUCUAAGGCAAGCACAACAUUAGUUAUACAAGAACACAUCUCCAAGAUAUCAAAUAAUGCUUCCUCUUUUGUGGCAAGCAGGCAAGCUGGGAUCACUAUUGAACAAGUAAUGGACCAUGUUGCUGCAUGUGGGGCUGCGUGUGGCAGUGAUGAGCAUUUUGUGGCAACUGAGCUUUUUGUUAAGAAAGAGCAAAGGGAAAUGUUCAUGACUAUUCCCACCAAUGAGGCUAGGUUUAGUUGGCUUAAGAGGAAGUACGAUAUGAUGUUUGCAAAGUGAUGGCCGAGUGAUUUGCCAUCUUUUUUUAGACAUGUCAUUUUCAUUCAUCUAUGUCAUAUGGACAAAUUUGUGAUGCUUAAUUUGUUGUCAUUUUUAAUUCAUCCAUCUUGUGUGGAUAAUUUGUGAUGGUCAAUUUGUUGUCAUUUUUUAUUCAUCUUACGUUGUUAUUUGGACAUGUUAUUUUUAUUCUUGCAGUUGUCUAGUGAUGAUUCUAGUGAUGAGAAUGAGGAAUUUUUCAAAACUAUCCUAGGAGGUGCUAUGCUUGCUCAAAUAUAUGUUGAUAUGUUCCUUACUAAAAACCCUACAAGGACAUCUACCACCAGUGGAAUGGGUUUUAUUUUGGAGACUUUGCACACUCCAGGCGAAUGCCAUAGCCAGUUGCGUAUGAGCACAGAAAUCUUCUUUGAUCUUCAUGGCUUAUUGGUACAGAGGUAUGGGCUAAAACCAUCGUUGCACAUGUCUACCGAAGAGAGCCUAGGAAUUUUCUUAUUUAUCUGUGCGGGAAAUGAGUCUAAUAGAAAAUGUCAAAAUCGAUUCAAGCACUCUGGUGAAACUAUUAGUCAAAAAUUUGAGAAUGUUCUAAACUGUUUGAUGGCCAUGGCAAAGGAUUUCAUUAGGCCAAAAGAUCCAAAUUUUCAUAAUGUUCAUAGGAGAAUAAGGGAUGAUAGGCGAGCAUAUCCACAUUUCAAAGAUUGCAUUGGAGCACUUGAUGGCACCCAUAUUCGUGUUUCCCUUCCACCGGAUGAUCAAGUGAGGUAUAUCGGGAAGACAGGGAUAGCCACCCAAAAUAUUUUAGCAGUCUGUGAUUUCGACAUGCGGUUCACAUAUGUGUCAACGGGCCAACCAGGAGCUAUGCAUGACACAAGUGUGUUAUACAAUGCAUUGAGUGUGGACGAGAAAUUCUUUCCACAUCCACCGCAAGGUAAAAUUUAUUGGAAUAGUUAUUUUACCAUUAUACGUGACUACAAAUAAAUUUAUUUUUUAUCAUCAUUUGUAGGUAAAUACUACGUUGUCGAUGCGGGGUAUCCCAAUCGUCCAGGUUAUCUAGCUCCAUAUAAGGGUGAGAGGUAUCAUAUGCCUGAGUGGCAUAGAGGUAUGGAACCAAAAACCCCAAAGGAAAAAUUCAAUCGCAUCCAUUCUUCUAUUCGAAAUGUGAUUGAGCGAUCUUUUGGCGUAUUGAAAAUGAAGUGGCAAAUUUUAUACAAAAUGCCGAACUACCCGAUGCGGAAACAAAAAAUGGUAGUUAUUGCUUGUAUGGUCCUUCACAAUUUCAUUCGUGAGCAUAAUAGUGAGGAUUCAGACUUUGCUCGGUUUGAUCGUGAUCCUAAUUUUGUCCCUACAAUACCGCAACGGUACAAUCCAUUUGUAGUUCCAUCGGAUGGAUCUACUUCAGAAGGCAGUGUCACUACAAUGGAUAUUUUUCGCGAUGAGCUGGCCACCAAUCUUGCUCUUGCUUGGAGGUAGAAUGUAAUGAAGUAGUGAAUUAUCAAAUUUAUUUUCUAUGUAUGGACAAUUAUUUAUGUAUGAACAAUUAAUUUAUGUAUGAACAAUUAAUCAACUUCUUGGGAAAAUGACUACUCGUCAGUGUAGACGAAUGAAACUAGAUGCAUGCGUAUAUAAAAAAAAACAUGUCAAUACAUGAUUGCGCUGCUUGCAAUUCCUCUGACAUUUUUUUCCUUAUUUUAACUUUUGCUAAUGAAUCUGGAAAAUGAAAGUUUCGUCUCAUAGUAGUUGGAGACCUGUAUGUUCUUCCUCCGGCCAUUUUCCUUUUUUCAGAAAAAAAUGAGAAGAAAAAAAUGGAAAAAACCAAGGGUAUUAGUGGACAAUCCAACCAAAAACUAUGUUUCUGGAUUUGGAGCUGUUGUCUCAGCCAAACACUUUUGCUCAGCUCCACGGUGAGAACAUAGAUCCACGCUGGAGCUGCUCUGCAGUGGAGCUACUGUUUUUUUGGAUCUGGAGCUGCGUGGAGCUCUGCCAAACAGGCCCGUAAUAACGUGUAAAAAAUUAGGAGGAGGCGUGUAAUAGUUGCAUAUUAUCGAUAACCUCAAAUUAAGAUAGGCAUUUGCUGAAAACAAAUUUGUGUGUGACUCUAGCCUAGUGGUUAGAGCACCUGAGUAGUAUCCAGUAGGCUCAGGUUCGACUUCUCGUAGCAUUAAACGGGUCAAAAAUAAAAAUUAUAUAAAAAAAUAGGUACUUGGUAAAAAACAAAUUUAGGUCGAACAUAUUAGCAAACGACAUAAUGUGUAGUCACCUUAAAGAAAAAAAUCCUAGCGUGCGCUGUGUUGCCUUAUCUAUUUUUCGGGCUGGGCUGGACUUCGGCUGGGGAAAAAAAUUCAGUUCAUUUCGGACUGAGAAUUCGUACCCAUGACCGUCCCAUAGGUAUUGUCGGGCUGAUUUUUUUAACCGAGCUACCUACUCUUUUUUAGUUGAAAAUAAAUCAAAUAAAUUAUUUGGGUGGGCUUGGACCAACCUGAAUUUUUUCAAACUUGAUUUUCACUUACCAUGCCUAGUCCCAUAAUCAUCGUGGGCGGGUCAAAUCGCAGCGAGAUCGGGUCGAGCCCGCGGGGCCGGGCAAAAGAAUUCUCAAUAUACCUUAUCGUACCCCCUCAUUUUUCAUUUCAAGUGGAAUUCAUAUUUAUAUUUGCGUUCCACGCAAAAUCCACAACGAUGCAAAAAUUGAAAAAUUUGAAGAUAAGAAAUAUCGAAUUCGCAGAAACAUCGAGGGUCGAGGUGUACUUUUUCACGAGAGAAAGGGGCAAAAAUACAAUAACACCCAUGAGGCCAGUAGGCCAUGGAUCAUGAUCUCUCGCCCCCUCCAAUCUCUCUUCUCAUUGGCUGGUUUCCCUCACCCACGGAUCGCCGAGUCCCAUCCGACGGCUCACAUAAACUGAGCCCGUACCUCCAGCGGUCCAGAUCGCAGCACCGCCCUCCUCCACAAACACCGAAAACACAAACAACGCACACAACACAAGCACACACGGCGCAAGCAAAAACCGAAGAAAUCGAAACGCGAAAAAGGGUGACGCCAGGAGAGAGAGGGAGACAGAGAGGAGAGAGAAAGAGAGGGAGGAAGAGGGGAGAGCGCGCGCGCUUCGAUCGGCGAUGGAUGUCGGAGCGAAGGUGCCGAAGAAGGGCGCGGCCGGGCGUCGCGGCGGCGGCGGCCCCAAGAAGAAGCCGGUCUCCCGCUCCGUGAAGGCCGGCCUCCAGUUCCCCGUCGGCCGUAUCGGCCGCUACCUCAAGCAGGGCCGCUACUCUCAGCGCAUCGGCACCGGCGCCCCCGUCUACCUCGCCGCCGUCCUCGAGUACCUCGCCGCCGAGGUCAGUGGGACCCCACCCAUUCCCCCCUACCCGCCCCGUUGAAGACGCGGAAUCCCUGAUUCGUCUCGUUUCGUCCCUUCCUUUUUAGGUCCUCGAGCUCGCGGGGAACGCGGCGCGGGACAACAAGAAGAACCGGAUCAUCCCGCGGCACGUGCUGCUGGCGAUCCGCAACGACGAGGAGCUCGGGAAGCUGCUGGCCGGCGUCACCAUCGCGCACGGCGGGGUGCUGCCCAACAUCAACCCCGUGCUCCUCCCCAAGAAGACCGCCUCUGCCGCCGCCAAGGAAGGCAAGGAAGGUAAGGAGAAGAAGUCGCCCAAGAAGGCCGCCACCAAGUCGCCCAAGAAGGCGGCCGCCGCGUAGGCCCCGAGCGGAUGGUGGUGCCCUGUCUCUCGCUCUCUCCCUGUCCGCUCUGAACUGAAAUGCUCCUUCCUAGCUGUCGUCGUCGUCAUGAUCUUUGCUGCUUGUCGUGGUUGUUUGUGUGUAACUGAGUGCCUUUCGCUCAAUCAGCAUGCACUGUGUAGGUUGACACUGGUCUAGGGUCCGAUCUGAAGAACACUUGUUUAGGUUCGAAGGAGUGUGUGUGAACUCUGAAGGGCAGUGGAGGGGUGGGAACUGUGAAUCAUUAGGUGCUGUUUGUAAUAAGAUUGUGAAGAUGUGUAAAAUUAUGGGCCUUCAUUCUGUGCUUGAUUGUCUGGAUGUGGUUUUGGGACCAUGAUUAUGUUUAUCUGGUUCCGUUUGUGCUAAUUGGUGACUGUUCUUAUGUUUAUGUGGUUGCGUCUGAUUAAUUGGUCAUAGAAACUGUAGGGUGUUAUUUUGUUUGCAGAGAGUGCUGUUUCUUACCAGCUCUGUUAAAGUUUGAACUUAUAAAGGUUAUGGUUUGUUUUGUACCCUAAAUAAGUAGGCUACGGUUUGGUUUCGUUGUAUGUCAACGCAAGGUGAUGGUUGCAAAAUGCUGUCUGAUGUUAACAUCAAUUGAAUAGUGGCUGUCGACAUUUCUGUUAGCUGAUCAAUGAUACUAAGACCCAAUUUAAGGGAUGGCUGAAAAAGAUUAUGUGGGGUUAUGGUCAAACGGAUAGGGGUUUGCCUUCUAUUGACAUUUCUGCUAGUUGAUCAAUGAUGAAUUCAGAUACAUCGUGGGCUUUGUACACCCCUAUUGCCGUUGAUGGAAUAUGAUAUCCAACAAAGUUCAUUCCAAAUCUUGACUCUGAAAUAUGGUAUCUGGGUAUUAUGCUUGUAGAUCUUCCUGUUUUGAACUGUGAUUCCUUUGGUAGAUUAUAGCAAUGUAUUUAAGAAUUGUUACUUGAUAAUGUUCUGCAAUUUGUUGCAGAGGCAUAUAAGAAGUGUGAAAUUGAAUUUAUGUUUUGUUUUGUGCAACACGUGGUUUCUGCAUUUUCCAGUAUGUAAAAGUGGGCAGACUGAAUUACUGCAAUAAGAUUAAGCAUAUCAACAAGCCAUGUUUUUAUGUUCAGUCCAGGAAUACGGAAUUUUAGGGUUUUCAGCUCAGUUUCAUUUUUCUAUUGGUAGUGUGUUGGCUUCCAAGUUCCAAAUUUGUGUACUUCCAUAUAUACUUGCAUGAUUAGUUAGCUUUCAAGAUGGUAUUCACUUACUUGAUGGGGCAAUGCUUGAAUGCCAUGUUUUUUUUGUUGUCAUCUGAAUUGUCGGUUAUUGUGAUUUUGUUUUGUAUGCUAUCUCUUCUUAAUGUUUGCAUUCGGUAAUAAUAUUUUCCUCGAGUAUUGUAAUAGUUUGGUUGUCAUUUAAUUGCUGGAGUUGCAUGUCCGAAUUAUAAAUCCCGUGUUAUGGUUUUUCUUUGACUAAUUGAUAAUUGAAUUUGGGCGCAGUGGAUGGCAUGACAUGGUUAUCUAUAUGUGUAACUUUUUUUUUAAUUUCUGUAAUUGAUAGUUUUUACAUUGCAUUGAAAAUGUUAUCCUUAAGUUUGAUGAUCCUGGUUUGGUGUUUCUUACUAGAUUUGAAUUUUAUAUUUAUAUCAUUUUCAUUGAUGAUAGUUGGUCACUUGGUUGGAUCUUUAGGAUAAGAAAAAAAAAGAAGUUGGGUAAACUGCAUUUAGAACAAGUGAAACACUGGAACCUGUUUCCCCUAGCUCACAAUUAUAUGUUUCUAUGGGAAACUCUUAUCUUCCUUCGUUUGACAAAGCUCAGAUUAACAGUAGAAAACCCAAAAUAAGUGUAGUCAGACUGCAUUUUGGUAAAUCAUGUUCUAACAGUGUAAGUUGUAACAGAUUAAAAUCCGAAUGACUAAUGCACAUGACUAAUGCACACAUAAGAAACGUAGAAAGCCAUUUAAACCCCUUUGAUGCAAUACUGUGGCAGUAAAUAUGCUACGUUUUGUUAUACUAUGUAUUUAUGUAGACAUGUUGUUGAUCAUUAUAGUUAUGUCGAAAUGCAUUGCAAUUUUAGUUUGUGAUAGUUAUGUUAAUAUAUCAUGAGUGGAUAGUGCGUUGUUAACAGUUUGUGAAUUGGAAUUCUGGAAUGAUUUUUGUCAGCAUUCACAUCAUUAUAUAUAAGUGGUCGCUAAUUUGAUAUUGCCUAUCUUGCUGUUCUGCAUUUGUGAUUGGUCUUAUUUAAGCCACUGAUUCAGAAUUCAGAUGCAUUAUCUGGUCUGGGAGUUGCAAAUGGAACUGUCAUUUUCCUUAACCGCCACCUUUAAUUCUGUACAAUCUCCAAUAUCGUGCAUUUGUAUGGUUUGGUCCUGUUUGUUUGGGAUUAUAAUCUACCUAGAUUAUAUAAGUUGUUUGUUUGGGAUUAUAAUCUACCUAGAUUAUAUAAGUUGGAUUAUGGGUCAUGGUAAAAUAUUAUUUUAGAACCACAAAUAAUCUUAGCCUUGGGUAGCUUUGGUCCCCUAGUGGUCCCAGUUUAUAUAAUCUUGGAGGGAAACAAACUUCCUCCAAACUUGGAGGGAAACAAAGAGGAUCUGCCUCUUGAUCUUGGAGGGAAACAAGAAACAAAAAGGAUCUGCUUUUAAGAGUUUUCUAAAAAGUUCUUCCCCAAAACUAUGUUUUGGGACUCUUUCAAAAAGUUUUUCCUCCAAAAAUAUAUCAACCCAUAGUAGAUCGCUGUAGAUCGCUAAUAACCUGUCUUCAAUAUUUUAAAAUAUUUUAAAACAGGUUACAUAAUCGUAAUUGGCCUAGCUUGGCGCCUUCCUGCCCUCUUCUCGUCCCCGUAUCAUUCUUUCUUCUUCUUCCUCUGGUCGAAGAAGAACUUGUUGAUCCGCACAUGCCUUCAAUCCUGAAGGCCUCCCCUGCACCUAUGCUUGAUCAUGCUAGCGCACGCGCCUCCAAUCCUUCCCCGCACCUGUGCUUGACCUCUUUCUUCUUCUUCCUCUAGCUGAAGAAGAACUCGUUGAUCCGCACGUGCCUUCAAUCCUCCCCCACACCUAUGCUUGACCAUGCCAGCCCACGUGCCUCCAAUCCUUCCCCGCACCUGUGCUUGACCAUGUUGGUCUGCAGCUCUGCUUCGUGCUUUGCCUGCACUUGAUUGGAGGAGCUUCAAUGGUUGGAUUGCCCGUACUUGAUUGGAGGAGCUUCAAUGGUUGGAUGGAAAUUCAUCAAAAUUCCCGUGAAAAGAGGUGAAAAGAGAUGAGUAGAAGCUCGUCAGGGUUCACAGCUAGAGCUCGCGCAGCUCAUAAAAAAGAAGCUCGUGCCGUAGUUGGAGGAGCUCGCCCGUGCCCGUGGCGGAGCACGUGAGCCCCUGGCCGCCCGCUCACCAUCCCCGCUGGCCCUUCUCGCCCCCGCCGCCCUUGGCCACCUGUGAAGCUCGCCACAUCUAGCCAUGGCUGCGCUGCUCGUGGAGCUCGCCCUAGGUUCAUAGCCAGAGCUCGCGUAGCUCAUAAAAAAGAAGUUUGUGCCGUAGUUGGAGGAGCUCGCCCGUGCCCGUGGUGGAGCACGUGAGCCCCUGGCCGCCCGCUCACCAUCCCCGCCGGCCCUUCUCGCCCCCGCCACCCUUGGCCACCUGUGGAGCUCGCCACAUCUGGCCAUGGCUGCGCUGCUCGUGGAGCUCGCCCUAUCCUGCCUUCAACUCGCGCCGCGCUGGCCUCUCCUUGUGUCGUAUGAGGGAUGGAGCCAAUCGGCUCGUAACGGGGGACCGAGGGGAUGCCCCGUUCGCUCAUUCCGGUGGUACAGAGUCAUUCUCGCGGGAAGGGGGCGAUUGGGGGAGGAAAGACGUCGCGCAAAUAUGCGCGGUGUCAGGUUCUAUUUUGGCGUCGCAAAUAAAUUGGGAAAAUUUUAGGGAGCCGUUGGAGUCUUUUUUUUUCCUCCCUGAAUAAGGUAUUAGAGGUAGGAUACAGAUUCCUUUGGAAUUGCUCUUAUAAAGUCAUGUACUAGUUGCUUGAAAAACGCAUGACGGUGACUGCGCGCCUUGCUUCGCCAUUGCCGUGAUGUGAUUUGCUCUUAAUUGUUAGACCGGCGAGGUUAAUUGGCUGUUUGCUCCAUUUACUAACCACUUCUGUGACCACGGGAUGUAUGUUUAUGCACCAUUUUUGCAGUUAUUACUUGAAUAUGACAUGGAACAGAGGAAAUAAAAUGUACUUAGCUUGGAGUAUGGUUAUAAUUUCAGUAUCUCUUGGUAGCGGUACUCUCCAAUUAGUUUACGGGGGAAUGAGCUUGUGUGAACGGUAGGGAGUAUUUUUCUAGUGAAGGAAGCAUUUUCUGGUGCCUCGGCCACCAUCGCCACCCAUUGAGGGCAGGAGCAUCGAACAUGCCAAACCGAUCAAGACUGUACUCUGCAUUUCAAUCUCGCUUUGGCCAAUUUACAAAUGGAAAUGUACCGUACCUGCGUACCAGACCAGCGGCAGCACGUAAUGCACGGACGACACUCGGUGCUGCUUCACGAUUCAACGGUGAAAUUUUGGUGAGGAAGAGGGAUGUAGGAGUAGCCGUUGUUUCGAGAGGGGUAAAAAGAAAGAAAAGAAAGAGAAUAUAGCCGUUGACCGCUUAAAUAAAACUUUCCUUGUAGAAAACGAUUAGUGCGGCAACAUAUGAAAAUGUCACCUCCUAUAUAUUGCUCACGCCCAAUCGAUCUCUCCCGCACGCCGAAUCCAGCCUCUCCCUCUUGCUUACGCCCAACUUCUCGCCGCACUUCGAUCGAUCGAGGAAUACGCAGACGUGGAAGUGCAUCGGCGGCCGCGGCCUGCAGGCGAAGGCGAUGCCCAUCUUGCUCGCCGUUCUUUUCUGGUGCCUGGCGUUGCCUUGUAAGUUCACAUGCAUGUGAUCUUUGUGUCUUUCGGUCAAAAAUUUCGUUGAAUUUUUGCUGAAAAUACGUUGUUUUCUGAGAUGGACAGAUGUUUCAAAAGGUUAUCCCGAGCUAUUCAUCGAGGCCGGAGAUGCGACAAGCUACCCACCAUCUAGUGUUACCAACACGACUUCAGAUGCCAUCGCGGUCAAUGACACGCCAUCAGUAGACGAGAGCAAGAUCUUGCUGAAAUUCUGCUUCGAGUUCAGUUGCAAUACGGACGCCUGCUACUGCUGCGAGGACCAGCCAAAGAUUCAUCAUUGUUUCCGCACGAGGGACCAAUGCCUGAGAGCUUGCCCACCGUGCAGCCCGGUGUGCCCACCGGAGGCAUUGCCUCGUAUGGCGAUUGAACGUGCAGUGAUGAAUGUUACCUUAUAAAAUUGGUGCUCUAGGAUUCGUGCUGAAUUGCUUGUUUGAUCGCUGUGUUCGGGCCUGGCUCACGAGCAUCUUCCCUCGCAGGAAUUUUCCUGUCCCUUUUUGGAUUCCUUAUGGGUUCUGAAUUUCUGCAUGUUGGUGGUUUUCCAAAACGAAGUGUCUUAUUGAAGUACUUUGGUUUUUAGUGGAAGUAGAUGAAAUUAGUGGUCCAUGAACUGAGCAUAGAAUUAGGUUAUUGUAGUGGAACUUACCCGUAUGGAUUCAACUCUCCGACUCAUCACAAAUAUAAUGCUUGCAUGUAUAACUAAUUAUUCUUUCAAUGGUAGAUAACAUGCGUGUCAGCGAUCUCGUAUGUGGUGAUUUCGUUAAUCUCAGAAUCUGAACAAGAGUCAAUUCUUUAGAGAAUUUUAACAUACGGUUCUGUGUUUAAAAGGCUAUGCUAUGCAUUGGUCCUAUAAAAAAAAUGGAACAUGAAUUUGGCAUGCUACAUUUAAAUAUAGGACAAUAUACACAAGUAGUAUAUCAUCACAUGUCUGAUUUUCUUAUCAACCAAGUCAUGUGACAUGAUUCCAUCCCUUUUUCUUUUGUAGUGAAAGUGCCCAAGAACAUUGCCACACAUUCUUCUCCAUGGAGAACCUACAAUAAUCCGCUAAAAUGCUCACAUAUGAGUAAAUCGUAAGGAACGUGAUUUGAAUCAUUGCGUAUGGAUUCGUACCGUACAUCUACACACUACACUAAGAGGUAGUUCCUAGUGUUGAAAAUCAUUUAAAUCUUUCUUUUAAAUAUGCUUCUAGACAAAAGAUAUUUAUUUAUAACAUAGGGCAUAGUUGUAUAAGCUAUAAGUAUAUGACCUUGUCUAUAAGAGUAUAGUUUCUUCAGUGCAUGAAACCAAUUACAUCACACACAUCGCUAGAAUCGGUAUUUCAUAUCUGAAGUGGGCUAACCUUAUCAUAUAAGAGCAUAGUUGUUUCAAUGCAAGAAACCAAGUAAAACACAUUGCUAGAAUCAAUGUUCCAUAUUUGAAGUGGCACUUCUUUGCUUCUAUCGUGAUACACUAAUCAUCUUCUUCUCAAGGUCCCUUCUUCACAAAGAAAUAUUAAAAAAAUAGUACCUAAUGAUUUAGUUUCCACCAUUUUUUAAAAAAGGCAGAGAAGUACGGUUAAAUGCCAUAAGGCUUCCCCCUCAUAUUAAAGAUAAUAGGUCAUGCUCUUGACCGGCUCGUUGUUGGGAUCCUUAGCCAUCUAAAAAUCUUAGUUUCGUGAUGGAAUGAUAAAGUAUACAAUAAGUGUCAUCCUUAUGUAAAUAUUCUUUUACUAUCAAGUAUUAUAAUGACAUAUAUUUAUCAAUAUAGUAUAAAUGCUAGAAUGUUUGUGCACCCAUACGUAAAAUCAUGCGUCUUGUAUCGAAGGUAUAACCACCUAUGAUACUGAUAUUAGGCAACGUGGAACGCUACGCUAGCGCAAAUGAAAAAUUAACCAUGCUUGCACAAGAUCAUUUGCGAGUCGAGGAUCAUGGAUCUUAUACCUUCCUGUCACGCAGCGCAACAGAAGACUUGAAGAAGCGCGAGUAGUCGAUGUAUAGUCGAUGUCAAGGAGGUAGUCGUACAGCUUGACAUAGUGCGCAAACGAGCAGUACCUCUACGAAAGUCCACAUGUUCAGAGAGAAGAACGGCACGACAGAAUGUGCUACACUCAACAAUACGCUACAUCGUAGAAACUCGCAGCAGUCACACAGGGCAACCACGCACAACAACCUGGUAGCUAGCACGUCCAGGCGUGGUGGCGGGUGGCGGCCAAAACCUCACGGUGGCUAAAUUCUAAUUAGAGUUAAUUAGCUCUCUGGCCGCUGAUUAGGAUUUAUAACCCAUCUAAUGGGCCAUCCUCAUGGGCUAGCUAGCGGGUCGAACCUGAUGCUCACGGGCAAGUUCAACAGUCUCCCGCUUCCACUUAGCCAAUCAUCUCCCGCUUGCACUUAGCCAAUCAGGGCGGCUAUUUGCUGCAGUGUCCUGGACUCAAUCCAAUUGAUCCUUUUUUAGUUCUCUCUCCUUAAGUGUGUGACUCCAUAGGUUCAUGCAACCAACAGUCAUGAACUAGAAACUGUUUCUAGUCAAUAGUCAGCAUUGGCCUCUAGCAAAGCGUACUAACUCCCGAUGGUCCACAAAGAUCAUAUCUUGCAUAACUUUGAUAUGCGCCAAUAGUAUGUCCUUCCACCACACGAAACCUAGCUAAGUACAAGGCAAGUGAAGUGCUACUCUUAUCAACUUAGCCAUAUCUGCUCCAUGUAGAACUUAUUUUACCGAGUAACCUUUAGUCAUGGUAUGACCAUGCACUUUCAGUUCCUACACAUCGAGAGGGUCAAGAGGUAUCUCUCCCUAAUGCAGGAGGGGCAGAUUCCAUCUUGACUCGACGGACCCUGUGAUUUGUUUCAGAACAGACGCGAAAGCUACCUUUAUAACAACCCAGUUAUGGGGUAGCGUUUGGCACCCCAAAAUAUGCUCUUCCGCAAUCCGGGACUCUACGCCGAUCUCAGGUCUAAGGAUUUUAGUAUAUGUGUCAUUACAAGACUCACCGAUAGCACAAAUGUAUUCGCAGUGUCUCGCAGUGGGUCUAUCCAACAAUAUGUUCAUAACACAUGUUCACAUCAUCAGUACGAUAUCCUAUAUCGCUAACAUCAUCAGUACGAUAUCCUAUAUCGCUAUGAUCUGUGAAACCUGAUCAUCUCUUGACAUACGUGACCCAUGGGCAACGGGAGGUACAAGCUCAGGGCUGUCACGAUUCACGUCGCAGAAGACAACACCUCUUGCAAAGGUCGACCCAGCAAAGGUAGCCGCCGUAAGGGACGACGACCUUAUGACUUUGUGAGCUUCCCACCAGCCGCGGAUGUCACGGAACGUGGCCUUGCCGUCACGGACGCUCGCGUGCUUCACUUCCCACUCCACCAGCGGAGCCUGAAGAGCUAGCGCUCCCCUUCGAGAGAGGCGCGUCCACGUCGCCGCUGUCGAGCUUGCUCAGAUUAAGACGGAGCUCCGCCACAACGAAUCCUCCUGAAUCGUCCUCACCGGUGAGCAAGAGGCCGAUGCCGCUUUUGUUCAUCAUGGACGUUUUUGGUUGCCUGGAGGAGUCUAGCUCGCACCAGCCAGCCUGACUCCCUAGAACCAGACCCAUUGCAUGUAAGAGAAUGGUGUUUGGUUGCCUGCUCGCACGGGCCAGGCUCUCCCGAGAAGCUCUUUAGUUGCUCGGACGAGGACGGGUUGUAUGAGAUGAAAAUAUAUAAAUAAUCACGUAAUGGCAUUUAUUAUGGAGAAACUAUUAUCUUAAAGCUUUUAGUUUAUCUUAUUACUUCUUAAUAUUAAUCGAAAUAUGUUAAUAUCAUUUAAUAUGUGCUAAUAAUGUAUUAAUAACAUCAUUAGAUGGCUAAUUACCUGCACCACGCGAGCCUGGUCCAGCAGAAACGGCCGAUUUCCUCGCACCGGUAGAGCCUGGCUGCGGAGGGAAUCUCGCACGCGCGGAGCUUGACCGAGCAGAUACGCGAACCAAACAAACAACAAAUCUUGCACCAGCAGAACUAGCUGAAGGCUGAUGCAGGCAACCAAACGCCCCAUGCGUCGCUGGCGACUUCUCCUCCAGGAGCCCUCCGCCGCGGCCGCGAUCUCCUUCUGGAUCGAGUAGUGGCGCGGGAGCAGCGAGAGCCCGGUAGAGGAAGAAGUCGAUCGCGUAGCACGUCAGGCCCUCGAAGUUGCCCUCCAGGCGGAAGAUUGCGGCGUCCCCGUGGGCCGCCACGACGGUGUCGAAGCAGGAGAGCUCGCGCCCCUCCGGGCGGUGGUGCACGCAGAGGCGGGACGUGCCAGGCAGCGAGGAGAGGAGGAGGAGACGCGACGGGGUCACCGUUGCUGGCGCGGGCCAUCGCGGACGCGGAGGUUAUCCUGUUCCUGUCGUCGCGGUGGACGGAGACGUGGUACGGUCCCUGCGGAAGAUCUGAUGGUCCAUGACCACCCAGCGAGGAAUGGACGGCCCUCGGUCCGAUCGGACUUCCAUGGGAGCUGCGGCCAGCCCCCGAAAUCCCGGAUGCACGGAACGGCACGGCCACCCGGCGCGGAGGAGUGAUUUGUGGGCUUUGCCAAGAUAGAAUGAUAGAUGGCCCAAUUUUGUGCGAACAACAAGCGAAGGUCAGUAGUCUACUUCCAACAAUUUGCUAGUAGAAACAGAGAGUACUGCCAUUCUGAAAGAGUCUGGCACUCCUGUCAUUUUGCUGUAUAGAUAAUAUACAAAACAAAAACUGAGCAUUGGAUGCACUGCAAUUAGAGCUGCUUUGGCAAAUAAUGGUUGCAAAAGGUGCUGGUCCCUGCUGGAUACCACCAACCAUUUUAGGCAUGUGGUCGAGCUUCUUGUGCGUGCUGUCCGGGCCUGCAUGGCUGCAUGUGGUUGGUUAGCAAUUUCAUACUCUGGAGUUACCCAUCAGCGCAGUUUUAGAAUCCUGGUCAUAGGGGCCUCAACACGCUUGAAAUGCCAUCAAGUUACCCUUUUUCCUGUAGUGCUUGCACCGUCCGGCUCCGCCCAUCCCUUGGGCCACUUUCGCGUGCUGUAACUGCACCGAGAAGCCGCUGACGAGUGGGAGUUUCCGAAGGAAGGGGCUGCAUGGAGGCUGCGUGACCCCACGGAUGAUGAUGUUGGGAGGCUGAAACCUGAAAACACAGAAAGCACACCACCGGUCUGCUUUCCGUUUAUCCCUUUCUUUCACGCAAAAACAUUGUUACCACUUGUACCAUCAAAUCCACCACAAAGGGCGACUGCUAGGUACACAAGCUGAAUUGAUGAUCGUCGGUUCUUCGGAAAAGGAAACUUUUGGAUUACACAUCAAGUUUGAAAAUACUUGUAUGUUUGGUUCAGAAAAGACAUUAUCUUUCAUAAUACUUAUGCUUUCUAACUUCAAACAAAACCAUACACACCAAAUGAUUCAUAAAUAAUGCGCGCCACAGAUCCAGCGGCCAGCAAUCGCGCUCGCCGCCCCUAGCUAAUACUACCUCCGAUUCAUUAUAUUUAACGUUUCAGACGGUGAUUUGCCUGCAAGUAGCCAACGGGAACGUCAAAGAAUCGGAUGUAGUAUUCUACUAGGAGCAUAUAUACCCUAGGCAAUGCAUCUAUCGAGUACUAUUUCUUGAUUGAAAACUGGAAUGGUCUCCCCUCACACUAAAAAAACUUUGGCGUCGCCAUUAGCGCAGAAUACCAUCCGGUGUCAGGCUUAAGCUCACCGGUCGGUGGCUAAGCGCCUCGGGUUAAGCAUCGCAAAGCGCCGCAAGUAACCCAGACGGGCAGACCCAGCCCUGUCUUCCAAUCCAAGUGACCUGACCCGACCCGACCUGACCCCAUCAUAACACACGCUCGCUCGCUCAUGCGCCCGGCCCCGUCGAAUCAAAACCACCACCGUGUGCUCGUUUUACCCCUCACGGAAAAUUUCCCGUCUCCCCGUCUCGUCUCGCUUCGCCCCCAACCUCCCCUGCGCAGCCCCCAGAUCCGGCACCGCCCGCUCCUCGAUCCCCGCGCCCCACGCCCGUAGGUGAGCCCACCGAUCCGCCCUCGCCCCGCCCCGCCGUCCGUCGCCGGCCGCCAUUCCCUCGGGUCGCUCACCGGCGCGGCGUUCCUCGUUUGCCCUCUGCGUGCAGGUCGGGGGUUGCGUUGCGCCCCGGGCAGGAGGAGGAGCGCCAUGGCGGCGCCGCCGGCGAGGGCCCGGGCCGACUACGACUACCUUAUUAAGCUGCUCCUCAUUGGGGAUAGCGGUGGGUGCCACUAGAUCUCUCCCUCUAUAUAUCUCAGUAGAUGGAUGAAUUUGUGCGUACGCGCGCUCGCGUUCGUGGGAUCGGGGGUUGGGUUUGGCUUACACGCCAUGUGGAUCUCGCUCCUGCUGCCCGUGGCCGUUUUCGUGCGAUUGAUCCGUGUUCAGUUUGUAGUGGAGAGCGGAAGAGAUGUUGCUUGCUGGUUCCUGCUUUCUGCCUAACUCACCGUUCCUUCAUCUAGUAGCCGCUUUGCUGCAUUAGUCUCAGAUGCGAAAUUGAGGGGCAGUGAUGGGAAGGAUGGAUUGUGCCUUUCUGUGACUUUUUUUCUUUCUUGUAUGAACUUCAUUUGUGAUAUUGAUGUGAGUUUUUCCUUCAUUGACGAACAUUCACCUGUGCAAAUUGUUUGGUUCAUGGAAGAUGCACACUGGAAAUAGUCCAAUUUGUGGAAAUGUGCUCCUAAAGUCUCUUGCACUGCAGAUUAAGUUGGUAGACUUGUUCAAUGGUUGACGUUUUGAGUUGAUACUUCCUGGUUAAGCAAUUGUUUCUUUUACCCAUUCUUGCAUUGAGCGGACAGACUAGAAAAUCUUACUUCAGAAUAUGUUCAAUAUAGGUGAUUUAUAUAAUAAAAUAUCAUUUGUAUGUGAUGCUGUGUGCUGCUCUGUGUUCUUUGAUAAUUUACUUGUUAGCGCAUACUAUUUAACCAUUAUGUCUAUGGAAUUUGCUGUCAGUGAAUACAGAGAGUUUCAUGCUUUUGAGGGUGGAUAACGUGUGAAAAUGGCAGCCGCUGGAUGUUAGUUGGAGCAGUGAAACUAAUUUAUCGGCACUAGAAAAAAAUUACAAAACCUAUUGCAGGACUUAAACCACAAAAUAUGCCUCAACAAAACUAGGUGCAUUGUUGUGUUCUCUAUCUGAGCCAUUUUAUCCAUAUUUCACUCUUUACCUGAUUCAGCAUUACUGAUGAUCAACUAAGUGGUUCUUGCUACACAAGGAUGAUGGCUAUCCAUCCUGUAGUCUGUGUUCUAUGCAUUGGUUUAGAGCAUUUCUAGUAUUUGCUUGAGGUCCAUUGGUUCCUGGGAUAACCUUGGAAUUACUCCGAUUGCUGAGUCUUGCUCUAGUAGCUAUGUUGUUAUAACAUGUAUAGAUCUGGACAGUUAUCAUACGAAGGUAUGUUUUUGACUGAAAAGUUACUGUGCAGCUAGUGUCAUGUCCUUUGGUUAAGUUUUCUGUUAUCUCAAUUGCCUGACAAACACUUUUCUUACUUGUUUCUAGGUGUCGGCAAGAGUUGCCUCCUAUUGCGGUUCUCCGAUGGUUCCUUCACUACAAGCUUUAUUACCACAAUUGGGUAAGUCUCUAUGGUGACAUGAUUUUUUUUUCUUCGAAAAGCUUACGGACCUGAAGAUUGUUCAAGUGUUCAUCAUCUCUUCCCGCAAAGAUGGGAUUGUGGCAUUUGUUAUGUACUUAAAUCUGAUUUCAAUGCUUGUUUUAUGUAGUAUUGAUUUUAAGAUAAGAACAAUAGAGUUGGAUGGCAAGCGCAUCAAGCUACAGAUUUGGGACACAGCAGGCCAAGAACGCUUCCGGACCAUUACCACUGGUAUAGUGUUUUAUUUCAUUUCUGAUCAUCUACUUCGUUGAAGUUAUAUGAUAACAUUUUGAUCCAGCAAACAUUAUUUUAUCUCAGCAUACUACCGAGGAGCUAUGGGCAUCCUGCUGGUUUAUGACGUCACUGAUGAGUCUUCUUUUAACAGUACGCUCUUACCCAACACACUCUAUUCCCUAAUGCUUCCAUUUUGAACAAAUUUACCCAUUUGUUGAUAAUUGUCUCACCUAACAUACAGACAUCCGAAACUGGAUUCGGAACAUUGAGCAACACGCCUCUGAUAAUGUCAACAAAAUAUUGGUUGGCAAUAAGGCAGAUAUGGAUGAGAGCAAAAGGGUAGAGAUCCCUGAAGUCAUCUUUUCCUUUUGAUUGUUCUAGUAUUCUAUAAAAUUUCACUGAUUUCAGCCUGUAUCAUUUGUUUGAAAUCACUGAUUACAUGCUUAACUUUACUGUAACUGUUACAUCAGGCUGUACCUACUGCAAAAGGACAAGCGCUUGCUGAUGAGUACGGGAUCAAGUUCUUUGAAACUGUAAGUUUCUGCCUGAAUCGAACCUUUUCAGUGACUGUUGUUUUGGUCUCACAGAGUAUUGUGUUUUGCAGAGUGCCAAGACAAACCUUAACGUGGAGCAAGUGUUUUUCUCCAUUGCACGUGACAUCAAGCAGAGGCUUGCCGAGACAGAUUCCAAGCCUGAGGUACAGAUAAUUGCAUCUGGUUAUGUUUGAAAUUUCAUCUCAACCAAUGAUCUGAGCAAUCUAUCCUUGCACUGUAGGACAAGGCAAUCAAGAUUAACAAGCCGGAUGCCACCGAGACACCAGUUGGCCAGAAAUCUGCUUGCUGCGGCUCAUAAGCGAAGCACAAUGUCUGUGGUCGUUGGUUAUUUGACUUUAUUUAUUUCCCGCUUGGCUGUUAUAGGAAGAAUUUGAAGAAGCCACUUUGAUAUACUGAUGUGGUUGUACUUGUGUUUGCUUCCCCUCUUUGAAGCAACCACCUCUUGCUGUUGACGUAGCUAUUGCUAUUGCCGGGAGCUAUUGCACUCUGGAUUUCGGUCCAUUGAAAAACCUCCCCCCUCCCUACAGUGUGUAAUGAAUGAAAUCCAUGUCGUUGGGUUUGCAUUUUAUCGAUCAAUGCAUGGAAUAAGGUGUUGCUCUGCGUGCAUUGUUGCGUUGUAUUUUUCCUUGCAAUUUAUUUUCUUGGGAAAGCACCUUUGAUGUACUUUUGUUGCUGUCAGGUGUAUUCCCUCUUUAAAAGCACGGGGUUUGACCUAUCGUGGUCACAUACUUUGUCCUUAGAUGUCUUAAGUUGUUCAUAUGGCUAUAUGAAAUUGACAUCAUAUCAAGUGUUCUUUAAAAACUGAUCUCAUGGAAUGUUGUCGAAUAGAAUCUAGUUACCAAAUUUAUAUAGUAUAGUUAACAAAUUUCUUAGAUUAAGCGUUGGUCAAAGGUUCUUGGAUUGUGUACCAGCCUUAGGCUAGUUUCAGUGCAGUUACCAAUGCAGUUACCAAGUGCAUUACCAAGAUUUUACACUGCUUGAUGAGUGUAACCCCACAUUUGAUGAAACUCUCCCUAUCAUAAUAAUCAUGACAAGUAAAUAAAAUUACUGGUGUGGUAUAUAUUUUAAUGUUCACGAAACUCCUAUAAAAACCGUCCAUUGAGACCGGCUACAAAACACCUCUCUCCUCAUAAUGAUCAUGACAAGUAAGCAAAAAUUGGUGAUGUGGUAUAGAUUUUAAUAUUCAUGAAACUAUUAUGAAACGGUCCAUUGAGACUGACCUUACGAGAGACAAAAGAGGAAUGAGGAAUUUAUACCAGUGAUAUUCGUGUUCGAUGAUGAUACUUAUUGCGUGGAGUAUAUAUUUGGAAAUGAAACCAAAUACACUUUGAAUUUGAACUAUACGAAAAAAUUGAAACGAACACAACUUAUACAUCUGAUGAAGGCAACAUCUCAAAGAGAGCAAUCCAAUAUCAACUUUUUCUGCACGCCCUGCAUUGUGUCGCCGAGCCUAGCGUUCUUCCGGCACUUGGCGCAGUUCUCGGAUGUUGCCAGCUUCAAGUCCAAGCAAAUGCCACUGGCACAACCGUUGCUGAUGUCUUCAUCACCCUCCACCGACGCCCCGUCCCCGGAACGGAGGGUUCCGGCGGCCACCGCCGUGGUCCUGUGUCUGUGUGUCACGAACAAGAAUGUGACGCCGAAUGCUCUAAAGGAGGAAGGGGAAGGAAACGGGAUCAAGGCUGCGGUAACAACUCAAGGAGCUGGGCGUCCUCGACGGGAUUCGAAGCCCAACAAGUACUUGGCUGGGCCGUAGUGGCUAAAGUAGUUUAGGCCCAUGAACGGGAGUCGUUGUGACCAUUCUGGCACGGGGUGUAAUGGUUAAAGGAGGAGGCGUGCACUAGGGGAGAACUGAUUAGGAUCACGUCGGUUGUGGCGGCGGCGGCGAGCUUAGGCUCGAGACUCCGACGAGAUCCUUAUCCUUGUAUCGUGAAUCCUGAACAAAUUCCACUAUAGUGUGUGUUCGUGUCCACCGGUAUAAGUUGUGUCUCACAUUUGGUAUUCAGAGUUGAUCGAUUCUGGAUCCAACGCACUCUCAUCUCACUCGCUUCCAAGUUCAUGUCGGAGCCAUGGUGGUACCGACGGAUUCCAUGGCAACGGUGUCGGCGAAGCUGGAGGAGUUGGGAAAAAAAGGUGGAUGAGACCAAUCGCAAGAUCGAGGAGAUGCAGCAGUCCAUUGAUCUUCUUACUCAAGAGCAAGGUGCAGUGAAGGAAUGGAAACCUAAGUUGGAGAACAAGGUCACGGAGUUGCAGAAUUCUAUGUACGAUCUCAAGCAGAAGGUAGAUCUGUUCGUCCACGAGCUCCCAAGAAGAAGCCAGAUGAAGGGAUCAAGGUUGAGGCGCCUUCCCCCACCCAUCUAGGGGUGAUUGGAGAUGCAGAGGCGUCUGGGCAAUACUACCACCGCGUCGAAACUCAGCACCGGAGUGUUGGUGCUGGGGUUGUCACAACCCUGGUGCCACCUCCGGUCAAAGGUGCAAAUCGAGACCUCAAUGUUACACAUGUUCCUUUUCAUGGGUUUGAUUCUGUUGGAUGUGUUAGUUAUCUUCCUGCUCCUAGCUUUAGUCAUGGCAUACCCCAGCUUGAAUUUCCUCGGUUUGGUGGAACUAAUCCCAAGAUCUGGAUUAGGAGGUGUGAGAAUUUUUUUGAUGUCUAUGAAACUCCUAAAUCUCAUUGGGUUAAGUUAGCUACCAUGAAUUUGGGGGCUCUGCUGAUUUUUGGAUGCAAUCCAUAGAAAUAGAUCUUAAGAAGUGUACUUGGGAGAAUCUCUGCCAAGUUGUGUUAGGAAGGUUUGAGAGGGAUCAGCACAACCAUGUUAUUAGGCAAUUAUUUCAUAUCAAACAGUCAGGGUCAGUAGCAGAAUACAUAGAGCUUUUUGAUAAGCUUGUUCACCAACUGCUGGCUCAUGACCCUUAUUUCAAUCCCUCUGUUGUUACUAGUAAAUUUGUAGAUGGUUUAAAGAUUGAAAUUAAGGCAAUAGUACUUGUUCAUAGGCCAAAAGAUUUGGAUAUUGCUAGCUCUUUGGCAAUUUUGCAGGAGGAAGUGCUAGAGGGAGGUCCUAGCAAAUAAAGAAGGAGAAUAGAAGUACCCAAUUCUAUCAAGUCAGUGCAGAGGACUGGCAGUGUGUCUUCUGUAGCAAGGCAAAAUGAACAAUUUCCAACUGAAGAUAGGAGAUCUCCUAACCAUUAGGUGAUAGAGUGUCAGCUCUGAUGGCUUAUAGGAAGGCCAAGGGACUCUACUACAAGUGUGGAGCAAAAUAGGAUCCUCAGCAUACUUGUCCUGAGAAUGUUCCCCUCCAUAUUGUAGAAGAGUUUUGGCAAAUGAUUGCAAAGAAGGAGGAACCUGUACAUCAAUCCUUGGGUGAAUCUGAUUCUGAUUCAUGAGAAGAUUUAAUGGCAAUUUUUGCACAAGCUGUAAAUGAAACUUAUUCUGGGAAGACAAUGAAGCUCCAAUGCUUUAUUCAACAAUAUAAGACUGUUGUAUUGGUGGACUCUAGCAACUCUCAUAAUUUCAUUAGUGAGCAGUUUGCUGCACUUUUACCAAACUGGAGACCACUGAAGAAACCUAUUGAUGUCAACAUGGCAGAUGGAGGUAUUCUGCAAUGUACACAUAAAGUGGUGAAUUGCAAUUGGCUUGUUCAAGGGAUUCAAUUCUUGACAACUUUUAAGAUACUUCCCUUGAAAUGCUAUGAUGCUAUAUUGGGGAUGGAUUGGCUGGAAACUUUUAGUCCUAUGAAGGUACAUUAGGCUCAAAAAUGGCUGUCUUUCCACUACAAGGAGAAGAAAGUCAGGAUACAGGGAACACAAGAUAACACACCUUGUCUUUAUAUCACUGGAGAUCAGUUAUUUGCUAUACAAAAGCAAGAUGAUAUUUGGUGUGUUCUGCAAGUAAUUCUGUUGAACAACAUCCUAGCAAUGAAGGCAAGAGUUAGUGGACAACUAUGUAGAACUCUUUGCUGAACCAAAAGGACUGCCUCCAAAUAGAAAUAUUACUCAUUCAAUUCCCUUGCUGCCUGGAGCCCAACCUUUCAAAUUGAGGCCAUAUAGAUAUACCCCAGCUCAGAAAGAUGAAAUAGAGCAACAAGUGGCCAAGCUUUUACAAGAUCACAUGAUUCAGGCCAGUAUAAGUCCUUUUGCCUCCCUGUAUUGCUAGUCAAAAAGAAAAUAGGAGAAUGGAGGUUGUGUGUAGAUUUCAGAAGGUUGAAUGCCUACACUAUCAAGAACAAAUUUCCACUACCAAUCAUUGAAGAGUUGUUUGAGGAGUUGUAUGGAGCAAAAUGGUUUACAACCUUGGACCUUAGGUCUGAUUUUCAUCAGAUAUUGGUUAAUGAAGAAGAUCAGUACAAAACUAUUUUUCAAACACAUUUCGGCCAUUUUGAGUAUAAGCUUAUGCCAUAUGGGUUAACAGGAGCACCAUCUACAUUCCAAGCUAUUAUGAACCACAUAUUGGCACCUCUGCUCAGGAAGUGUGUGGUAGUCUUCAUUGAUGAUAUACUUAUAUACAGUAAGAGCUAUGAAGAGCACGUGCAACAUGUAAGAUGGUCUUUGACUUGUUGAAAGAACAUCAAUUUAAAGUCAGGUUGUCUAAAUGUAGUUUUGCCCAACAACAGCUCAAAUAUCUGGACCACAUUAUAAGUGCUGAAGGUGUGGAAACAAAUCCUGGAAAAGUCAGUGAUGUCCAGAAUUGGCCCGUUCCAACUUCAGUGAAGGAAUUGAGGGGGUUCCUUGGCUUGGCUGCGUAUUAUAGAAGAUUUGUCAAAAAUUUUGGCAUGUUAGCUAAACCUCUAACAGAACUGUUGAAGAAAGAGAAAAUAUUUGUGUGGAUAUCUAUAGCUGAACAGGACUUUCAAACUUUGAAAUCUGCACUCACUUCAUCUCCAGUCUUAGCUCUUCCUGAUUUUAACAAGACUUUUGUGGUGGAAACUGAUGCAUCAGACAAAGGAAUUGGAGCAGUAUUGCAGCAAAGAGGGCAUCCAAUAGCUUAUGUUAGCAUAGCACUGGGUCCCAAAAGCCAAGGCCUUUCUACUUAUGAAAAAGAGAGUUUGGCAAUCUUGGUGGCUAUAGAUCACCGAAGGAGCUAUUUACAACCUGCUAAAUUCAUCAUUCAGACUGAUCAGAAAAGCUUAAUUCACCUGGAUGACCACUGCUGAAUUCAUCAUUCAGACUAAUCAGAAAAGCUUAAUUCACCUGGAUGACCAGAGGCUAAAUUCCUAAUGGCAGCAGAAGGCUUUAAACAAGUUGCUCGGUCUACAAUACAAGAUCUCCUACAAGAAGGGCUCCACAAACAAUGCUGCUGAUGCACUGUCCAGAGUUACACAUGAUGAAACUUCAAAAGUCUUGGCUUUAUCAAAGGCACAACCAGUUUGGUUGGAUGACUUGCAGUCUAGUUAUGCUGAUAAUGAACAAGCUCAAAAGCUAUUAACACAACUUUUACUCAAUCCUGAUCAAGGCAAGUACAAACUAUCACAAGGCAUUAUCAAGUACAAGAACAGGAUAUGGUUGGGUCAUAGCCUAGAAAUACAACAAGUUAUGAAGGUUCUGCAUUCAAGUCCAAUGGGUGGUCAUUCAGAAAUCUUGGUCACAUAUAUAAGGAUCAAAAGAUUCUUCUAUUGGCCUCAAAUGAAGGACCACAUACAUGAGUGGGUUGAGUCUUAUUCUGUUUGUCAACGAGCAAAAGUCGAAAGGGUGCCUUAUCCAGGUCUUCUUCAACCUUUGGAAGUACCUGAUCAUGCUUGGCAAGUAGUGACUCUAGACUUCAUUGAAGGCUUGCCAACUUCAUCUAAUUACAACUGCAUACUGGUAGUAGUUGACAAGUUCUCAAAAUACUCUCACUUCAUAAGUUAGUCCACCCUUUUACUACUCUCAAAGUGGCUAAAGCAUAUACGGAUGAUGUCUAUAAACUACAUGGCAUGCCACAAGCCAUGGUGUCUAACAGAGAUAAAAUAUUUACUAGUCAACUUUGGCAAGAAUUAUUUAAGUUGUCUAAAACUGAACUCAGAAUGAGUUCUGCAUAUCAUCCUCAAAGUGAUGGGCAAACUGAGAGGGUAAAUCAAAGUGUGGAAGCUUAUCUCCAUUAUUUUGUACAUUCUUGUCCUUCCAAAUGGUCACAGUGGUUAUCAUUGGCUGAAUUCUGGUACAACAUCAAUUUCCACUCAGCUUUGAACAAAUCACCAUUUGAAGUGUUGUAUGGGCAUGCUCCUAGAUACUUUGGAAUAGAAGGAAUAGAAGGAGUGGAACAUUGUGCUAUACCAGACUUGGAGGGCUGGCUAAAGGAAAUACAAACAAUGACAGAACUAUUACAGCAACAGUUGUUGAGAGCACAACAGCGGAUGAAACGUCAAGCGGACAAGCACAGAACUGAAAGAUCCUUUGCUGUUGGAGAGAAGGUUUGGCUUAAGUUACAACCUUAUGUUCAGACUUCUGUUGGCUCACGAGCUAGUCAUAAGCUCUCGUUCAAAUAUUUUGGUCCUUAUCUGAUUGAGAACAAGAUUGGAUUGGUUGCUUACAAGUUGAAGUUGCCUUCUGGAAGCAAAAUUCACCCUGUGUUCCAUGUUUCACUCCUUAAGAAGGUCAAAGGUAACAUACCCACUGGCAGCCCGUCUCUACCUCCAGAUGAUGUAUCUAUGCAGGUACCAAAAAUGAUGCUCGACUGGUGUCUCAGGAACAUUGGAAGAAGAGCUAUCUAGCAGGGUCUGGUCAAGUGGCACGAUUGGCCCGCGGAACUGGCAACUUGGGAAGAAGAAGAUCACAUCUUACCUCAGCUGGAAUCUGCAAUGGCUCGCAGACAAGCCGUUAUUCAAGAAGAGGGGGAUGUCACGAACAAGAAUGUGACACCGAAUUCUGUGAAGGAGGAAGGGGAAGAAAGCAGGAUCAAGGCUGCGGAAACAACUCAAGGAACUGGGCGUCCUCAACGAGAUCCGAAGCCCAACAAGUACUUGGCUAGGCCGUAUUGGCUAAAGUAGUUUAGGCCCAUGAACGGGAGUCGUUGUGACCAUUCUAGCACGACGUGUAAUGGUUAAAGGAGGACGCGUGCACCAGAGAAGAACUGAUUAGGAUCACGUCGGUUGUGGCGGCGGUGGCGAGCUUAUGCUCGAGACUCUGGCGAGAUUCUUAUCCUUGUAUGGUGAAUCCUGAACAAAUUCCACUAUAGUAUGUGUUCGUAUCCACCGGUAUAAGUUGUGUCUCACACUGUGCCGCCGCAUGUGGCCACCCAACGCCUGCCCGACCGCGGACUUGAGCCCGCACACUGAGCAGCCGCCUGCCGUGCACUCGCCCUCGUCGUGCUCAGGGGCGGAUCUAGGCCUCGGGUUGCCCGGGCUACAGCCCGGGGCGAGGCCCAAGAACAAUAGGAAAGUCCUUCAUAAAAAUAGCAUAAAAAGACUUUUUUGGCCCAUUAGCCCACCCCGAAGACAACUUGGCCCAGGUGGCCAGGCCAUCACCCAGUCACCCUAGCGCUAGCCGCCUCCUGUCCGCCCACCCCCGAGUCCCCGACUCAGCCGCCUCCAGGCCGCCUCCCGUCUGCCCGACCCGUUCGCAGGGAUUGAAGGCCGCCGGCCGCUUCCCAGGCGCCGCGUCGGCGGGUCCCCCGGCCCCAGCUUGCCGUUGGGCGUCGGCCGCGCGCCGCACCCCUGGCCCCCCACGGCCCCGCGCUGCCGCGCCCCCGCCGGCAGGGAGCCAGCGGCCAGCGCCCGCCGGCCGCCCGCGCGCCGCUAGGGGCGCGCCGCCCGGCCGCCACCCAGGGCCCCCGCCGGCUGCCGCCUCGCCUGCCGCGGGUGGCGCGCGGCGCGCCCACGCCCGACGGCCCCACGCCCCAGGCCACGCCUGGCAGGCUGCCGGACCUUGCUGAAGUCUCGGUAUGCUAUUUUUUUUGAAAUUGCUCGACGACUGCUAGUCUAUUUAUGCUAUUUCUAUGUAAAGUAAUGAAUAUGUCAUUUCAUUGAUUUGAGCAGGAAGUAUUUGAGUCUUAGUUUGUAAUUGCAACAUUUCGUAAUCAUAACUUAGAAUAGAGAAAUACUAUGCUAAAAAGAGUAGCGCCGAAAGUGUAGAGAGUCGGGUUGAGCAAAAAAGAUUACGGAUUGAACUUGAUAUGAGAGAUAUAGUUGCUGAAUUGUUUGAGUCUAUUGGUUGAAUUGUGCUGUUUGAAAAAUAUGUUAUAUCUAAUAGUGUAUGGCUAGUAAGAUUUUAAGCUUUAUAUUAGUUAGUUCGGGGCGGAGCUCGUUUCUGGAUCCGCCACUGGUCGUGCUCGUGCGCCUCCGGCGACGCCCGGCGCGUCCCCACCGUGUUGUAGGGCUUGGGGCGCCUGUGGCUGGCGCGGUGCUCGCCCAGCGCCUGGAACGUCGGGAACCGCCGCUCGCACGUCUUGCAUGCGAACACGUGUCGGCGCGUGGCAAGGCCUGACGUCCUCGCGCUGCUGCCGCCGCCGAGCGGUUGCCGCCGAGCGGUUGCCGCCGCCCCGCUGCUGCUGCUGCGAGAGGAGCACGAGGAUGCUGGCCGUGUCCACAGCGAUCUCCAUCGAUAUGCUGUCCUAGCUUGCUGCUCCGAGCUGCUCGAUGAUGUGCAAGUGCUACGUGCAACGCAACGGUGUCCAGGAGGCUUCCGGCUUGCACGAUCAUAUAUAGCGUGAUGACGACUAGCUUUACUUCAGCAUUAGCAGUAGGAAAUUGACCGGCGAGUGUAAAAAGUUUCUAGAUCUCGCGGUAUGCUAUUCUACGCUGGUGUUUGAAGGGAUUAAUUGGGCUCGAUAAUAAGUCCAGUCUCGGUGGAAGUUUCACAAAGAGUUCCAUGAGCAUUAAUUUUCAUGACACAUCACUAAUUUUGCUAACUUUGCAAGGUAUUUAUGAAGAGAGAUAAGGAUGAGUUUCAUCAUAUGUGAGAGGAGUUUUAUCCCCAUGAAACUUAACAGGCACAUUUACCUAAUUCACAGUCUUGAUAACUGUUUAACGAAACUGUGCACUAAGACUGGCCGAAGGAACGCACAUGUAGGCUCAGUGCACCAAUGCAAAGCUGCCUUAAUUCAAGCUCCAUCGGAAAAAGAAGGGCGUCACGGCGGCCAGGUUGUUGCGCGCGGGCGUCGUCGGCAGCCAUCUGAUCGCCGAGGUUUCGGGUCCUUGCGGCGCGGCGGGCGCGACUGAAAGUAAUAGGAUUGCGUGGAACUAGUAGAUUGAUUAGGGAUACGGGGAUACAGUACAUAUAUAUAGGCGCCUGCAUAGGGGCAGGCGCCUAACCCUAAUCACCUAGGGCCGGCGCCCAGAGAUGGGCCGGCCUGGGCCUGCUAUACAUGGCCCACUCACGCAAUAAACACAGCACACACAUGUUACAGUCUAACACCCCCCCGCAGUCUGAGCGUCGGUAGCCUGGACGUUCAGACUGGACCGGAACUCCGUGAAGACCGAAGAAGGCAGGCCCUUGGUGAAGAUGUCGGCGUACUGAGAUGUCGUCGGAACAUGCAAGACGCGGACUUCACCGGUGGCGACGCGCUCCCGGACGAAAUGGAGAUCAAUCUCCACAUGUUUGGUGCGCUGGUGCUGAAUGGGGUUGGAGGACAUGUACAUAGUGCUGAUGUUAUCACAGUAAACCAGAGCUGUGCGGCGCAAAGGGACACGGAGCUCAUGGAGAAGCUGGCGCAACCAGGUGACCUCAGCGACGGCGUUGGCGACGGCACGGUAUUCUGCCUCGGCACUGGAACGGGAUACUGCAUUCUGACGCUUGGAAGACCAGGACACCAAGUUGUCGCCCAAGAAGACCGCAUAACCUGAUGUGGAUUUGCGGGUGUCCGGACAGCCUGCCCAGUCCGCAUCAGAGUACACCACAAACUCGGUCUGCACGGACGGGCGCAGCAGGAGGCCCAAGUGAAGCGUGCCGCGUACAUAGCGCAGAAUACGCUUCAGGGCCGCGAGAUGUGAAUCGCGCGGCGCGUGCAUGUGGAGACAAACCUGCUGGACAGCAUAGGAGAUAUCCGGGCGGGUGAAUGUCAGGUACUGAAGGGCACCGGCCAAACUCCUGUAGUCGGAUGCAGCUGCAGCCGAGAGCAGGUUGCCGUCACUGUCAGAUAGCUUGGGGUUGGUAUCAACAGGCGUCUGACAGGACUUGCAAUCGGUCAUACCUGCACGAUCCAAUAUCUCCACCAUGAACUGACGCUGGGAGAGUAGCAGACCCUUACCAGAGCGCUGAACAUGCAUCCCAAGGAAGUGAUGUAGCUGGCCGAGGUCCUUCAUCGAAAACUCCUGGCGCAAGUCCUGAAUGAUACGGGCCAGGAGGAGCGACGAGGAGGCGGUCAGAACAAUAUCAUCCACGUAGAGGAGAAGGUAGGCAGUGUCAUGGCCACGGUGAAACACGAAGAGGGAGGUGUCCGUACGGGCCUCGACAAAUCCGAGCUGCUGCAAAUAUGUGGAGAAGCGGCUGUACCAUGCCCGAGGCGCCUGCUUGAGGCCGUAGAGAGAGCGGUUCAGCUUGCAUACAUACCCAGGAUGAGCGGAGUCCUCGAAACCAGUCGGCUGGGCACAAUAGACCGUCUCAGACAGGGUGCCGUGCAGGAAAGCAUUCUUGACAUCAAGCUGGUGUAUAGGCCACUGACAAGAGAGAGCCAACGAGAGCACUGUGCGGACGGUGGCGGGUUUCACAACCGGGCUGAAAGUCUCGGAGAAGUCAACCCCAGGGCGCUGUGUGAAGCCGCGAAGGACCCAGCGUGCCUUGUAACGCUCCAGAGAGCCGUCAGCAUGGAACUUGUGCUUGAAAAUCCACUUUCCGGUCACAAUGUUGCUGCCUGAGGGCCGAGGAACGAGGUCCCAAGUGUUGUUGGAGAGGAGAGCGUCGAAUUCUUCAUGCAUCGCCUGGCGCCAAUUAGGAUCAGCGAGGGCCCCACGAUAGGACCGAGGCACCGGAGAGAGAGACGACGAGUGGAACAAGGUGGGCUGCCAAAAGCCCAUCUUGCCACGGGUCGUCAUGGAGUGUGUGUUGAUGACGGGGCGAACCGGGACGGCGCCCGGAGGCAGAGAGGCUGCAGGUGGCUGCUGCGGUGACGACGAUGGUGGAGGCCGGUGCCGACGGGAAUAGACCAGCAAUGGUCCAGAGGCGUCGACCGACUCCUGAGGUGCCGAGACGGGAGCAGACGGCCCAGGCGAGGGGCUGCCCAACCGGGUGACAGGGGCGGCAGCGCCCAGCCGAUGGCCGGGAGACGUCGUCGGGGCUGGCCGGUCGCCGAGGGGUGCUGCAGGGGCAACCGGCCAGGUGCUGGACGACGGCAGGGGGGCGCCUAGAGCGUCUGAAGGUGAGGCGGGGGCGCCGUUGGCGCCUAGGGACGGUGCUGGUGGCGCCGAGGGAGCACCCGGUGGUGCUGGAAUGCCGGCCGCAUGCGGUAGUGUGGCGACGUCGACGCCAACAGGGGGACCUUCAGGAAGCAAAGGAGGCGCCAUGCUGUAUGGAACCACCUCGGGGAGCUCCAAAAAAUUAAACUCAUUAGUGUAGACUGGUGAGGACUGCUGGAAGGGAAAUUGCGUUUCGUCAAACACCACGUGAUGAGAGAUUAUCACGCGGUUGGUGGAACGGUCAAGGCAGCGGUAUCCCUUAUGAUGAGCAGAGUAACCAAGGAAAACACAGAGAGUGGAGCGAGGAGCUAGCUUGUGGGGUGCCGUGGCGGAGAGGUUCGGAUAGCAGGCGGAACCGAAAACCCGUAGGUGACCGUAGUCAGGUGGAGUGCCGAAGAGGGCCUGGUGCGGUGUGGAACCCUGUAGGGUUUUGGUCGGCAUGAGGUUAAGGAUAUGGGUGGCGGUGUGUAGGCCCUCCACCCAAUAUGCUGGCGGCAUGCUGGCUUGGAAGAGGAGGGAGCGAACAACAUUGUUGAUGCUCCGGAUCAUGCGCUCGGCAUGACCGUUCUGUGGCGAGGUGUGGGGGCAGGACAUUCGCAGGUGCAUCCCCUUGGAGAGGAAGAAGGUGCGGGAGCUGGAGUUAUCGAACUCGCGACCGUUGUCGCACUGCACGGCUUUCACUGUGGCGCCAAACUGAGUAUGCACAAGCGAAAAGAAGUUGGUGAGAGUCGCAAAAGUGUCAGACUUAAGGCGCAGGGGAAAAGUCCACAAAUAGUGCGAACAAUCAUCAAGUACCACCAGAUAGUAUUUGUAGCCGGAAAUACUAGGAACAGGGGACGUCCAUAGGUCACAGUGGAGUAAAUCAAAUUUGUGAAGAGCACGAGAUGAUGAUAUCUGAAAUGGAAGGCGCACAUGACGACCGAGCUGACAAGCAUGACAAGUGGUAUUGGCAGCUUUAUUACAAAGGAACAGCAGAAGCAACUCUAGAUUAAACAUCAGAGCCGGGGUGCCCGAGGCGAUGAUGCCACACGUCGGAGGAGGAGGUGGCUGCCAAAGCGUGAGCGGCGGGGAAUCGAAGCGGGUAGAGGGGACCGGAGCUAUUGCACCUGACGAUCACUCUCUGGGAUGACAGAUCCUUCACAGAACAGCCAGCGGGAUCAAAUUCGAUGGAACAAUUAUUGUCAGAAGUAAACUGGCGAACAGAGACCAAGUUUUUAAUAAGUUUAGGAGAAACUAAAACGUUAUUAAGAGACAAUGAUCCUGGAAAACAAGCGGAACCAGUGGCUGUGACAGGAAUUAAGGAACCAUCACCGACAAUAAUGGAGGAGGGAGAGGGAUACCGCGAAGGGGAAAAGUGGGAGAGGGUACCAGGGUCGGAUGUCAUGUGGGAGGAAGCACCGGAGUCGAGGUACCAGUCAGUCGCCUGUGGUUGGUUGAGCGUCAUGGUGCUGAACGUAGAGGCGAGAGACUGCUGGUCCCAGGAGGAGGGCAAGGCCGAAGAGGCGCCGUAGAACCCGGGCGGCGCCUGCUGCUGCGCCGGGGAAACUGGGGCGGCCCAGGCCUGCUGUUGAGCAAGCCACGCCUGUUGCUGCUGGGCGAGGGCGGCCUGCUGGUGAUGGGCGAGGUAGGCCUGGGGCAGAGGUGGGCCGCCUAGGGAGGCGGGGUGGGGUGCAACGGUCCAGACCGCAAGGGCCCAGGACCGGGAUACAUCUGAAUGGUCCCAGUCCAUGGGUUCCAAAAGGACGGCCACGUGCCAGGGGGGCGUCGCCUGCGCCAGGAGGACCAGGGGUUUUGACGCCCUGGCCGGAGCUGGCGCCUUUGCCCUGGCCGCCCCUGCCGGAGCGUCCUUGGCCGCCGCGUUGGCGACGAUCGCGGCCGCCGCGGCUCCCCCCGCCCCCGUUGCCGGCGCGAGUGGUGUUGGGGGGCGCGGGAGGCCGGGGCUGAGAAGGGCCAGCAGUGGCCCCGAGAAGGGCCUGCGGUGGCUCGGACGGCGAGGACGGCAUGGUCAUCUCCUCGAGAAGAAGGUCGUCGCGAGCCUCCAGGAAGGAGCGCAGGGGGCGGCUGCGACGGAUGUCACGACCGACGGCGUGGAACUGGUCGUUGAGGCCGCCGACGAGGGUGAGGACGAGGAGCUUGUCGUCGACAGGUGCCCCGAGGUCGCUGAGGCCGUCGGCCAUACCCUUCAGGCGCUUGCAGUACUCCGUGAUGCUGAGGUCGCCUUGCUUGAAGUUGCGGAACUUGGCGUCGAGGAGGAUGAUGCGCGUCUCCUUGUUGCCAAGGAACUGCGCCUCAAUAGCGAGCCAAGUGGUGCGGGCCGUGGCCCCGCGGUCGCCACGGGCCAUGACGAUGUCGGCGAGGUCCGUGGCGAUGCUGCCGUAGAGCCACGAACGGACGACGCAGUCCAUGCGAAGCCAAUCUGCGUAGGGAACAGCCGGAGGGUCGCGGAGGAUGUGAUCCUGCAGCGAGUACUUGCCGACGGCGAGAAGGAACUGUUCACGCCAACGGGAGUAGUUACCGUCGGAGUCGAGGACAACAAGGACGAGGCUGCGAACAUUCUGGACAGCGGCAGCCUGGGCAUGGAGCUGAAGAAGGGUUGCGGCUUCAUGCAUCAGUAGAGCGCGGCGGGCGUCCGAGUUAUCGUCGGCGUCGUCGUGGACGACUGAGUCGUCGUCGGAAGCCGGGUUGGCCUCCUGGCGGGCCGCGGCGGCAAGUGCCAGGGCCUCGCGGAUGCGAGCCUCGGCGUCGUCGCGGUCCCGGGCGGCAGAGGCGGCCGCGGCCUCGGCGGCUGCGGCGCGGGCCAGGGCAGCGUUGCGCAUGGCCUGACGCUGGGCGCGAGAGGCGUCCAGGCAUGCGGCGUCGGCAGCGACCUCCUGGGGCGCGGCAUCGACGGCAGCCACGGCAGUGGCGGGAGAGGCGGGCAAGGAGCCGGCCAUGGAUCGCGCGGAGGCACGGGGUGCGGGGAGCGCGCAGGGGAGGCGCGGGAUCGCGCAGGCAGCGCCGAGAGGCGCGCUAGAAAGCGGAAGAAAAUGAAUCGGGGGUGACCCGGACUCAUGAUACCAUGAAAGUAAUAGGAUUGCGUGGAACUAGUAGAUUGAUUAGGGAUACGGGGAUACAAUACAUAUAUAUAGGCGCCUGCAUAGGGGCAGGCGCCUAACCCUAAUCACCUAGGGCCGGCGCCCAGAGAUGUGCCGGCCUGGGCCUGCUAUACAUGGCCCACUCACGCAAUAAACACAGCACACACAUGUUACAGUCUAACAGCGACGCAUGGAGCGAGCCGCGGUCGUGGUAGCUUGGCGUCAGGUGGUUGAAGUUGAACCGGACGGAGUGGCUCAGCCUCAGCGUUUCACACCUUUGAGGUUGGUGGUUGAAAGUUGAAACUGGACUUUUGCCGGAGUGUGGCUCGCUAGCGAUCGAGCUGGACCCUGACCUGAAUUCGUUCGUGUCUCGGAAAGUCAGAGCUCAGAUUCAGCACGCGUAAGAACACAAAGCAAGCUCGACAGGAACGUACCCGUUCAAGUUCAGCAGCCUAGUCAGCGUUUUUCUCGAUCGGCUGAAUCGGAUCGGGUUGGUGUGGUUAAAAGUUCCCCGGUCUGGACGGCUAAACAUAGUAUUUGACCAACUGUGCAGGGAACACUGAUGGAACAAUGUCCACCAACCAUUGUGGGUUUUCUUUGAUCCGAGCAUGACCAAUUGAGAGGUGUGGUGCUAGCAAUAUUAAUGCGCACACUUCUUUGAACCAGGCAGGUUCUAGGCGCAUUUACGCUCACGCUCGUAUGUUACGGAUCAGACUCCACGACACGCAUCCACAUCUAGAUCCUGGUCUGAGCAAGCAGGUCGCGUUCAGCUGCUUGAAACGGAUCCAUGCCGAUUCUGACCAGGAUCCAGUCGGACCAAGUUACCAACCCCGACUACACGUACGUGACUGGUAGUGGUAGCCUCCUGCGCGGCGCAUUUCUCAUCGCAGCAGCCUAAACGAGCUUUGCGCGUUUGGGAAAGCGGCCGUCGACACGCAUCAAGCGUGGCUUUCAGUUCUGAAUCCGAGUGAACUGAAGCUGUGCACGAGUGCCUAACCGCUGGAUGCCACUUACUCUAGGAACUAAUUAAUCCCCCCCUCAACGGCUGCGAAUAUGCCCGAUUGCCGAUUGUGGUAAAUCACGGCACGGGUGAACGAGAUCCGUCAGGCUGGCGGCGAAGGCGAGCCAGGUAGACCGUGUGAAAGCGCGGCCGCCGGCCGGUCAGCCGCACAAUGCUUUUCUUCAACCCGGCGUUUUUUCUAAUUGGGUUCGGGUUGGUCGCUUUAAUUAAUGCUCCGGUGUUAAAAUUCACUACUACAAAAUGAGUUAUAAGAGUAGCUUUAGUGUGAAAUCAAUUUUGGAUUAGAAAACCAUCGUAGCGCUUCCCCCUCUCCUGCAUUUUCUCCCUCCUCUCUUGCGCAAUCUCACCUCCCCUCUAUCUCUCCGCCACAUCGCCUCCCCCUCUUGGCGCGUUGUCCCCUCUUUCUCCCCUAUCUCCCUGUCCUCUCUCCGUCGUCCUCUCCCUCCUGGCCGGUGAGUCCCAUGAUGCCCCUCCCCUUCCCCUCCGCUCACCUCUCAUUAGGGCAGUGAGGAUCGACGGUGGGGUAAGGGUCGGAGGCAGCGCUUGGGUGGGGUCAAGCGGUGGGCCACAGACGUGGCGAGCCACGUGGGUACGACAGGAGGAAACAUUGCAGCACGUGGGGUUACGACGGGACAUUGCGGCACGCGGGGCUACGACGAGCGAAGUGGGCGUGACAUGUCUACAGUGGCGCAAGGCCGAGAUGCAGUGACGGCUCGGUGGGUGGAGCGUCCGAAUCCAGCGAGUAAGAAGCCUCUCGUCCUCCUUGGUGCACCACCCCCUCUCUCUCUCAUCUUCCUAUUGGGAAGAAUACGGCGGAGUUUGAGGAAUCAUUAGGAUUCUCUCUUUUUACUAUGACGAUGACAUGUGCUAGUGUAGCGAGCAUGGUUUCUGUUGUUUUAGAGCGUCAGCUUGUAAGGAGGUUUGGUGGGUUUCAGACUUUGUGUAGCAAGCAUACUCUCUCUUUCUCUUUUCUUUUGUGAUGGCUGCAUAUGUAUCGGCUGGUUGAAAAAGGAUCGAUCUUAUAUUUAAUAAAACUUCCUUCAUUAGAAAACGCUGAGGCUCAUGUGUUAAACCUGAUAUAUAGGAAACUGAAUAUGAAUCAAAAUUUUAACAUUAUGUUUGUCAUCCGAGCGCCAAUGUAAGCUGCUCGUUGUUAUAACCACCCAGCAUUUUAAAGAUGUCUUUCUUAGUUGGACUCGUGGGUAUAUCAACUUUCCAUUUAACUCUCUGACAAAGUUGGCAAAAAGAUUCCUCUCUAUAUUGAGUUGCUUAUUCCGACAGACUAUCUAUUUUCCACUCUCCAAAUCCCAAUAGGUAGUUUCCUCUCUAGAAAUGUACACUCUCCAUCCACUUCAACGGUCUCUCUAUUUCACACUACAACAGACUCUUCAUCUUGCACUCUCCAUUUUGCACAUCUGGCAAGCCAAACUCGCUUGCAAGGUUUGAAGAGUGUGGGGGAGCAUUUGGCAAGCCGGAUGUGAUGACCAUUCGGAUAGCAACUUUGUUGGACCGCGUUUUUCUCAUAGACUUGCCAAAUUUUAGUUUGAAGAGAGGGAGAUGGCAAUGCUGUUGGAGUUCCUCUUGUUUCUACUGUUAUGCUU
RNAcentral lists this long non-coding RNA (94167 nucleotides) under Setaria italica (foxtail millet). RNAcentral's name for it is "long non-coding RNA (SITA_LNC002088)". Lineage: Eukaryota; Viridiplantae; Streptophyta; Magnoliopsida; Poales; Poaceae. The record is from RNAcentral.